This 129932-nucleotide long non-coding RNA is filed under the name Gossypium barbadense (sea-island cotton). Its description in RNAcentral is "long non-coding RNA (GBAR_LNC019890)". Lineage: Eukaryota; Viridiplantae; Streptophyta; Magnoliopsida; Malvales; Malvaceae. The record is from RNAcentral.
AUCUGGAAACUAACAAAAAAUUACCAACCAAACAUCGUUGCGGUACCCAAGCAAAGACUAAGGGAAUGAACCAAAUGUUGGAGAGAUUAGAGCAAAUGCAAAUACAGAUGUAAGAGCAAUUAACCAAAUUUCAACAAGAUAUGAGGGAUCAAAUGUUAGAAUUCCAAAGAAAUAUGAUGAGCCAGUUAGCCCAGUUAUUGGCUAGAGGGUUAGAAAAAGGAAAAAAACCCAGUGGUCUACUUUAGGGAUGAUAAUGAGGACCCUACAUAUCCUCCAGGCUUUACCUUAACAAACACCCAAGCACAACCAAAUGCAUAUCCACAAAGGGUAUCUGUUAACAUCCGACCCCAAUACCAAAUCAGUACUUCAACACCGGUGAAUUUCCUGACAGGCUCAGGUUCCAAUCUGAGGGGCAAUCUAACUAAUCUCGUUGUUCUUGAUGGUCUAGUAAAAACAAAAUAGGCGAGAGUGGAGUUCCUAAAAUAAUUUGAAGAUCGUUACAAACAGAAAUGGCCAGAGGGGAACUCCCAAAUCAGUAAUUUAAAGGCCUCGAGGAAGAGGAAAAAAUAAGGUGAAUAUUGCGAGUAGGUAUAACAAGGGCUAUUCAAAGCCGAUUACCACAAGCCAGCCAAGGACGGUCCCUACUAGCCAUCAGAUCCCCCCAAGGUAAGAAUCCAACACAAAGCAAAACACUGAGAAGCUCCAAUUUACGCCAAUCCCAAUGUCGUACCGGGAACUGUAUCAUAGUUUAUUUGAUGCACACGUUGUUUCCCCUUUCUACUUGAAGCCCUUACAACCUACCUAUCCCAAAUGGUAUGACGAAAACACACAAUGUGACUACCAUGCGGGAAUUACGGGGCAUUCUAUAGAAAACUGCACUGCCUUUAAAAAGCUAGUCAAAAGGUUUAUCAAUAUGGGCAUUGUCAAAUUCGAUGAUCCGCUCAGUACAGAAAAUCUGCUACCCAAUCAUAUUGAUAAUAGGGUGAAUGCGAUGAGUGAAGAAAUGUUGGAAAAUAUUCACAUCAAUGCCAUAUACGAAAGAACAACUGAAGAAGGGACCUUGUUAGAUAUACGCCCUUAUAAACCUGGGAGUGUUCUAAAUAAUUGGAUUGUAGAAGAAACCCCUGUAGUAUUUAGAGCUUACUCAGAUAAUAUUCAGAAUAUACUUGUUGUUUUUAGCCUAGAGGCAAUAAGAACUCCUUUGUGAAAUAGGCUCAUGUCUGAACGUUAUUAUUUUAAUAAAAUACAUAUUUGUAUGCAUUUUGAGCAAAUAUUCUUUCAUUCUUUCCAUACGAGUAAUUAUUUUAGAUUUUUUCAUUCUUUUGGAUUUUCUUCCAAAUCAUUCUUUCAUUUCAUUCGUAAUCAGACUGUACAAAUAAUUAUUCAUAAAUGCAUACAUUCUUUGUACAUUCUUUUGUAUAUACAAUAUGUCCCUAGAUAUCAAUGACAUGAACGACACUAUUAUAGACUCAAAAUCUCUUUUUGAGUGAGACAUGUGUUUAGAGGGAUCCCAGGACUUUGAAGAUGACAUAGAUUGUAGCCUAUCUCCGGACUUGUUGAGGAUGGUAGAGUAAGAAAAGAAACAACUUUUACUUCAUGAGGAGACAAUGGAGAUUGUGACCUUGAAGGAGGGAAAACUAGUAAAAAUUAGAACAUGCAUAGUCGAAAAAUGAUGCAAGACCUUGUUGAGUUACUUCAAGAGUUCAAGAUGGUCCUCUACUAGGGCACUAACAUUGUAAUCUGAACAAUAUCAUGAUACCAUAAAUUUGCAGUAUGUUCAGUAAAAAACCUCUACUGGGGCAAUGCCUUUCUAUUAGGCUUAUCACAGUUUGCCCAGUGAAGUCGAGUUUCUAUCUCCCCGAGUUUUUUUAUGGAUUUUAUCCUGAUUGAAAGUCAAAUGUACAAAAAAUAAUUUCGCCCUAGAAAGCUCUCUGAGAGAAACCUGAUAUCAAAUAAGAUCCUCCGUAUACAAAAUGGAUGGAAGGAUCUUGUGUAGAAGACUUUAUCUGGAAAAUCAUUGAUUCUGAUCGAAAGGAAUAACAAUGACUUGCCUAAUCCUAUGGUUUUCAAAAAAAUAAAAAAAUAAAAAAUCAAAAUAAAAAACAAAAUCAAAAUAAUAUUUCAAAAAAGAGAAUAAAAAAAUAUUUCAAAAAAAUGAAAAUGAAAAUAAAGAAAAGAAAAGAAAAAGAGAAUGAAAAGAAAAGGAAAAGAAAAAGGCGAAAACCCAUAAAGAAUGCUUUGUGACCAAAGGAGAUUUGAGUUAAAAACCCGAAUAGGGCGAUUCAAAUUUUGAGCAAAGUAGGGCAUGGAUGUCAUCGGGCCGAUAUCACCGAAGGCUUCUAAUGGGUAUCGUUUCAUUUUUGAGGUCAUUAAUUUCUUCACCAAACAGGUAGGGGUUGCUUCAUACGCCAAUUUCACCAAGUCAGAAGUUAGCAAAUUCUCGAAAAAAGAGAUCAUAUGCUGGUAUAGAAUGCCAGAGAGGAUUAUAUCGGGCAACACGUUGAACCUGAACAACAGCACGAUAGCUAAGGUCUGUAAUCAAUUCAAAAUCAGACACCACAAAUUGUCACCGUGUCACCCAGAAAUAAAUCAUGCGGUAGAGGUAGAUAAUAAGAAUAUUAAGAACAUUGUGGAGAAAAUGGCUGAGACCUACAAAGAUUAGCAUGAGAAGGUACCACUCGCUCUCUUGGCUUAUCGAACAUCUGUCCGGACCUUCACCAGGCAAUAUUUUUUUCUGGUUUACGGAAUGGAGAUGAUUUUUUCCAUUGAAGUCGAAAUUCCUUCUUUCAGAGUCUUGGCAGAGUUAAAUUAGAGGAAGUAAAGUGGAUCCAGUCUCGAUAUGAUCAGUUGAAUUUGAUCAGAAAAAAGGGCUAAAAGCUAUUCACCACAGUCAAAAUCGAAUGAUACGAGCCUACAACAAAAAGGUUCGUCCCAGAGAAUUUCGUGAGGGAGACCUUAUGUUGAAAAAGAUCCUUCCUCUAUAAAAGGAUUUUAGAGGGAAGUGGAUGCUAAAUUAGGAAGGACCUUAUGUUGUAAAGAAGGCAUUUUCCAGAGAAGCUUUGAUUUUGGGCGAGAAGGAUGGUAAAAACCUGCCAAAUCCUGUAAACUUAGAUUCAGUUAAGAAAUACUUUGCCUAAAAAAGAAGAAGGGACCAAGGUGAAAACUCACAAAGGGCGCCUUGAGUCCUAAAAAAAGACCAAGGUGAAAACCCGCAAAAGGCGCUUUGAGUUAUAAAAAUACAGUAAUGAAAAUGAAAAAGUGAAAAAAGUAAAAAAAAUGGAGAGGCCAAGGUGAAAACUCGCAAAGGGCGCCUUAAGACCAAAGGGGAUUUGAGUUGAAAACUCGCAAAAGGGUGGCUCAAAUUUUGGAUCAGAAUGGAGCAUGAGAUGAUCAAAGCAACUCAAAUUUUGAUCAGAUUAAGGCAUGCGGUAAUCUUGCUAAACCUGAAUCAACAGGAAAGGGCAGGCAACAUCUUGGGGCAUCGACAGAGUACUAUAGAUCUCUUAAGCACAUGUCAAACUCAAAAUGAUCUUCAAAAAGUUUGUACAGAGAAGUUCAAGUUGUGAUAUCUGGGGCAUCUAGUCUUCAUACUAUUUAUAUUAAAUUUGCUGUUCUUGGAAUACUUCAUUCUUUUUGAAGAUACAUGUUCCCAAUCAAUUCUUCUUUCAUUUCCUUGAUAAUUUAUUCAUAUCGAGCCAUGCUCCCAAAUCAAUCCUUUUUUAUCAAUUUUUAUGAUCUUUUUGCAAGCAUGUUGCAUUAGAAUAAUGAUUAAUGGACUACUAAUACUUUCACAAGGGAAGUUUUGUAUAUUACUCUAGAAGUUUCUAAAUAAUACAAGAACCUAAAGCAGGGCUAUUGUUUAGAACGCACCAAGUUUAAAGGUUGAAAUAUCUAAGAAGGAAAAGUCUAAAUUAAGACUAUCUCUUUGGAUUUUGUUGUCAAAAGCAUUGAUUGAACAAAACAACACGAUAUUAUGUUGGUGAUAAAGCUUUAAUGAACAAGCAAGUAAUGAUCACUGAGUAAUAGGAAGAGGUUUUUCUCGGAGAAAGAAAUUCUACAAUUAUGCAUAAACAUUUGGUAUGGCAUCCUGGGAAUGGUGAAGGAGACCAAAGAAAUUUAAAUCAUGUAUUCUUGAAUUGAAGUAGGAGAGGAUUGAGAAAGAGUCAGAUAUUAUACUCCUAAAUUACAGUGGGAGGAAAAUGGUUCAAAUUUUAUGUCCCAAAAGUACAGUGGAUUGAGCCUUGAAGACUACAGUGGGGGUAAUCCGAUUAAGUAAGAUAUGAGUUCUACCAGCUAAAUAAGAUAGCAUUCUGACGUGUUGGUAAUAAAACCUUAAUGAACAAUGAGCAAUAACAACUCAAACAUUAAGGGGUCAUUUUCAUGACAUUUUGCAUACACAUCUAGCUAGGAAAUUUUGAUUCAUUCUGAUCAUAACAUCCUAAUUACAAAGCAUGAAUAGGCCCAUGAAAUGGAUUCUACAGAUCAUAUUUCCUAAAGAACAGAUUGGUGAAACCACAAAUCCUAUACCGCUGAAGUUACAGUGGGAUGAAUUACAGUAAUUAUGGCGAAUCUUAUCUUCUUGGAGUUGCAGUGGAGCAGAUUGAAGCCAUCAGCCUUAUCUCCCUGAAGUUACAAUAGAGUAGACUGAAGACAGUGAAUCUUAUUUCUCGGACUUUACAGUGGAACAAAUUAAAGCUACAAGUUAUGGUGAAUCUUAUCUUCCUGAAGUUGCGGUGGAGUAGAUUGAAGCCACCAGCCUUAUCUCCCUGAAGUUGCAGUGGAGCAGACCGAAGACAGCGAAUCUUAUUUCCCGGAUGUUGUAGUGGAACAAAUUAAAGCUACAAGUUAUGACGAAUCUUAUCUUCCUGAAGUUGCAGUGGAGUAGAUUGAAGCCACUAGCCUUAUCUCCCUGAAGUUGCAGUGGAGCAGACCGAAGACAGCGAAUCUUAUUUCCCGAAUGUUGUAGUGGAACAAAUUAAAGCUACAAGUUAUGACGAAUCUUAUCUUCCUGAAGUUGCAGUGGAGUAGAUUGAAGCCACUAGCCUUAUCUCCUUGAAGUUGCAGUGGAGCAAAUUGAAGACAACAAAUCUUAUUUCCCUGGCAUUGCAGUGGAACAGAUUAGAGUUACAAAUUAUGGCGAAUCUUAUCUUCAUGAAGUUGCAGUGGAGCAGAUUGAAGCUACCAGCCUUAUCUCCCUGAAGUUGUAGUGGAGCAGACUGAAGACAGCGAAUCUUAUUUUCCUAGCGUUGCACUGGAACAGAUUAGAGCUACAAAUUAUGGCAGAUAUUAUCUUCCUGAAGUUGUAGUGUUGCAUAAUAAAACCAUCAUCCUUAUCUCCAUGAAGUUGCAGUGGAGCAGACUGAAGACAACGAAUCUUAUUUCCUUGGCGUUACAAUGGAACAGAUUAAAACUACAGGUUAUGGCAAAUCUUAUCUUCCUAAAGUUGCAGUCGAGCAGAUUGAAACCACCAGCCUUGUAUCUCUGAAGUUACAGCGGAGCAAACUGAAGACAGUGAAUCUUAUUUCCCUGAAGUUGCAGUGGAACAUAUUAAAGCUACAAGUUAUGGCAAAUCUUAUCUUCUCGAAGUUGUAGUGGAGCAGAUUGAAGCCACCAGACUUAUCUCUCUGAAGUUACAGCGGAGCAGAAUGAAGACAACGAAUCUUAUUUCCCUGUGUUGCAGUGGAACAGAUUAAAGCUACAAGUUAUGGCGAAUCUUAUCUUCCUGAAGUUGCAGUGGAGCAGAUUGAAGCCACCAGCCUUAUCUCCCUAAAGUUGUAGCGGAGCAGACUGAAGACAGCGAAUCUUAUUUCCCUGGCGUUGCAGUGUAGUAGAUUGAAGCGACAAAUUCCUAUACUUUUGAAGAUGCAGUGGGAUGGAAUAGGACCCCUUUAAGAGAAGAAGCAUCAAUGAGUCGAGGCACAGUAGGACCAGGCAAAAUUAGCCCUUUUUGCGUCUUUGCUCCAUUUUCAGUAUACGACAACGAGCAAAGAGAGGUAGCUGUAAUAGGCCAAUUUUGGCCAGGCCCAAUAUUAACCAAAUUAGAAAAGAAACCAAAUAAAAAAUUAAUAGUCCAUUUACAUCAGCCCAAAUUUGCACAGCCUAAUAAACCAAACACAUUUACGGUGGCCUAGUACAAACACUGGCCCAAACAGAAACCCUAUCCUUUCUCUAGCCAAACAGACCGUGCCGCUCCUCUGUCAGCUUCUCCACGCGCGCCGUGCCUUCCACACACUUCUAGCUGGCCGAACUUGCAACGAACAGAAACAAACAGUAGCAAUAAAUGCGAAUAAUAACAAAGGGUUAUUCUAGAAAAAAUAAUGGCAGAAUAAGAGAAUAGAUUUUUGAAUAUUUUUCAUUUUUUUCUCUUCGUUGCAGCUAUAUAAAGCCGAGUACAAAACUGUAAAGGGGGAAUCAAAAGAAAAUGAAAAGCAAUAAAAAAAUAGGAUAUAUUUCGAAGGUAGAUCCUACUGUUUUUUUCAUUUAUAUUUAUUUUCUUUUUUUGUGCUUACUGGCUUUGAGAAGAAGAUAGAAAUCAAAAAAGAGAAUAAGAUAAAAAAAGGUACCUUCUUUGCUUCAUCGGAGGGAGAGGUUCACCGAUUUUGAUGAAAAUUGGCCCUUUUUUGGAGUCGGGAAGUCGAAAAGCCCAAAAAAUGAGCUUCUUUUGAUUUUUCAGCCACCGUGUACGGCGGUGCUGUCGCUGGCGAUUGGCGGCCGUCACGGUGGCUGGGCGCCGGAACUUGGCCAGAUUUCUAGAGGGUUGAGAGAGAGGGGGAGUGUGUUUUUGAGUUUUUUUUUUUGUGAAAAGGGGAUCAAAUGAAGUUUUAAAAAAAUUUGGGCUUAAAUACCCUUAUCAAAACGAAGCCGUUUUGAGUUUUAAGUUCAGGGGCCAAAACGACGCCGUUUCGGUCUUAGUUCCCUCCUUACCCGCACAUCGACCAGACCCAGGGGGAGGAUCCUCGUGUUUUGCUUCGAUGGGUUAUUUUCUCCCCUGGCCCUUCCGCAUUUCUGUUAUUUCUAAUUUAAUCUCUUUUGUUUAUUUUCACUAUUUUUUUAAUUUGACCCCAGAAUUUUGUUCAGUUUUCAAUCGGGUCCCUGACCCACUGAUGCGCUGGAAAGUGGACACGUGUCCAGGGAUUUGUUUUUUAUUCAUUUGGUCCUCGGCCUUUUCGCGUCUUUGAUUUUAGUCCUUUAUUCGUUAUUUUACCCUAUUUUUCACCUUUAAUUUCAUUUUUGUCCUGAUUUAGUCCCAAAAUCUGUUUGAUUUCAAUUUAUUUUUGCAAUUUAUUUAUUUUAAACUUUUUUAUAUUAUUUAUUUUAAAUUAUUUUAUUAUUAUUUAUUUUAAAUUUUCACAUAUUAUGCAUUUUAAACUAUAUUAAACUAUUAUCCGUUUUAAGUUUAUGUAUUAUUUAUUUUAAACCAUAUAUAUUAUUUAUUUGGAAUUGUUUUUUACAUAUCAUUUAUUUUAUUUCAUUUUAUUAUUUUUUAAAAGAAAACUGUUUUGUAUAUUAUUCAUUCGAAAUUUCUUUUUACAUAUUAUUCAUUUUAAACUUUUUACAUAUUUUUUUAAAAUUGUCUUCUUGGUUAUUUAUUUUAAUUUGCUUUGCAUGUUAUUUUUAUUUUGCGUUGCAUAUUAUUUACUUUGAAUUGCUUUAUAUUAUUUACCUCAAAUUGUUCUAUAAAUUAUUUCAUUUUCUUUGAUUGUUGAUAUCGACAUUAAAAUGGCAUGCAUUGUGACUAUUGCCAUCGCGUAUACUAUGAUUUGUUUAUUUGUAUUUUCACAUUAUUGCUACUCGUUAAUGUAACAUUUUAUUCAUGUAGUGUUUCAAAUAUUGCAUAUUUGUAAAAAUAUAAAAUUUUAAAAAUGAGCAAUAUUUAGUAUUUUGGAAUUCGCAAAGUCGUUUCCUAACUUAUGGGGUUUCGAUAUUCUCGAUAAAUCCAAAUAAAUGAACCUUUUUUAAAAACAUAAGUUUUUAAAUAACCUCGGGAAUUAAGAAGAGAUCGUGUUCUAACUUACGAGAUAUGGUUUCUUUCCAAAAUCGAGAUAAUCGAAUAUCUUUUAAAAUAAAUAAAUUUUCGGUAUUUAUUCUCGUUUCGAGGGUUUAAGGUAUUGCGUUCUAACUUACGUGACGUACUCCUUUUUCUCGAUUAAUGUAAAAUAUUUUUUUGAAAUCAAUUAAGCGAUAUUGUAACAAAGGAUCGUAUUUUAAAUCUCUUCAAAGUUUUCAACUUUCGACAUUAAGGCGUUAAUUAAUCAAUUAGGUACCAAGUUUGGGCAUGACGAGGGUGCUAAUCCUUCCUCGCACUUAACUGACUCCGGAACCCAUUUUCUCGAAUUUCGUAGACCAAAAUCAUUGGUUUAGUAAAAUCAAAAUAUUUUAUUAAAACGAUUAAAUUGCAAGGUGAUCCGAUCACACCUUGGAAAAAAUAUCGGUGGUGACUCCCGUUUUUUCGUUUUCAUUUUCAAAAUAAAAGUCGACCCCGUUUUCCAAAAAAUGGUUUCGAAAAUAAUAAUUUAUUUUUAUUUUUAUAUUUUAAAUUUAACUUUAAAAAGUUUCUUAAAUUCUUUACUUUAUUAAUACUUGUAUUUAAAUAUUAAAUUAAUUGAUUAUAUUGAAAUCUAACAAUAAUAAUGUGUAGCUAAGAUGGAAACUUAAUGCCUAUGGUUUUCUUCUAACAUUCUAAUCCUUACUGCAUUUUGAUUCUUCUCUAUUAUAACUCUUUCAGUUCAUAUUUGAAUAAACACUAAGAAAGCAAUUGAAGAUAAAAGGCUGAAAAUUGGGUGAUAUAAAUGGUGAGCGACAUGGAUGAAGACUUGUUAUGAUAAAUUUGAAAAUUAUAUGCCAACUUGACUUAAUUAAUGAAUGAAUGAAAUGAUGUGAAGCUGAAAUUUCAACGGGGAAACUUCUCAAACCCUUCCCUAAGGAACUAACAUUGAAUUAACUGGGAAGGAGUUAGGAAUGGAUUGGGCCGUUUGGAUGAAUUUUCCGUAAACUUCAUAUAAUUGAGAUUAGGUAGCUACCCUUGCUUCACACGUUUAUCCUUCGGCUUCUCAUCUCAGAUUUUUUAAUUUAAUUUUAUUUUUGAAAAUGGAUCAAAGAAAGAAAAGGAAAAGUUGUGGGGAAUGCAUGGACCACAAUUGAUGAGUGGAAUCCCAAAUUUCGUGAAAUUGGUGAAACUGGGGGUCUGCCUAUAUAAUGGAGUUAAAGGAUCACUUCCAAAAGCAGAAGUGGUCUUAAUUAAUUAAUUAAUUAAUUAGUGUAUUGAGUUGGGAUAAUGGGGCCGAUAUGGUUUAGGGUAAUCUUGAUAACUGUGUUGGUAGGUGCAGUGUGGAGUGAUGGGUGUUGGGAUGAAGAGCGUGUUGCGCUCUUGCAAUUCCAAUAUGUGUAUUCACGCGAGGUUUCAGAUUGUUGUGAAUGGGAAGGGGUUGAAUGCAACAUCACCACUAGACGACUCACUCAACUCUCUCUAGGCAAUGGUUUGUUCAGGUAUCUUGAAUUCUUUAAUGCCUCUUUGUUUCUUCCCUUCGAAGAAUUGAGGAGUCUUGAUCUCAGUUAUAAUGAUCUAGUUGGUGUUGUGGAGAAUGAAGGUACUUAACUCUUUGCAUUUUUAUCUUUCUCUGCUCUCCCAGUUAGAUUAUAAAACUCUGUGUCUUGCAGGGUUUGGAAAGCUCUCCAAGUUGAGACAUCUAGAGAAUCUGGACUUAAGUAACAAUAGAUUAAAUGAUAGCACGUUAUCAUCUUUGAGUAAAAUUUCAACUCUCAAGUCUCUAAAUUUAAGUGGAAAUGUCCUUUUUACAGGACCACAUCAAACUAACGGUAAUAUCAUGUCUAUUUGUAUUGCUAAUGUAAUUAAAUUAGACAUCUUCAUAUAUUUUGUUUAUUUUACUACUUGUAGCGCACCUUAAGUGGUUAUCAAAACUUGGUAAUUUGGAAACUCUUGAUUUAAGUGUAACCAAAAUGAAGAACAACUUGUUACAUUUGGGUGGCCUUUCAUCUUUAACAACUUUAAAGCUUGAAGGAAAUGAUUUAGAAGGAAGGAUUCAUCUUCAAGGUAAGGUUCUUUCACUGCCUUUGUUGCUUUUUCAUUUGUUUUUCCUUUUAAAGCAAUCUUAGUAAUAUUUGAAUUGGUUUGAACAGAAUUGUGUAAUUUGACAAAUUUGAAGAUAUUGGAUUUAAGUGAUAAUCGAAUUGAGAGCAUAAGGAGUUUCCAUGGUAAAUAUGUUUACAACUAUUCGAUUAUGUUUCCAGGUAUUUUUGAAGUAUUAGAUAUUGUUAGCUCAUGUUUUAAAACUGAAAUGAAGCCAAUUUUAUGCAGGCAAUGGAAGACAACUGAAUUUGAUCAAUUUAGAAGAAAUUGAUUUGAGUGAUAAUAUGUUCAACAAUAGCAUACUAGCAGAGCUUAGUGGGUUUUCAAAUCUAAAGUCAUUAGAUAUAAGAUGGAAUAAGCUGAACGGAUCAAUAGAUGCUAAAGGUAAAAAAAAAAAAUUAUUUACACUUGUAUAAAUUUAAGGUUAGUAUAUGAUAAACUGGUAGCGUAUUUUUUAUUUAUUUCACAAACAACCUUAAAAAAUUGACACACACACACAUACAUAUAUAUAUAUUAUAUUUAAUAUUUUAAUAUUUUACUAUAUCCUUAUACAACACUUAUUACUUCCUUAACACUAUUUAUGGAGCCUCAAAAUUUUAUCGGGAAUAUACCAAAUAUUUUCCUAACUUUAAAGGAAUUAGUUUAGGCUUAAAUAUAAUCUCAUGUUGUAUUAUUUGAUUGGAAGUGAAAGACUAAUUUUAUUUGCGAUUUUCCUAGAAUUUUGUGGUUUGAACAAUUUAGAGACUCUAUACCUGAGUGGCAAUGAGGUGAACCAAUUUUUUACUUCUAAAGGUGUGUAUUAAAAUUAAUAUGUAGCGACAGUUUGUCUCUAUUUUUGAAUGAACAAAAUUUAAUUGUCCAAAAAAAAAUUUAUACAUAUAUUUUUUUCAAAAGACUUCCAUAGGAAACUAACUACAUUUUUGUCGCAGGAAAUAUAUUAUAUUUGAGGAAGUUAAAGACCCUCUACUUAACAGAGAGUUAUUAUUUAAACGAAACUGUGGCUAUUCAAGGUGAGUUAUGGUUAUUGUCUGUAAUACUUAUUGCAAAAAAAUACAAACAUCAAUUUUAUACAAAUUAAUUCUAAUUUCAUUUUAUUUUAAUAUUCACAGAGUUGCAGGUAUUGAGUAAUGUGGAGAAUCUGUUCUUGGAUUUUACUCCAUUGGACAUCAGCUUUUUGCAAAGCAUUGGCAUCUUGACUUCUCUGAAAAUCUUGUCUUUGUCUGACUGUGAUCUAAAUGACGCUUUACCUGCUCAUCAAGGUAAUACAAUUACUACAUUGUCUAAACUUAUACCUUCAAUUUUUUUUCUAAUUAAUAUUUUUCAAUAUAACAAUACAUACCAUAAGUCACACAUGGACGCCCUAGUCUUUCUGUUUAUUGAACCAACCACAAUCUUAGAGAAAUAAGAAACCUCAUUCAAUAUUUCCUCUUCAAAUUGCAGGUUAAUGCUAUCUUAACGAUCUUGAAGAAUUGAAUCUCAAUGGAAAUGCUCUAAGUGGUGCGAUUCCUUCAUGUUUGGGUAACUUGACAUCUCUUCGCUAUUUGGAUAUCUCUAAUAAUCGCUUCACUGGAAAUAUUGCCUCCACUCCCCUCACAAAUCUCACAACGCUUCAAUUCCUCUCCCUGUCCAAAAAUCAAUUUCAAGUUCCAGUGUCAUUCAAUUCCUUUGCAAAUCAUUCUCACCUUGAAGUCCUUCUGGCGGAUGAAAACAAGUUGGUUGCAGAACCAAUUGGUUUCCAUAUAUGGCGGCCAAAAUUUCAACUUAAGAUCUUUAGCUUGUUCAAUUGUACGAUAGAAGAACAUGGGACACUACGACUUCCUAAUUUCCUCUAUUUCCAACAUGAUUUGAGGUCCGUUGAUCUUUCUCUUUGCAAUUUUGGCGAGCUAAGGUUCCCACAUUGGUUGCUACAGAAUAAUACAAGAUUAGAAAAACUAAUCCUGAAAGAUAGUUCAAUUGUGGGUCCUCUGAGCUUAUCGCCACAUCCUAAUUCCAAGCUGUCGGUACUCGAUAUAUCCAAUAAUAAGAUACAGGAUGAAAUUCCCAGGAAUUUUUGCUCACUUUUUCCACAUUUACAGUACUUAUUCAUGUCUCAAAAUGCCUUGACAGCUAAUAUUCCUCUUUGUUUGGGUGGUUUGAGGAGAUUAGGAAUGCUAGACUUAUCCCAUAAUAGUUUGUUUGGAGAAAUUCCUGAAGAGUUGGGCAUGAGUCUCUCUUUAUUUUAUCUUAGACUUUCAAACAACAGCUUGAGUGGCAAAAUAUUCCCCAAAUUUUAUCAUUUAUUUAAUUCGUUGGAAGCAUUAUAUUUGGACGGAAACAAGCUUGAGGGAAAGAUUCUUGAUUUUUCACCCAUUAGCUUUAAAAAUCUCGAGUUAGAUGUGAGUGAUAAUCAUUUCUACGGCAAGCUUCCAAGAUGGUUAUGGAAUAACACAGAAUUGGAAAUAUUGGAUUUCUCCAAAAACCAUUUCGAGGGCCCCAUUCCCAUGGGAUUAUGCAACUUGGUCAAUCUUGAAUUCCUGGAUCUUUCUCUAAACCAUCUGUCUGGGACUAUUCCAUCUUGCUCUAAUCUACAAAGGGUGUUGCAUGUACAUUUGGCCAAAAAUAAACUUGGUGGAACACUGUCAGAUGCCCUUUUUAUAAACUCUUCAUUGGUAACAUUGGAUUUAAGUGAAAAUAACAUAACAGGAAGAAUUCCAGAUUGGAUUAGCACGCUACCUGAUUUGAGCGUUUUUCUUCUAAAAGCAAAUCAAUUCGAAGGUGAAUUUCCUGUACAUUUAUGCAGACUGCAAUCAUUAAGCAUCUUGGACCUUUCACAGAAUAAACUUUCUGGUCAUAUACCUUCCUGUUUAAGUAAUUUAACUCUCAAGCCAAGGAGUGAAAAGUCUUACACUGGAUCUUCUGAGUUUGGGCUUCCUUUAUUUGUUGAGGUAAUGGUAGACAUGGGACUAAGGAUAUAUAAUCUCAUAGGCGGUUCAGAGGGAAAUAAACAUUAUCCUUUUACCUUUCAAGAAGAAGAGGUAGAGUUUUCAACAAAGGGUGCAAGAUACACGUACAAGGGCAAUAUUCUUGAAUUGUUGUCCGCAAUUGAUCUCUCUUGCAACCAAUUCACAGGGAUAAUCCCACCUGGAUUGGGGAAUUUGAGUGAAAUCCGAGGGUUAAACUUGUCACAUAACAACUUUACUGGACCUAUCCCCACAACUUUUUCAAAACUCAAGCAGAUUGAGAGUUUGGACCUUUCCUACAACAAUUUAAAUGGAAGAAUCCCCCCUCAACUGACUGAGGUGACUACUUUGGAGGUACUCAGUGUCGCACACAAUAACUUGUCAGGGCCUCUCCCUGAUAGGAAAAAUCAAUUUGGGACCUUCGAAGAGAGCAGUUAUGAGGGAAACCCUCUUCUUUGUGGACCUCCUUUGAACAAGAGUUGUCAUGAAGGUGAUUCACCAGGAACUCCAAGUGCUUCAUCUAGUGAAGAACACGGUUUUAUAGACAUGGGUGAUUUCUAUAUCAGCUUUGCAGUUUCCUUUGCAAUUAUAUUCUUGACAACUAUCAUUGUACUCUAAAUAAACCCAUAUUGGAGACGAGCAUUCUUUUAUUGCAUCGAAGACCAUAGUGUUGAAGUCAGCCCUCCAUGCAGCAGGCAAGGUGACCAUGCAAAGGUGGCCAUGCAAAGGUGGCCAUGCAAGAAGAAAACGUAGCAGGCAUUCGAGCCUUGGUCUGCAGGAGGUGAAGCCUGAAGCUUGAAGUUGCCGAUCCACUUGCUGUUUUUAGUUGCAUUUUGAUAUUUUGUAAUCUAGUUCAUGUUGAACUAAGUAGGUAAAUGUUUUGGUAUUGAUUGACUGAAAAAAAGUUGUACAAGCUAAUCUUGUAAGUUUCAAUGCAAAUUAGUGGUGUUAGGUAGUUGAUUAGGUGAUUACUUGUUUGUUUUACUUGUUGACCAACAUAUGUAAUGGCUUAAUGCCUUGUUGAUGAAAAAAAAUGAAAGAUAUCAGCUCAUUUUUCAUUCAAUCUUCCUCUCUCUUUUCUGUUAUUCACUAGCUAGUUUCUUUUCUGCUUUUGUUUUCUGAGUUGGUUUCUUCAGCAAGGCUCGAGACUUGCUAUCCAAGCAAGACUGAAAACAGUCUGUUGCUGCCUCUUUGCACCAACACAUAGCAUCGCCGGCUAUUUCUUCAUUGUGGAUUGUCUUCGCCGAUUGCUCUACUUAAAGAAACAACUAGCGCCAUGCUUCUUCAAUGGUUGUAGUUCUCGAGUUCAAGGUUAGUAGAUCUUUGUCCUUUUUUAUGUUCAAGAUGGAAGUGUGUAAUGUUAUCUAAGCGCAAUGACUUUUACUUUGAAACUUAGGCUUUGUAAAGUGAUUUGUAUCUGAUUUUGGUUAUAAGAUACAAUGGUGGUUGAACCCAACAAUGAUAAAUUUCAAAUAAAAAUAAAUAAAAUUUGUAUAUAAAAUAUUAAAAUUAAAAAAUAAAAAUAUUGAUAGAAAUAUCACAAAAUUAACUAAUCAAUAUAAUAAAAAUUUAAUCAAUACAAAAUCUUAGUUUUAAUUCAUGGGUUUGAUCAUUGACAUAAAAAUAGAUUUCAAUACUCUUUAAUAAAUUAGUUAUUGUUAACAUUGAAGCACCUUGCAACUGAUCUCCCCCUCACCUUCUUGACAAUCAAAAGAAGUUUAUUAAAAUUAACAUAUUUAUUGCGCUUAAUUUUUAAUAUUUUAGAAUAAGAUGUCAUUAAUUUUAGAUUUAUUAUUCGAUUUUUUAUUAGUUGCAAAAGCAAGCCAAAAAGUAAAAAAAAAAUUGAAAAUACGACAUCUCUAAAAGUUUUGGGAAAAAAAACAAAGUUAAUGGAUAAACUUUUAUUUUGAAAAUAAUACUUUUGAUAUUACAUUAGGAUAAUAUUAUAAUUUUCUAAUAUUUUAUCUUCUGAAUAUUUUUGAAUAACUCUUUAAUACUAUGUUAGAUUAGAAAGUUUAAAUAAGAUUAGAGUAUUAUAUUAGGGUAAACUACUAAAAUAGUCACUUUUGUUUGGUUCAAAUUACAUUUUAGUCACUUAUGUUUGAAAUGUUACGUUUUAGUCACUUAUGUUAUCAUGUUAUAACAUUUUAGUCACUAAGCUGUUAGUUUCUGUUAACAGUGUAACAAUAAGCUGAUGUGGCACGUUAAAUCAUCAUUUCAAACAAAAAUUCUAGGUUAAUUUAUACAAUCGAUCCCCAUAUUUUUUCGUUUGGAGCAAUUUAAUUUUUUCUUUUAUGUUUUUUUAAAAUUUCUUUCUUUUCCAUUCUCUUAUGCUUUCCCUUUGUUUUCCUCCGUUCUCCAUCGCUUUCAACGUAAUUUUGCUAUGUUUUAUUUUUUUUGAAAAAUUUAAUUUUUUCGAGUGAGGCGAGCUUGUGGACUAGUUACAAAUGGAAAACAUAGAAAAACUAUGUUAAAAGUGUAAUCACUGAAUUUUGUUCGGUCUGUAGUUCGUGUUUUGUUUUAUUUUAUUUCAUUUUAUAUAUGUGUUUUUUUUAAAUAAUUUUGUGGGAUUGGCCUCAUUUGGGCUUAAUGAUUGGGUCCAAUGGUUAGGCCUUUGGGGUUUGGGUAAUUGGGUUUUAAGUAAUUUGAUUUUAAGCUUGUUUGGGCUUUAGCCCAUUUUUAUUUUUAUUUUUAUUUUUAUAAUAAUUUUAAAUAUUAAUUAAAUAGUCAUAAUAAAUAAAUAAGAAAAAGGAAAAAAUAAAUUUUACAUUUUAACCCCUGUACUUUUUGAAAUUUACAUUUUGACCCUAAACUUUUCUAAAAUUUACAUUUUAACCCCAAAAAUUUCUAUAAUUACAUUUCAACCUUUAGACUUUCUCAAAAUUUCACUUUGACCCCUAAACUCUCAAGAAAUUACAUUUUGUCCCAUAUUUUUGCUAAAAUUACACUUUUGCCCCAGAAACUUCGCACCCGUUACAUUUUGGUCCUUCUGGGCAUGAGAAGACAGCCCCCAAUCUGCAUUCUUGUGUGCAGCGGCUUCCACGCCUGGCACCCCCAAUGCAUGGCCUCCCUUCCCCGCUGCCACCUGAAAACAAAGAAGAAGAGAACAAAACAAGGAGAUUAAAAAGAAGCAAAAUGAGAGAAAGAGGGAGAGAGGAUUAUUUUUUGGUAGCAAAAAAAAACAACAGUAGAGAAACCAAAAAAUCAAACAGCAGCGAGUAAAAGCCCUCACCACCGUCGCUCGACCACCGCCAUCGUCAUCUUCCCCUUUCCUCCGCCGCCGACUCCUACAACACAAUCAACCAACACAACAAGCAAAGAGAAGAUAAAAGUACAGUAAAUAAAAAGAAAAAACAGUAACCCAAAGGAAAAAGAGAGAAAAAAAAAGAAGAGAAAAGAAAGAAAAAAGGAAGAGAAGGGGAGGCGCGCCGGCCACCGCACCACCGGGCGGAAGGAGUGUCAUUGACGGCGCAAAAGGGCUAGGAUUCAGCCCGAAGAAGAAGAAGGGAGAAAGAAAAAGAGAGAAAAAGAAAGAGAAAAAAGAAAAUAAUAAAGGAAAUAAUAAAAAAUAAAAGUAGCAGCCCAUUAGACUUAGUAGCCCAAACUCAACAAAUUUGUCAAAAAAAAAAGGAAAAAGAGAAGAGAAAAAUCUGUAGCAGGCCGAAGCAGUAGGCCCAAUCGGAGCCCAAAUCCUAGCGCCCAGCAGACUGGUGCCAGCAGCCCAGCAGAUCCGACCCGAUUUCUGGCGGCCCACUAAGGCCCAAUCUACAGCAAAAAAGGGAAAAGAACCUGUCUUUCAAACCCAUAACUUUGGGCUUUUGGGUAUUAUUUUUUAAAUAUAUUUUAUUUUAUUUAAUAUAUUUAAAUGGUGUUUAAUUUAAGUUAAAUUAGUAUGUUUAAAAAUAGUUUUCAUAAAUAUUAUUAUGUCAUUUCAAUUGCAUUUUUUUUAAAAAUAAUAACAAUAAUAAAAUUAUUUUAAUAAAUAAGGCAACGAGGCGGUUUAGCAUCGAGUCACCGAAUUCAUCGCUAUGUUGGGUGAAUAUCGAUAGCUUGUGUUAAAUUCGGGACGCCCUUUUAAAAAUAAAAAAUUCAAAAAUCCUCAUAUUUAAAAAAUUUCUCGUGUUUUAAAAUCCUCGUGUUUCAAAAUUGUCGUGUUUUCAAAAAUUUUAGUGUUUUUAAGAAUUUUCGUGUCUCUAAAAUUCUCGUGUUUUAAAAAAUUUUCGUGUUCUCAAAAAUAAAAAAUGUUUCAAAAAUCUUCGUGUUUUAUCAAAAAAUCGUAUUUUGAUCUGGUCGCGAUUAACUAUUAAAUUGAACUCGUAUUUUUGAAAAUGAAGACAACGUGCGUUUAACAAGAUACCAAUUUUGGGCGUCGCGAGGGUGCUAAUACCUUCCUCGCGCGUAACCGACUCCCGAACCCUAAUUUUCUCUGAAUUUUCACGCAGACCUAAAAUUACAUCUUUUUUAGGAAAAUUAAAAAAAAUUCUUCUAAAAGAGACUUUAUUAGGUGUCCGAUCACACCUAGAAAAAAGAUCGGUGGCGACUCCUUUUCAAAUAAAAUCGAGGCACUGUUUUUAAAUUUUCAAUAAUUAGUUCGACUGGCGCCCAUACCCAAAAUUUUUAGGUCGCUACAGCUGGCGACUCCACUAGGGACCUUUGAGAGUCGAGUCUGACAUUAAACGCGCGUUAUCAAAUUUUCAAAAAUUCUUGUUCAAAUUAAUUUUUAAUCGUGAUCCUUGAAAUUUUUUUUUUCAAAAAAAUCAUGCAUCCGCAUCCGGUUUUGAAAUUAAUAUUUUUCUAACCUGUUUUACUUUCGUGUUUUUUCAGCUUUAAGUUUUGUGGUUUUAGUUUGUUUUUUUAGUAAAAAUAAAAAUAAAAAGGUUUGUGAGUUUCUCCCCACACACCGUGCACUUGCAUUCUUGCAUAACAUGAGCUCUCUACCCGGGCUCCGUCCGUUUAAGUGGAAGUAAACGCUACGCCUUCGUGAGUUAACUCGUCCCUCCGCACAGGCUAGUGAAAUACUUCCGGGUUACAUAUGACUUAUGCUUUCGUGAGUUAACUCGUCCCUCCGCAUAGGCAUAAGUAAAUGUAAUCCCUCGAAUUGAGCUCGCGAGCCCUGACGGGCGAUAACCGAGGCUCCGUACUAGCCUUAGUAGGUGACAGUAUGGACAAUUCGAGUACCUUUUCUAGAACCGAAACUACAUAUAGUGAACCGUAUGAGCCACCCGAGUAGAACCAUACCGAACCUCCGUCCGUCGAAUAGUCACCAAAAUAAGUACACGGGAGAAACGCCUCUUACCUUUUAUUUCUUUUGCAUUUACACUUAUUUAAUGAAUUGAGUCUGUUUAAUAAAUUGGGCCGGAUAGAUUGCCUGAUGGUAUGUGGGGUAGGUUUCUUGUAAAGCAUAUUGGGGCAAGAAAAAAGAAAAAAUAUGGGUCUUUUCCACCAAAUUGCAUGAUUGAAUAGCUUAAUUCGUUAAAUUUUCCAUAGUCUUUAUUUUUCUUCUUUCUUCUUUUUAUAUCUAUUGUGAUCUCUGACCAAGGUUAUUUGUUUUUCAUUUUAUUUUUCAUUAUGCAUCGUAGACAUCUCAUUAGGAAGGUGUUGGUUAAAGAUUGGUUGCCAAAAACGGGUUUCUGAUAGAGGAGUCAAUUACACAAGUAACUGAGAAAAAUGCCGUAGUUCGAGAUUGGUCUUUGAGGACUCAGAAAGCGAAAGGGGAUAGUUUAAAAGAAGGAUACAUCUCUGAUCUUCCUGAGUAUGUGACUUUGAAUGCUCGUCAGAACGAUCUCGAAGACUUGACUAGGAUUUGGAAACAGUGGGACUCAGAUACUAGAAGCAUAUUCACUGAAAAGUAUGGGGAUAUAGCUCACUUGAUAGCAAUCGAUGUGAACGAGCAGUUGGUCCAAGCCAUGGUUCGAUUCUGGGACCCAGCCUAUCAUUGUUUCACUUUCAAUCAGAAAGAUAUGACUCCGACCAUAGAAGAGUAUGCCGCUUUGCUUCGCAUCGAUAAUGUGCAACUCAACAAGAUAUAUGUGAAGGAGCCUAAACCAAUGACCUUCAAGAAAAAGCUAAUGAAGUUGACGGGGAUGACUGAUACAUGGGCUGAAAAACAAAUAAAGAAAAAGAAUGAAGUCAGUUGUGUCUCAUGGUUUUCUCUGCGGGAGUUAGUUCAGAAUCAUCCAGAUGUGUUAAAAAGAGUGGAUUUAUUCGCCUUGGCCGUUUACGGGCUGGUUGUCUUCCCGAAAGUUCUUGGGCAUAUUGAAGUUACGGUUGUGGAUUUCUUCGAAAAGCUGGGGCAAAGAGUCAACCCGGUCCCAACCAUCUUGGCUGAGACUUUUAGAUCUCUAAAUGCUUGUAGGAGAAAAGGGGAAGGACGUUUUAUCGGAUGCGCUCAGUUACUGAAUGUUUGGAUCUUUAGCCAUUUUUAGAAGGUAGAGCGCACGCCUUUCCACAUGUUUUCAAAGAUAUUUGCCCCGUUGGAAGCACACAUUGAAAAAGAUUGGCCGAAGGAUGUCACUGAACAACAUUGGGUCUCGGUUUUUCAGAACCUCCGUGUCGAAGAUAUAACUUGGAGAGCACCUUGGAUUCGUCCCUCUGUCUUAUUAUACAAGUGUGGAAACCAAGACUGGGUGCCUUUACUAGGAUUAUGGGGAGGAGUUGGAUAUGCUCCAUUGUUGGUUCAAAGACAGUUCGCUUCGCGACAGUUUGUACCAGUUACCGAUGGAUUGGCACAAUCAGAGUUUGCCUUUAUGGGUGAGGGUUACAUGAAAAAGGUUCGAGAUACUGCGAAUUCUUGGAGGCAAAUCUACCUAAUGGAAUUAGCUCUCUAUGCUGACACUAUCACUGUAGACUAUGACCUAUGGAGGCAACGGCGAGUGAAGAGUCAAGUAACCCCAUCGAUUGAUGAAGCUUACCAGAAUCCGUUCUUAGAGAAAAUCUCAUCCGAGCUAGAAAUUGCAAAACAUGAAUUUGAACGUGAAAAAACCAAACUGUUGCGAGAUAUUAGUUCUCUCUAGGAGGAGAACUACCAGCUGAAGAUUGAUGUCGAAAUUGAAAAAUCCAGAACCAAAAAAGUCCAAAAAGAGGUUGAAGUUACGAGAAAGGAUUUAAGGGACCUUCAUUUGGAAAACAAGAAAUUAAGAGGCACUAUAAGAAAUAGUGGAUUGGGCAAAGCAUCAGCAGAAUGGAAGGAGGAAUUAAGCAAUAUCAAAGGUGGGAUGGAAUUCUGGAAAGCCAAAGCGAAGAAAGAAGAAGAAAAAGCUGCACGUACUAUUGUCACGGGGCUAGACCUUUCGUCUCGCAAUCCGUGCGGCCUUAGGCGAUCCGUUCGUCCAAACUCGCCCAAGUCAGCCUUAACUCCCAAAAGAGAGGAUUCUUUUAGAACUCCUCCAAGGCACCAAUUCAUAUAGCGAAAGCGAUUGUGCCAAAAGAAGCCACAAGAGAACAACAGAAAGCUAAAGAAAGAAAGCACACAAAGUGUUUGAGUAAAUGCUCAAGAAUUCUAUUACUCUUAAGAAUUCAAGUUACAAUGGAUGAUUUACAAAUGAGGGGGAGGCUCUCUAUUUAUAGUUGAGCUCCCCCAAAACCGACGGUCAAGAUACAUGUACAUCGACGGAUGAGAUUCACUAUAUCCCUUGAUUUUAGGGAUUUACAAGAUUUACCAUAUCAAAUCUAAUCUAAUCUUACAAGAUAAGAUUCUAUUCUAUCUUCUAAGAUUAGUUACCAAAAUUGCCUAAGUUGCCAUGUCUUCAUCAUUGGGCCAACCAGGCUUCAAUCUGAUAGGCUUCUUUAGUAGCUCUUUGAAUCGGGCCAGUUCUUGUGGGCUGAAUGUCCCCCAUCUAAUCGAUAGACCUCUAUGGGGCGCUUCUUGCGGCAUGGUCACGGGCUUUGCACUUUGGCCCGUGACAUUCUCCCCCACCCAAUCUCGCAACGCCCUCGUUGCGUUUUUUGGAUGACACUGGCUUGAUUCACUGUGAAACUCUUUCGUUGCCUCGGCUUCUUCCUGACUCGUCUUGCGAUCAGGUUGUCCCUUCCUUCGGAACUUAUGCCUUGACUUCCGUCGCCUCUUAUCUUGAACCGUUCCACUCGUUGGUACAUUCUGUUGGCAAGUAGUCUCCACUUUAACUUGCCCUAAUUUUGACUUGUUUCUGUUGGAAUCCCCUCGAUUCUCAUACCUCGGCUUCGUACCGCCCACAGUUCCUUGGCCUCCUCACUUAUGAACUUUGAAAGGGCCCCUACGACCUUGCCAAGCCAACAAGUCAGAAUUCAAAACACUAUCAGAGUGUUUGCAAUGUACCUUACUCGUAGCAUUUACUCGUCUCGACUGUCCUUGCAUCGCUCCUUUUUCCAUGAAGCCCGAUGCACAACCCACCUUUCCCAAAGGUGUCAGCUCCACAGUCGAUCUCGCAGGCUUCAUAUCGGUCCCUUGCGCCACUAACACUUCCGAAGAGGCUUUCGUAGCAUUCCGUUUUACCGAUUUAAUGUUUCUCCCAUACGAAACAUCUUCGACUAGUUGGAUUGACGAUAACACCUUAGUCCCAACUUUCACAUCCCGAUGCACUGGCACAAUACUCUUUGUUGAUGGACCGGUGGCAAUAUGGAUUUGAUCGGCCCCUAGUUGCAGAGUUGCCUGAAUCCUAACAAGGAAGUUUAAGCCAAGCACAAAAUCGUAAUCACUUAAUUGGAUUACCUCGAAUUCUUCCUUGCUCUUCCAUUCGCCGAUUUGUAUUUCCACAUCACGAACUACUCCUACAGUUGGGGCUUUCUCAGAAGUUGCUACCUUGAUCUUCUUAUUCGAUUUCCUAAUCGACAGACCAAGCUUCUUCGCAGCCUUUUCCGACAUGAACAAGUCCGAUGCUCCCGCAUCAAUAAGAGCACUCCGCUUCUGACCCGCAAUGUUGACGUCCACAAACAUCAACCCAUUUCCAUUCCUCUUCCCAGGAAUGAGCACCAUCGAAUUGACUUUCGAUGUGUUUCCCUCGGUAGGCUUCGCCUCCUCCUUCGGCUCAUCAUUCUUUGCCGAAAUCAUCACUUUAUUUGGACACUUACGCGCCAUGUGUGGUCCUUGACAAAGGAAGCAUUUCAUCUUCUUCCUCUUGUCCCUUGGGUUGUCUAAUCCCCGCUUCGCAUCUCGUGGUUUCCCAUUGCCACUUGUGCUAUCAGUACUGUUGCCCCCAUCGCUAUGUCCCCUUUCAUCUUCUUCAUGGUUUCUCUCACCAUUGCCCCUUCCAUUGGGCUUAGAUGCCUCAAGCUUGUCUCCCGCCGGAUCAAGCUCAACAAAGGACUCUGCUUCGGCCAUGGCUACAGUAAGUUCGGUGAUUCCUUGCCUUCGCAACUCCUGCUUUGCCCACGGCUUUAACCCAUCCUCGAACCAAUAGAAUGAUAGAAUGCUUCUUUCUCGCUCAAGUCGGAGAUUUGAAGCAUCAACUCACUAAAUGCCCGCACAUACUCCCGAACAGUGUCUUGUUGCGUGAGACGACGCAACUUUGCUCGAGCCUCCUUCUCGGCAAACUGAGGGUAAAACUGCUUCUUCAACUCUCCUUGAAACUCCUCCCAAGUUCCAAUAGCCGUUCCUCCACGUUUCUCAUCCGUGGACCUACGUCGCCACCACAAGAGAGCAACAUCAGAAAAGUAAAUCGAAGCAGUGUUUACCUUAAUGCCAUCAUCCUCGAUGCCCAUCGCUCGGAAGUAUUGCUCCAUUUCCCACAAGAAGUUGUCCACAUCCCUCGCGGAUCGUGCACCCUUAAACUUCUCCGGUUUGGGAACAUCCAUUGCAUGUUACUUCGGCCUUGAAGACAACAUCCCAUUACUCAAAGCGGCUUUGUAAAUCGCGAGCUCCCCUUUGAGCUCCUCUAUUUCUUUCUGCAUGGCUAGCACCAUAUCCUCGAGAGCUUCAUCCCUCUCUGCCAGCUUUACCUCAGUGGACUCGAGUAAUUCCGUUAUCUUUUCCCUAUUUGCACCGAGAGAAUCCAACACAAAAUCUCUGAGUUGCUCCUCCAUUGAGUCUAACCCAUCUGUGCGUCCCUCGACCAAUUCAAGCAUCUCUUUCACGUUCCCUACGGAUUCCUCAAGAUUGACCACUCGAUUCUCCAAAGCUGUCAGCAAUUCCCUCGAGCGACUGGCUUUUCUAGCCCUCCCACGGGUCUCCAUUGGCUCACUCUGACCAACGACUUCUUUUGACAUCCCAACAGUGCCUUCGAACCACUCGAAUAACUUGGUUCAAAACCUGGCUCUGAUACCACUUGUCACGGGGCUAGACCUUUCGUCUCGCAAUCCGUGCGGCCUUAGGCGAUCCGUUCGUCCAAACUCGCCCAAGUCAGCCUUAACUCCCAAAAGAGAGGAUUCUUUUAGAACUCCUCCAAGGCACCAAUUUAUAUAGCGGAAGCGAUUGUGCCAAAAGAAGCCACAAGAGAACAACAGAAAGCUAAAGAAAGAAAGCACACAAAGUGUUUGAGUAAAUGCUCAAGAAUUCUAUUACUCUUAAGAAUUCAAGUUACAAUGGAUGAUUUACAAAUGAGGGGGAGGCUCUCUAUUUAUAGUUGAGCUCCCCCAAAACCGACGGUCAAGAUACAUGUACAUCGACGGAUGAGAUUCACUAUAUCCCUUGAUUUUAGGGAUUUACAAGAUUUACCAUAUCAAAUCUAAUCUAAUCUUACAAGAUAUUAUUCUAUUCUAUCUUCUAAGAUUAGUUACCAAAAUUGCCUAAGUUGCCAUGUCUUCAUCAUUGGGCCAACCAGGCUUCAAUCUGAUAGGCUUCUUUAGUAGCUCUUUGAAUCGGGCCAGUUCUUGUGGGCUGAAUGUCCCCCAUCUAAUCGAUAGACCUCCAUGGGGCGCUUCUUGCGGCAUGGUCACGGGCUUUGCACUUUGGCCCGUGACACUAUGAUAGAGUUGAGGAAGAAGAACGUUGAAUACAAAACUGUGACUGUAGAACUAACGGCUAGUCAGUCUGAGCAUCAAGAGCUAAAAGGAAAAAUUCAAAGUCUAGAAAGUACACUGCAAGCUCAUCAGCAACAUUUGGAUGACCUCUUGAGAGCUUUAGAAGAGAAGAAUGGUCAGCAUGACAGAGACGUUCGCGCCUAUGAAAGAGCCCUCCAAGAAAAGGAUAUGCAUAUCGGCAGUUUAAUCAAUGAAAUUCGUAGGGCGGCUGCGCAUGUAGUACAUUUGUCAGAUGAAGCGGAAGUUCUUAGUUGCCAAUACCCUCCAAGCCAAAGAUCAAGCAUAUCGGAGUUCCUAGAACGUAUAAAGAAACAAGGCGAUGUGGCUAAGAAGUUUGUGUAACUGUAAAACUAAUAUGGCAAAACUUUUUGUAAUGGACUCUUUUGAUAAAUGAAACGCCCAAGUAUGGGGCCAUUUUGGAAUCAACACCUAUUUUUGCAUAUUUACGCAUGAUUAACAUUCAUUAAUUAUUUAUUCAUUCAUUCAUUACAUGCUCAUAUCUCUCUAAUCAUUCGCUAAGGUUAAAACCAUCUAAUCCACAGUUACCACACUACGAGUCUGGAAUCACGUCACUCCUAUAGGACGUGCUUAAAAGCUAGAACUAUGGAUGCCAAACUCAAUGAAAGGAUGGAAAGGAUGGAAAGAACCCAAAGAGAGUUGCAGGAGCAACUGGCCAAUUCGCAGCAAGAGGCAAGAGAUUUGAUGGUGAGAUCUCGAGAGGAAUCGCUAAAGCAAAGGGAUCAAAUGACCAAAAUGAUAGAAAUGAUGACGGCCUUGGUCAAAGGAAAGGGACCUAUGCAGAGCCCUGAUGUCGUAGAGCCGCCUCAGUCAAGAGUUAAUCAAGACUCACUUUAUCCCCCGGGAUUUACUCCACCUCAUGUCCACGCAAUGCGAAGAGGAUACCCCCAAAGGGAACCUACAGGCCUGGAACAACAUCUUGCUCCAUCUGCUCAUUUAGGACAAGGAAUGUUUGUAUCGAACUCUGGGGCUAAUCCUUCAGAUCCAAUUGUUCCAGACCUAGAUGAUCCUGUAGAAGUAGCAAGGCUGAGAAUUGAUGACAAUAACGCUCAGGAUAAGUAUAGGAUCCUGGAAGAGAUGAUCAAGGCAGUAGAAAGCACUGAAGUUUUCUCUACUUUGAGUGCCAAAGAGCUCAGUUUGGUACCUGAUUUGGUCCUACCCCCAAAAUUUAAGGCUCCUGAUUUUGAGAAGUAUGACGGAACAAGAUGUCCAAAGGCGCAUCUGAUCAUGUUUUGUCGAAAGAUGACUGGUUAUGUAAACGAUGAUAAAUUGUUGGUGCAUUGCUUUCAAGAUAGUUUGGUUGGCUCAGCCCUUCGAUGGUAUAAUCAACUCAGUAGAGAGAGAAUCCGAUCAUGGAAGGAUUCGGCUUCAGCAUUCUGUGAGCAAUAUAGGCAUGUAUCGGAUAUGGUGCCUGAUCGACUAACUUUACAAAUGAUGGAAAAGAAGCCGACAGAGACUUUUCGGCAAUAUGCACAAAGAUGGAGGGAUAUCUCGGCUCAGGUAGAGCCUCCGUUAACUAAGACAGAGAUAACAGUCCUCUUCAUUAAUACUCUCAAAGCGCCAUUUUACGAUAAAUUGGUAGGAAGCGCCACAAAGGACUUUGCGGAUAUUGUAAUAUCCGGGGAACUUAUCGAAAACGCCGUCAAGAGUGGGAGAAUGGAAAGCCCCGAGAGUUCGAAGAGGGCGGUACCUGUAAAGAAAAAGGAGGCAGAGGCCCAUAUGGUUGGAACCGAGAGCCACUGUGCUCCCAUUUCGUACUCCGCCCAAUCACGACCUCAUUACCGCCCACCUUCAAACUUCUACUUUCCUCCUCAAGGUCCUUACUACCAGGCACCUCCGUCUUACCCUGUUUAUGCUGUGAAUAACCAAAGGCCAUUCACCGUGUUCCCGCCAAACACCAUGCCUGCACAAAGCCAACCCAAAAAUGAACAAAGACCAGCAAGACCCAAUCCUGAAAGACCUCAGUUUACUCUAAUUCCUGUAUCAUAUGGAGAGUUAUACCCAAAACUGUUGGAAAAACAAUUAAUUUCCCCACAUUACAUGGCACCCCUGAAGCCUCCAUUUCUGAAGUGGUAUGAUCCUAACGCUAAUUGCAUGUAUCACGCUGGAAAUCAGGAGCAUUCUACAGAAAACUGCCUUGCCUUUAAAAGGAGGGUUCAAGGUCUCAUCGAUGCUGGUGUUCUGCGAUUUGAUGGUGUUAGCAAUGUGACGAGAAAUCCUCUUCCUAACCAUACUAGUGGCAAUGUAAAUGCGGUGACAAAUGAAGACAAUUGGCGAGCCAAAGUUCAUGUUGCCGAAGUAAGGACACCUUUGCGGAAGGUGUGGGAGAUGAUGAUUGAAAAUGGCCUACUCUGCCCGCCUAGUAGGAUUCUCAAGGAGGAAAGUAAAAAAGACCAGAGUUCCUGUGAUUUUCAUGGCAUCGAAGGGCAUGAUAUCCAAUCUUGCAAGGAAUUUACAAAAUUACUUCAGGACAUGAUGGAUAACAAAGAGAUCAAGGUCCUUGAUAGUGUGGAGAGGGCUGAAGAAGGAGAAAUAUGUGCCUCUGAUAAUCAAUCGAUGGUUCUCCCUUAUAGCGUCGAUAGACCUUUGGUAAUUUAUUACGAGGCGAAGAAGGAAGAGGUUAGUCGAGAAGUGAAACCAAGUUUGAUAAUCGAGGUACCUGCUCCUUUCUCUUACAAGGACAACAAGGCAGUACCGUGGAAGUACGAUGUCAAUAUCGUUGUGCCUGAAGGUGAAAAGUCAAAAGUUAUGAAUGAAGAUGUCAGUGGAGUAGGACAUUUUACUCGUAGCGGAAGGUGUUAUUCUCCCGAGACAGUUGAACCAAAAAAGAAGGUUGCUGGCCUGAGCCAAAAAGGAAAAGCACCAAUGUAUGAGGUUGAGGAUGAUGUUGAAACACAACUUGAGCAAGAAGUUAAAAAGGCUGUGAAUGAGGAGGAAGCACAUGAGUUCUUAAAGUUUAUUAAGCACAGUGAAUAUAGCGUUGUAGAAUAAUUAAACAAGCAGCCGGCCCGAAUCUCAGUACUAUCUCUAUUGUUGAAAUCAGUGCCACAUCGAAAUGCCUUGCUAAAAGUGUUAAAUCAAGCUUAUAUCGCGAACAAUGUAUCUGUGGAAAAACUUGAUAGGUGGGCAAACAAUCUGAAUGCAGAUAAUUUCAUCUCUUUUAGUGAUGACGAAAUACCAACAAAUGGUAGGGGCUCCGUAAAAGCAUUGUACAUCACAACCAAUUGCAAAGGUUACAUAUUACCAAAUGUGCUCAUCGACAAUGGAUCGGCACUCAAUGUUAUGCCUUUGACCACGCUUUCUAGGAUGCCGGUUGAUAUGUCCUAUCUGAGGCAUUGUCAUUCUGUAGUAAGGGCAUUUGAUAGGACACGGCGAGAAGUCAUGGGAAAGAUCGAAAUUCCUUUAAAAGUGGGGCCAUGUGUAUAUGAUAUCGAGUUCCAGGUCAUGGACAUCACGCCUUCAUACAAUUGCCUCUUAGGAAGACCUUGGAUCCAUUCUGCUGGGGCGGUUCCAUCGUCUCUCCAUCAAAAAGUAAAGUUCAUCAUGGAUAGCCACUUGAUUAUUGUCGAUGGUGAAGAAGACAUCGUUGCAUCGAUCUCUGCUGAUACACCUUACAUCGAAGUAAGCGAAGAUGCUGUAGAAUGUUCUUUUCGCUCAUUGGAAUUUAUUAAUGCGGCAUUUGUCGCUGAAGGGAAUAAGAUCCCCAUUCCCAAACUGUCAAGGAAUACCAAGAUGGGAAUUAAGCUGACUGUGGGAAAAGGAGCUCGGGCGAGGAAAAGUUUGGGAAAAUAUCAACAAGGGAUGGUUAGAGCUUUGAAACCAACGAACCACAAGGGUCGAUACGGUUUGGGGUUCAAGCCAGAUAUACAUUAAAGAAGGAAACAAUUGCAGAAAGAUCGACAAAGAAGAAUCACAAGAGCUUCAGGCCAAGAUUUAGAAUGGGAGCCGUUGGCGUAUCCUCCUAUGUCAAGAACAUUUACAUCAGCAGGAGUGAUGUACCCAGGGCAGGACAAUCCGCAAGUCACAUUAUUGAUUGAAAAGGGUCUUCAGAAUAUCAGCCUAAAUGCUAUUGACAAUGAGAGUGAUGAAAUUAAGAAUGCUUCAAUGAUACGCCCUUGUCCUCCAAGAUAUGUUUUGAGCAACUGGACUGCUGAGGACCUCCUUGUAGUUUUUAAGUCCCCUUCAGAGUAAUGCUCAAUGUUAACCCUUCAUUUUGUGUGUCCUUAAACAGUAGGGUUCCUUUUGUAAGAGCUUAUGUUUGCUCUUUAUCAUUUCAAUGAACAUUAAUGAAGAUGCAUUUUGUUUUAUAUUGUCAUAUUCUUUUCAUUAACUUUGUGACUACUCCUUCUGUUCAUAUCCUCUUCUGGCAUAUGUCUCAUAUCAUCUCAUAUCAUUGUGUGUUGAUUACAAUACCUCAAUACUCUUCUAUAGCCUUUUUCCAUUCACCUUUCAGGUGUUCAGAUAUCAAUGGCAUGAAUAAUCCCGUUAUGAAUCCUGAAAUCAAUUUUGAGAAGGUUGUUUGUUUAAGAGAAUUCGAAGCUGACGAAAAUGUUGAAGAUUGUGUCUCGUCUCCUGACUUACUGAAAAUGGUGGAACAAGAAGAGAAACAAAUCCUACCCCAUCAAGAAUCUGUUGAGGUAGUGAACUUGGGGAGUGAAGAAGAGAAACAAAAAGUGAAGAUUGGGACUUCCAUUUCAAAAAACACAAUGCAAGAUUUGAUUGUCUUGCUCCAUGAAUACAAGGAUGUGUUUGCCUGGUCUUAUCAGGAUAUGCCAGGAUUGAACACGGAUAUUGUGGUUCACAAGCUCCCACUAAAACCAGAAUGCAAGCCCAUUCAGCAGAAAUUAAGAAGGAUGAGACCCGAAAUGCUGUUAAAGAUAAAAGAAGAAGUCAAGAAACAAAUUGACACUGGCUUCCUACAAGUCUCAAAGUAUCCAGAAUGGGUAGCUAAUAUAGUCCCAGUGCCGAAGAAAGAUGGCAAGGUGCGAAUGUGCGUGGAUUAUCGUGAUCUGAAUCAAGCAAGCCCUAAGGAUAACUUUCCUUUACCGCACAUCGACACUUUGGUAGAUAAUACGGCAAAGCAUUCUCUGUUUUUUUUCAUGGAUGGUUUCUCAGGAUAUAAUCAGAUAAAGAUGGCUCCCGAAGACAUGGAGAAAACUACAUUCAUAACAAUGUGGGGAACCUUCUGCUACAAGGUAAUGCCGUUCGGAUUAAAGAAUGCUGGGGCAACAUAUCAGAGAUCCAUGGUGACGUUAUUCCAUGAUAUGAUGCACAAAGAAAUAGAAGUUUAUGUCGAUGAUAUGAUUGCCAAAUCUCGGGAAGAAAGAGAGUAUGUUGGGAGUCUUAGGAAGCUGUUUGAAAGAUUAAGAAAGUUCCAGUUGAAGCUUAACCCGGCCAAAUGUACAUUUGGGGCUACCUCAGGAAAACUGCUAGGUUUCAUUGUUAGUGAAAGAGGUAUCAAGGUUGAUCUAGAUAAGAUAAAAGCUAUACAAGAAUUGCCUCCCCCGCGUACACAAAAGGAAGUCAGAGGUUUUUUAGGAAGGUUGAAUUACAUUGCUCGAUUCAUUGCUCAACUUACCAAUCAAUGUGACCCAAUUUUUCGACUCUUUCGAAAAAGUAAUCCGGGAGAAUGGAACGAGGAGUGCCAAGUGGCCUUCGACAAGAUAAAACAGUAUCUAUCUAAUCCUCCUGUGCUAGUACCGCUGACCCCUGGAAAACCCUUAAUAUUGUACCUGACCGUGUUUGAGAACUCAAUGGGUUGCGUACUGGGACAACAUGAUGAGUCGGGGAAAAGAAAGAAGGCAAUUUACUACCUCAGCAAGAAGUUCACAGAAUAUGAGGCAAAGUACCCUUCAAUUGAGAAGUUUUGUUGUGCAUUGAUUUGGACGGUUCGAAGGCUCAGGCAAUACAUGCUGUAUCACACGACAUGGUUAAUUUCAAAACUGGACCCAAUAAAGUACAUGAUGGAGUCACCUGCACUCUCAGAGAGAAUGGCCCGAUGGCAGAUCCUAUUGACUGAGUAUGACAUUGUAUAUGUGAACCAAAAGUCGAUAAAAGGAAGCGCAAUAGCUGACUUCUUGGCAAGUCGAACAACGGAGGAAUACGAGCCUUUGAGAUUUGAGUUCCCAGAUGAAGAUUUGAUGUGCAUUUUAGAAAAAGAGGGCGAGUCAUCAAAAGGAAAGUCAUGGAAGAUGAGCUUUGAUGGUGCAUCAAAUGCAUUGGGGCAUGGGAUAGGAGCAUUCUUAGUGUCACCUGAAGGGGACCAUUACCCGCUUACUGCUAGAUUGAAUUUUUUCUGUACAAAUAAUAUAGCGGAAUAUGAGGCUUGCAUCAUGGGACUUCGUGCAGCUAUCAAUAGAAAAAUCAAAAUUUUAGAGGUACACGGGGACUCGGCAUUAGUCAUUUAUCAAAUUCGUGGAGAUUGGGAAGUGAGAGAUCCAAAAUUAGUCAAAUGUCAUGAUCUCGUUGCAGAGCUGAUCAAGGAGUUCUAUAAAGUGACUUUUAACUACUUUCCACGAGAGGAGAACCAACUGGCUGAUGCCCUAGCCACCUUGGCUUCGAUGUUCAAGGCAAACAGAGAAACUGAGAUAAUGCCCAUCCAAAUGAGUAUAUAUGAGACCCCCACACACUGCUUUAGUAUUGAGGAGGAGUCAGAUGGACGACCAUAGUUCCACGAUAUCUUGGAGUAUAUCAAGAAUCAAAGGUACCCCGAGCAAGCAAACGAGAAUGACAAAAGAACAAUCAGGAGAAUGGCGAUUGGAUUUGUUCUUGACGGGGAUAUUCUAUACAAAAGGGGAAAAGAUCAAGUGCUCCUGAGGUGCGUGGACGCUGUUGAAGCUAGAAAGAUACUUGAAGAGGUUCAUGAAGGAAUUUGUGGAACACAUGCCAGUGGUUUCACCAUGGCCAGGCAGAUUAUGAGACUUGGUUAUUAUUGGCUGACGAUGGAAAGGGAUUGCAUUGGUUACGCACGAAAGUGCCACAAAUGUCAAAUUUAUGGUGACAAAAUUCAUGCAGCUCCGUCGCCCCUUCAUGUCAUGACUUCUCCGUGGCCUUUUUCCAUGUGGGGCAUGGAUGUUAUAGGGCCAAUUUCCCCGAAAGCUUCCAAUGGGCAUCGAUUCAUCUUUGUGGUUAUAGACUACUUCACAAAAUGGGUAGAAGCCACUUCGUUUGCUAAUGUGACAAAGGCUGCAGUCUGUAGGUUCUUAAAAAAGGAGAUUAUAUGUCGAUAUGGUCUGCCUGAAAGAAUAAUUUCAGAUAAUGCUUUAAAUUUGAACAACAAGAUGAUGAAAGAAGUAUGUGAGCAAUUCCAGAUAAAACAUCAUAAUUCUUCGCCCUAUCGCCCAAAGAUGAACGGAGCAGUAGAAGCCGCUAAUAAGAACAUUAAGAGGAUUAUUGGAAAGAUGACUGAGACAUAUAAAGACUGGCACGAUAAGCUACCAUUCGCUUUGUACGCAUAUCACACCUCGGUACGGACGUCUACGGGGGCAACUCCUUUUUCUCUGGUCUAUGGAAUGGAAGUCGUUCUGCCUAUCGAAGUAGAGAUCCCAUCUCUGCGCGUCUUGAUUGAGACAAGGUUAGAGGAAUCAUAAUGGGUUCGAGCUCGAUAUGAUCAGCUAAACCUUAUUGAAGGGAAACGCUUGAAGGCAAUUUGUCAUGGACAGAUGUACCAGAAGAGAAUGAUUACGGCCCAUGAUAAAAAGGUGCGGCCAAGAGAAUUUCGCGAAGGAGAGCUCGUACUGAGAAAGAUUCUCCCGAUACAGAAGGACUUUCGAGGAAAAUGGUCACCAAAUUGGGAAGGACCAUACGUUGUAAAGAGGGCAUUCUCAGGAGGGGCUCUGAUUCUCACUGAGAUGGACGAGAAAGAAUUACCUAAUCCAGUGAACUCAGAUGCUGUGAAGAAAUAUUAUGCCUAAAAAAAAGAAAAAAAUAACAAAAAAACAAAAAAACAAAAAAACAAAAAAAACAAAAAAGCAAAAAAAGUAAAAAAAAAAGAAGAAAAAUCAAGAUGAAAACCCGAAAAAGGGCGUCUUGAUAAACAAAAAGAAUUGGGAUGAAAACCCAAAAGGGCGUCCUAAUGAAGUGAGCUCGAACUUAAGGUGCAAGAUGACUUGAACAGUGAGUUGAAUGACGAAGUUGCAAUAUUUGAAGCAUUCUCAGAAGCUCGAAACCUUCUACACAAGAAACCGUGCUUGAAUGGAUCCAGGACAAAAAAAACGUGGAGAAGUUCAUGCAUUGGAUAUCUAGAGCAUUUCUGGCCAUUGAAUUCGCUUUCUUUUCUUGAUGACGUUUUAUUUGUUAAACUUUCUUUGUCAAUUUCCUUUGUUUUUUGCUUUCUUUUAAAGAUGAAAUGAAUGUGAGGUUUUUCUUUCAUGCCUACUUUGCCAUUUUUUCCAUGCAUCUCGUGUUUGAUUCAUUUAAAUGAUAAAUAGUAAGAUGACAUACUCUAAACAAAAGAAAUGUUGAAAAUUACCUGGAUGAGAAUUUGACAAGUACAAGGGCCCGAAAGCAGGAACAAUGUUCAGCAGGGGGCAAGAGAGUGAUAUGUGGAGAAAUGUGAAUCACUCACAGAACUUGAGGAUGAGUACAAAACUGGAGAGAAAAGUCAGGAAUUGAGGAAAUGAAUGCGGAACCUCACGAAAAUCAAAAGUGGGGCAUGUGACAAAUAGCCUAGGGUGCAUGGCAUGAUCAUGUAGACACGAAAGCAUUUAGGACAACACGUGCAUAUCAUAAUAACAUCAUACAUGACAUAUACAUGUAUCUUAGUAGAGCAGGGAAUACUGAGAGAAAGUUGCACAGAAUCAACGAAGAAGAAGGCUUUAGUUUCACCUGAUGUUUUGAAACCCUGUUUCUUUCAAGAAUUAUAUUUUUCAAUUUUUGUUUUUCAAAAAUCAACUCAUAAUACGAGAGGUGAGUUGAGCCUCGGGUCACGCUGAGGUAUUUUUAAAUUGCUGCUUUUCAAAAAAUCAACUCAUAAUGCGAGAGGUGAGUUGAGCCUCGGGUCAUCUUGAGGUCUUUUCAAUUUCUUUUUUUUCAAAAAAAAAUCAACUCAUAAUGCUAGAAGUGAGUUGAGCCUCGAGUCACGUCGAGGUAUUUUUCAAUUUUUGGUUUUCACAAAAAUGAACUCAUAUUGCGAGAGGUGAGUUGAGCCUUAAGUCAUAUCCUGAGGUAUUUUUCAAUUUCUAUUUUUCAAAAAAAUUCGACUCAUAUUGCGAGAGGUGAGUUAAGUCUCGGGUCACAUACCGAUGUAUUUCUUUUAAAUUUCUGCUUUUCAAAAAAAUCAACUCAUAUUGCCAGAGGUGAGUUGAACCUCGGGUCACAUAUCGAGGUAUUUCUUUUAAAUUUCCGUUUCUCCAAAAUCAACUCAUAAUGCGAGAGGCGAGUUGAGACUCGGAUCAUGCUGAGGUAUUUUCAAUUUCUAUUUUUCAAGAAAAAACGAUAAUAGAUUUUUAACAAUCGAACAAAAUUCAGUGCUUUUAAGUCAUUGCUCUAUCUCUGUUUCACAGCGACGAGCAAAGAGGGGCAGCUGUAAUCACUGAAUUUUGUCCGGUCUGUAGUUCGUGUUUUUUUUUAUUUUAUUUCAUUUUAUAUAUGUGUUUUUUUUAAAUAAUUUUGUGGGAUUGGCCUCAUUUGGGCUUAAUGAUUGGGUCCAAUGGUUAGGCCUUUGGGGUUUGGGUAAUUGGGUUUUAAGUAAUUUGAUUUUAAGCUUGUUUGGGCUUUAGCCCAUUUUAUUUUUAUUUUUAUUUUUAUUUUUAUAAUAAUUUUAAAUAUUAAUUAAAUAGUCAUAAUAAAUCAAUAAGAAAAGGCAAAAAAUAAAAUUUACAUUUUAACCCCUGUACUUUUUGAAAUUUACAUUUUGACCCUAAACUUUUCUAAAAUUUACAUUUUGACCCCAAAAUUUUCUAUAAUUACAUUUCAACCUUUAGACUUUCUCAAAAUUUCACUUUGACCCCUAAACUCUCAAGAAAUUACAUUUUGUCUCAUAUUUUUGCUAAAAUUACACUUUUGCCCCAGAAACUUUGCACCCGUUACAUUUUGGUCCUUCUGGGCAUGAGAAGACAGCCCCCAAUCUGCGUUCUUGCGUGCAGCGGCUUCCAUGCCUGGCACCCCCAAUGCAUGGCCUCCAUUCCCCGCUGCCACCUGAAAACAAAGAAGAAGAGAACAAAACAAGGAGAUUAAAAAGAAGCAAAAUGAGAGAAAGCGGGAGAGAUGAUUAUUUUUCGGCAGCAAAAAAAAAACAACAGUUGAGAAACCAAAAAAUCAAACAACAGCGAGUAAAAGUCCUCACCACCGUCGCUCGACCACCGCCAUCGUCAUCUUCCCCUUUCCUCCGCUGCCGACUCCUACAACACAAUCAACCAACACAACAAGCAAAGAGAAGAUAAAAGUGCAGUAAAUAAAAAGAAAAAACAGCAACCCAAAGGAAAAAGAGAAAAAAAAGAAGAGAAAAGAAAGAAAAAAGGAAGAGAAGGGGAGGCGCGCCGGCCACCGCACCACCGGGCGGAAGGAGUGUCGUUGACGGCGCAAAAGGGCUAGGAUUCGGCCCGAAGAAGAAGAAGGGAGAAAGAAAAAGAGAGAAAAAGAAAGAGAAAAAAGAAAAUAAAAAAGGAAAUAAUAAAAAAUAAAAGUAGCAGCCCAUUAGACUUAGUAGCCCAAACUCAACAAAUUUGUCAAAAAAAAAAGGAAAAAGAGAAGAGAAAAAUCUGUAGCAGGCCGAAGCAGUAGGCCCAAUCGGAGCCCAAAUCCCAGCGCCCAGCAGACCGGUGCCAGCAGCCCAGCAGAUCUGACCCGGUUUCUGGCGGCCCACUAAGGCCCAAUCUGCAACAAAAAAGGGAAAAGGGCCUGUCUUUCAAACCCAUAACUUUGGGCUUUUGGGUAUUAUUUUUUUUAAUCUAUUUUAUUUUAUUUAAUAUAUUUAAAUGGUGUUUAAUUUAAGUUAAAUUAGUAUGUUUAAAAAUAGUUUUCAUAAAUAUUAUUAUGUCAUUUCAAUUGCAUUUUUUUUAAAAUAAUAACAAUAAUAAAAUUAUUUUAAUAAAUAAGGCAACGAGUCGGUUUAGCAUCGAGUCACCGAAUUCAUCGCUAUGUUGGGUGAAUAUCGAUAGCUCGUGUUAAAUUCGGGACGCCCUUUUAAAAAUAAAAAAUUCAAAAAUCCUCAUAUUUAAAAAAUUUAUCGUGUUUUAAUAGAAUCCCGAUUAAAUAUUAAAUUGAAUUGAGUUAACACCAAUUCGAUGGUCUCAUCGCCAUAUCGGGAUGAAUAUCAUCGAUUCGUGUUAAAUACAGUAUUUUUUAAAGAAAAAUCGUGUUUCAAAAAUUUUCAUAUCUUCAAAAUCUCUCGUGUUUCAAAAUAAUAAUAAUAAAAUUUCCCGUGUUUCAAAAAAACAUAUUCGUGUUUCUUUCUUUUAAAAAAAUUCGUGUUUUAAAAAAAACAAAAAAAUUAUGUUUUCAAAACUUUCGUGUUUUCAAAAUUUUUGUGUUUUCAAAACUUUCAUGUGUUUGUGUUUUCAAAAAAAAUUCUCGUGUCUUUUAAAAAAAUUUCGUGUUAAAAAAAAUUCAUGUUUUCAAAAUUUUCGUGUUUUUAAGAUUUUUCGUGUCAAAAUAAUUCUCAUGUAUCGAAAAUUUCCGUGUUUUCAAAAAAUUUCCUCGUUUCCAAAAAUUCAGGUGAUUUAAAAAAUCUUCGUGUUUUCAAAAACUCCGGUUUUCAAAAUUUUCAUGUUUUUCAAAAAAUUCUCGUGUUUCAAAAACUUCCGUGUUCUCAAAAAUUCUCGUAUUUCAAAAAUCUUUGUGCUUUUAAAACUUUCAUGUUUCAAAAAUUUUCAUGUUUUCAAAAAAUUCCGAUGAUCAAAGAAAUUUUUCGUGAUUUCUAAAAACUUCCAUGUUUCAAAAAUUUUCGUGUUUUAAGAGUUUUCUUGUUUUCAACAAUUCUUGUAUUUCUUAAAUUUUCGAGUUUCAAAAAAUCGUGUUUUCAAAAAAAAAUUUCUCGUGUUUUAAAAUCCUCGUGUUUCAAAAUUGUCGUGUUUUCAAAAAUUUUAGUGUUUUUAAGAAUUUUCGUGUCUCUAAAAUUCUCGUGUUUUAAAAAAUUUUCAUGUUCUCAAAAAUAAAAAAUGUUUCAAAAAUCUUCGUGUUUUAUCAAAAAAUCGUAUUUUGAUCUGGUCGCGAUUAACUAUUAAAUUGAACUCGUAUUUUUGAAAAUGAAGACAACGUGCGUUUAACAAGAUACCAAUUUUGGGCGUCGCGAGGGUGCUAAUACCUUCCUCGCACGUAACCGACUCCCGAACCCUAAUUUUCUCUGAAUUUUCACGCAGACCUAAAAUUACCUCUUUUUUAGGAAAAUUAAAAAAAAUUCUUCUAAAAGAGACUUUAUUAGGUGUCCAAUCACACCUAGAAAAAAGAUCGGUGGCGACUCCUUUUCAAAUAAAAUCGAGGCACUGUUUUUAAAUUUUCAAUAAUUAGUUCGACUGGCGCCCAUACCCAAAAUUUUUAGGUCACUACAAAAAGAAAUGAAGAAUGGAGGAAAAUAGAGGGAGAAGCAAAAGAGAAUGAAAAAAAGAGUUAAAAGAACUUAAAAGAAAAUUUUAAAAUUUUUUAAAAUAAAAAAAAUAUAGGGACCAAUUGUAGAAUUUAACCUAAAAAUUUUGUUUGAAAUGAUGAUUUAACAUGCCACAUCAGCUUACCGCUACUCCAUUGUUGGCAAUUAAGGACUCAGUGACUAAAAUGUUACAACACGAUAACGUAAAUGACUAAAACGUAACAUUUCAAACAUAAGUGACUAAAAUGUAACCUAAGGCAAACAAAAGUAACUAUUUUGUAGUUUACCCAUUAUAUAUAUAUAUGCGCGUAGAAAGGGGAUGGUCAACUUUGAAUUUAAAUGAAUUGCAAAUUUCAAUCCUGUUUGUCUCUUUUGACUUGCGCUACAUUGCGCAACUGUUUUUUUUUUUUAACUUUUCUUUCAUUCAUUUUUAUUUUUAUUUUUCGUUUUUCUUUGUUAAAACCUUCGUUAAUAUGCUUAUUUUCAUGAGUAAUUAAAUUUCUCAUUUAGCUUUUGGAGAGAGAGAGUUGUAAGAUCCGAAAUUAUACUUAAAAUUCUUUAUUUUGGUAUUUAUUACUUUUCUGGUUAAGGAGAUAGGCAGUGUUAUCUUAUAAAAUUGUAGUGACAUAAAAUAAAAAAGAGCUCAUUGAUUCGGUGUAAUGCAGUGUAUAGUUAGAAGAACUGAAACGAUAGGUAACUAUCAUAACCAGUCUAUCGAGGAAUACAUUGACGUAUUCAAUUGAGUGAGUAGUUGGAUCCGUGAAGGAAAACAACAAUCGAAUUUAAAUGACCCAUGUGAUCAAGGCCAUUGGUUUGUGUCGGACCCUUCUAGUUCGUAAGGCUACUAAAGAGCUAAAUCAUAUAAAUAUAUUUCGUGGUUGUUCGUUCGGUAAGAGUUAGCUCUUGGACAUUCUCGCAACCAAAGUCGUUAAAAUCAAAAUAAAUAUUGACUAGGGGUGUUCAUUCGGUUAACCGGUCGGUUAACCGACCCGAAAUAACAUUAACUGAAUUAACCGACCUUUCAAAAUCUUUAACCGUUAACCGAACCGAAUUUUUUUUCAAAAAAAUUAACCGAACCAAAAUUUUUUCGGUUAAUUCGGUCGGUUAACCGAAUUAACCGAAAAUUAUAUGUUUUUUUAUUUUUGAUUAAAAAUUAACCAAAUUAACCGAAAUAACCGAAUUACCCGAAAUAACCGAAUUACCCGAAUUACCCGAAUUAACCGAAUUACCCGAAUUAACCGAAUUAACCAAAUUGAAUCACUACAUAAUUAAAUUAUUUUUAUACUUUUAGACUUUAGUUUUAGUCUUAGUUUUAAAAUUUUAUUUUUAUUUAUUAAAAUAUUUGUAAUUUAAUUUUAUGAUUGGGUUGGGUUGGGUAAUUGGGUUGGGUUAAAUACUUGGGUUUAGAUGAAUAGUGGGCCUAUUUAUUUAUUAUAAUUUUAUUCAUUAAUUUUUUCGGUUAACCGACCGGUUUCGAACCGAAUUAACCGUUAACCGAAAAAUCAAAAAAUAAUUAACCGACCCCCGACCGAAAAAAUUCGGUUAACCGACCGAUUAACCGAAUUCGGUCUGUUAAUCGAAUUUUUUCGAUUUUACCCGAAUUUUGCACACCCCUAAUAUUGACAGUCAAUGUCUCAAUUUAUAUGGAUUAAAUUUAAGUCGAAAAAAGAAGUUUAAACUUCAGUCCCAAAAUUUCAAGUUCAAAUACUAACUUCUUUCUCUAAUUUUUUUUUUUUUAAAGUUAGUUUAGCAAAUUUCCAUACUGAGAGGAACGAAGAAAGGGAAACGGUUAGUUCGAAAAGCAGAAGAUAAUGCAAAAUUCCGUGAAAUUGGAAACAAAACACAAUUUUCAACGUAUAAACUAUCCACGCAAAAGGCAAUUAAAAUUAGGAAAGAAAGCUUCAUCGUUUCCCUUGUCAUCUUCUGUUAGGAGCUCUACACAACAGUAGCUAAGUUUUAAGAGUCCGAUUAUAUUUUAACCCAUCUAUUAAAAGAUUAGUAAAUUAGUCAUAUAAAGUUUAAGAGUAAACUGGUCAUUCUGUUAAAAGUUCCAUCUAUUUUUUCUGUUAAAUGAUGACAUAAUUGACAAAGCAAGUACGUAGCGACACAUGACGUGCGAUGUGUAUCUCAUGCUAAUGUAGCAUUUCCUCACAACAAAUAUUUAGAAAAUAAAAACUUAAUGAAAUGAAUAAUUUUUUUAAUAAUUAUUUGAAAAACCAUGUCUAGAAUGAACUUAGAUAAUGGUUGUUCAAAUGUACCUAGGCAAUAGUUUGUUCAUAUUCAUCCUAAAUGUGGUUUUUCAAAUAAUUAUUAAAAAUCAUUUGUCUAGGUUCAUCUUAGAUAUGCUUUUUUAAAUAAUUAUUUAUUUUUAAGAAAUUAUUGAUAAUUAUAAGAGAUUAUUAAAAAAUUAAUAAAAUAUUACAAUAUUUUUUUAAUAAUUAUUUGAGAAAAACCAUGUCUAGGAUUGAAUCUGGACAACCAUAUGUCCAAGUUUAAAUGCACCUAGACAAAUAGUUAUUUGGGUUCAAUCUUGGACAUAGGUUUUCAAAUAAUUAUUAAAAAUUAAGGAUUUUUAUUUUAUAUAAUUAUUAAUUUUAAUAUUUUUUUAUAAUUUCUUGUAAUUGUUAGUAAUUUUUAAAUAACUUCUUAAAAAUAAAUAAUUUUUUGAAAAAACAUAUCUAAGAUUACACUUCGAUUAUUUUUGUUUAAUUUUAUGAUGUAAAUAUUUGGGUCUGGUUAUCAUAUUAUAGCAAUUUUCUGCUGCACACUCCAAAAUCAUUUUUGGACAUCUUAUUAAGGUUUUUGUAAUGCCCCAAAUAUUUGAAUGUGUAACCGUUGAAUUCUGUCGUAAUUAAGUCUCUGUAUCUGUGUUCGAGGUCGGGAGUUUGAGUCGUGUUUUUGUUUUUUUGUUUUUUGAAAGUCUUGUUAUUUUAAGUUAAACUAAUCUCUAUUCCUAAGCCAUCGACUUAAUUUUAAUUUAGUACGAACUUAUGUCAAGAAUGAACCUACUAGUUUAUUGGUUAAGCUUCUGUAUUCUGCUUGGUCCUAUGUUUGAGUCCUGGAGUAUGUGAUAGGGAACAUUUUUGCUAAUGCUAGGAAUCUGAUUGGUAGUUAAUUAGGAUUUAACUCAUCUUCUAUUUUUUUCUUUUCUUUUUAUUGUUUCUUCUUCUUUUCUUCUCCUUUCUCUUUUUCGAUUCUUUUAUUUUUCUUCAUUUUGAUUAAAGUCGUAAGUAAAUUCGGGACUAAUAGAAGUUAUACGAUGUUAGUUGCGUAGAUCGAAUGGUUAUUAAGUAAGUUUCACUGUCAAUUCGUUUAAUUCUGCAAUUUUUCCUUUUGUUCUUCGUAGCAUGUUCUGAAUCGGGCAUUCCAAGUGUAUUGUGUAAUUUUCUGAUAAUCAAUCGUUUGGUUUCCCUAUUAAGGUGGGGACAUUAGGAGUAGCGAACCUCAAAACGUCAAUUCGAGUAAUCGUUGUUGAUCUUUCGAUAAGUGUUGAUUUCGUUGAAGGUUUCGUGUCGAAACUUUCGACAUAAGUAUUCUAUGUAUAAUUGUGUAUUAUUGUCGAUAUAAUUGGUUGAUUGAGUUUUUGGAUGGUCGUUUCAGGCUUUGAAAGUCUUCUACAUUGUUUUGACUUCGAAAUUACUUCAGGCGCAUACCAAAAAUCCAAGUUUUUACGAAUUUUGGAAGCUGGAAAACAUGGCUGUUGACACCACACGGCCAUGUGCUAGGCCAUGUGGUAGGCCAUGUGAGCCAAACGGGCGUGUGACAGGCUGUGUGUUAGGCCGUGUAACACAUUGUCUACCAAAUACGAGCCACACAAGCAAGGGACACGAGCGUGUGUCCAAGCUGUGUAAGUCACUGAUUACAAGAUAAGGAUCACACGGCUCAGGGACACGAGCAUGUGUCCAGGCCAUGUGACUUACUGUUGCUAUCAGAGACCACAUGGGCCAAAGACACGGGCGUGUGCCAGGCCAUUUGGGGUCAUACGGGCCAGUCAUUUAGAACGUGUGAAAGUACACAAGCGUAUGGGUCAAAUUUGGAAUUUAUCUCUGAGGCCGUAAACAUCAUCUAACAUGAAUGUAGACAUUUCGUAGUGUAUUUAUGGUCUGAAUUAAACCGUAUGAAUGCUAUGUGAUGAUCUGAGACUGAGGUGUUAAUUAUAUAAAUGUAUACUGAUUGUGAUGACCGUCGAUGAUAUUGAUUUGUAUUACCUAACUAUGAAUUGAAUCUAAAUGACUGUUUGUACGUUCUUGACAUUUGUAAUCUGCAUUUGCAUUGGAUGAGAAUUAUGUAAAGGAGGAAAUGAUCUGUUCUGGCUUAGUGGCUAAGCCACAAUGUAUAUGUGAAUCUAGCAUUUUAUCGUAAUUUGAUUUGGCAGCUAGUCUGCAUCUCAUUGAACGUGUCUGACCGACACUAUAUGAUGUGUACUGCUGGAUGAGUAUUAAAUUCCCUUAAUGGUGUGUUGGGAUGGUCGAAGAUGGUGUGUAGCGGAUAGGGGUAGGACUAACUGCAUCUGUUUCUAAUAUGUUUUGUAGCUGAACUGGAAUUGUUCUGCCAUUUAAUUGAUACGUUAAAACUGUAUUGGAUAUUCUUUGAUUCUGAGUGGAACUUGAGUUUAAGAUUUCAUUAUUAUAAUUGUGUUUCUAAUUGAAUCUAUAUCGGUUAUACAAUGGGUUCUCAACUCAUUGUUGUUGACUAAAUUUGAAGUAACUCACACUCUUGAUCGGGUUGGCAUAGUGGAAGCUCGAUCAAUCUACUUUGUCACCCUUUAUUUAUAUUAUUAAGUAGUUUCAAUAUUUCUUAGUAUUAUAACUAUCGAAACCACCUUUUGACAACAAAAAUUAGUUGUCAACUUAAAAACGAAAAUUGGAGUCGCCACCGAUCAUUUAUUAGGGUGUGAUCGGCUCACCUUAAAAAUGAUUUUGGUCUGUGAAAUUUGAGAAAACAGGUUCGGGAGUCAGUUACGCACGAGGAAGGGUUAGCACCCUCGUAACGCCCAAAAUUGGUACCGAAUUGAUUGUUUAAUGUCUUAGUGUCGAAAAUUUGAAAAUAUUUUAAAAUACAAUCCUUUUAACUUGAAUAAAUUGAAUAAUAAAACACUCUUAUUUCAAAGAAAUAAAAUGUCACACCCAGUGAGUUAGGGCGCAACAUUUUUAAUCUUCAAAAUUAAGUUUAUCUUUUGACUUUUAAAACCCAUGCAUGUUGAGAAGGAUAUUUGGUUAUUUGGGUCAAAUGAAAAAUUAAAACCCAGUAAGUUAGGGUUAAAUUUCCCAAAAUUCCUAAAUACAGAAUAUUGCCUUUAUUUUUAGAAAUCUUUAACUCAAGGUAGCAAAAUUUCAUAUCCAGUAAGUUAGGAUCCAACAUUUUGAAAUCCCGAGAGAACUUUUUAUUUUGAAUCUGUGUGAUUUUAUUAAAAAAGGGAUACUCGGCUAUCCAAAUUUAACGAAAAGAAUUGAAGCCCAGUAAGUUAGGGUGCCAUUCUCUCGAAAAUUGUGAACACCGAGUAUUUUGAAAGUUUUUGAAAUAAAAAGAUUCUCAAAACUUAAACCAUAUUAAGCAUAAUUUUUGAACAAAUAAAGCAUGAUGGAAAUGAUAAUAUGCAAUGCGAAGUCAUAAUUCGUAAACCAAAAAAAAGUACUCUAAUGGAUGACAAAUCAUUGAUAAGUACAAAUAAGCGAUACAAUACACAUAAGGGCAAUAGUCACAUAUCCUGUAAAUACAAACAUUAAUCUUUGCGAGCCAAGAAAAAUACCAAACAAAUUAACAAAUAUGAAACGUGACAAGUUUUUGAAAUAACUAAAAAUAAAUAAACAACAUGCAAGAAAGGAAAUCAUAAUCAAUAAAUUAUAUGUACAAAAAUGAAAGUUUGAAGUAAAUCAAAAAUAUAGGGUUUUUAAUAUAUAUAUAUACUAUGUGAAACAAAAAUAUCUAAAUAAGUUUUAAAGUAAAUGUUUCAUAUGAAGAAAAUCAAAAUGAGUAAUAUAUAAAAAAUAAUAUAUAUAUAGAUAUAGAUAUAUAGAUAUGUUAAUUUAAAUAAAUAAUACAUAUGGAAUGAAAAACUCAAAAUAAAUAGUAAUAUAUAUGAUAAAGUAUGAAAGUAUUAACUUAUAGAUUUAAAAAUAUAGGGAUAUAAAAGAGAAUAGAAAACCAAUAUUAUAAAACUAUGAAAGGUGUACAAAUUAUAUCAAGUUAAUAAAUAAAUGACAAAAUAAUAAGUACUAAAUGUACGUGCUAAAACUUGCAAAUUUAAAAUAAUAGUACAUCAAAACUUAAAGAGUGUUAAUGAUAAACUUAAAAUAAUACUAAAAUCAAAUAUUAAGAUAAUAUUAAACUUAAAAUUAAAUGUAUAUUAAAAAUAACAACAUAAUAAAUGGGCGGAUUAAAUCAAAAUGAUAAGGAUUAAAUUAAUUUUAAGACCGAAUUAGAGAGAAAAAAAUGGAAAUAAAAUAAAGCGGAGGGCUAAAUCGUGACGUGCGAAUAACAUGAAGAUCGAAUGGGAAAUAUUCCCUUUCCUCAAAAUGCGACGUCUUUAGUAGGGACUAAAUUGAAUCAAGAAUCAAAUACACGACUAAAAUUAAAAGGAAAUAAAACAUCAAAAGACCAGAUCAAAAUGUAUCUGAAAGGAGGAGGGGUCGCAUGCGCAAAUAGCCCAAAUUACAGAAAUGCGCGGAUCCUUCCCCGGGUCAGGUCACCGUGCGGGUCGCUGAGGUUAAAUGAUCAAUACGGCACAGUUUUAGAGCCAUUGAAUCAGGCACUAAAUGUUGUCGUUUUAUGCACAAUAUAAAAGCUAUCCAAAACCCUAAAAUCAUAAUCUUUUCCAUUGUCAUUGAACCAUCAGAAAUAAAAACCUAAAUCCUCUUGCAUUCCUUCGCUCCCUUCAAACCUAAAACUUCGUCAGACUCCGAUUUGGACGGAGUAAAUGAGGUUUCAACGACGCUUGCACGAAGGUAAGUUUCUUGCCUCCUCUUCUAUUUCUUUCCUUUUUUUUACAUACAAUGAAUCAAAACAGAAGGAAAAAAAGCAGAAAUAAAAAGAACUCCGGUCACCUUAAAAGAAAUUCUGAUUUGCGUUUGAAAUUUUUGAUUUUUUUAUUGAUUUCGUAUCCAAUGUUUAACCCUUUGCAAUUUUUUUAAUGGCUUUUUAUAACCGAAAUGAAAAAAAGAAUCCCCCCGAAACCCUCUAUUUUCCUAUUUUUUUCUCUAAUAUUUGUUAUUGUGUUGGCAUAUUGUUGUUGUUGCUUUUCCAUUUGCUGCAGGUACGGCCUGAAGGAGAAGAAGCACACAUGCGAGGAGGCGCAGCACGCGCGGGAGGGGGGCCCGAUUGCUGUGGCACUAGAUGCUGCUGUUACUGCCUUAAGGUUUCUAGAAACUAUUUUGGGCGUUGAGCCACAUUGUUAUUAGGCCACUGUUUUAGGAAUUUAGAUUGGGUCUGGGUUAAAUUUUGGGUCUGGUGGAUUUUUUUGUAAUUUGGACUGUUUAUUGGACUAUUUAAUUUUGGUUUUUUCAUUUGGUUUAUUUUACUAAUGGGUCGGGAAAAUUGAGCCUAUUACAAUAACUUUCUAAGAUUUUUGAAUUAUUGACUGGAUUUUAUGGUUCUUAUAAUCUAUCAAACGAUUUUAACUAUAUUUAUAAAAGUUGGUUUUCCUAGCAACGUUAUUGUAACUCUUCGGACUUGAUCUUGAUGCCUAGGCCGGAUUUGGAGUGUUAUAUAUAGUGGCAUUAGAGCCAGAUUUGUCAACACUUGAAUUGUGUUUUGGGCUCAUAAUGUAUGUCAAAAGGUAGUUAAAUGAAAAUAAGAUAUCUGAGUCAUAAUGGACUCACUAAUGUCGAACUUAAAUGAUACAAGAAGAGUUUAAACUAGAGGUGAUCAUGGGCUGAGUCGGGCUGGGACCAGAAAAAUUUUUCGGCCCGCAUCCUAGGCCUGGGCCCGGCCCGGCCCGAAAUAUGGGAUUGAAAUUUUGUCCAGGCCUAACCUAGGAAAAAAUUCCUAAGCCCGAGCCCGGCCCGGCCCGGCCCUUUUUUUUAGUAAACACCAAAAUUGUAUAAAAAAACCUGCAAAGUAUAAUCAACCAACCAGUAUAAUCAACCAACCAGAAUAUCCAUACAUUAACCAAUCAACAUAUUUAAUUUUAAAACAAAGUAUAAAUUGUAAGCUAAAUUAAAUUUUCAACAAUUAUAAAGGAAGUAUCCUAAAAAGCAACCGAAGAAACAUCAUCCUCAUCGUCCUUUUUGCAACCAAUUUAUUAUAUUCGAAAAUGUAUUUUAAAAAUAAAAAGAGUAUUUUAAAAAUGCUUUAAAAUAAAAAAAAUAAAAAAAUAUAUUUAUUAUAUAAAUACUAAAUGUCUAAUGGGAAAUGGGGAAAUGGGAAAUGUAUUUUAAAAAUAAAAAUAUUUAUUUAUUUAUUAUAUAUUCGGGUCGAGAUGGGGCAGGCCCGGGCCAAAAAAGUUUUUCCCAAGGCCCGGCCCAUUUUCUAAACGGGCCUCAUUUUUUGUUCAAACCCAUAUUUUGAACCUAUAUUUUUACCCGAACCCUCCUAUAUUUCGGGUGGGCCAUCGGAUUGGGCCGGGCUGCUCAACCCAUGAUCACCUCUAGUUUAGACUACAUCUAUAAAAUUUUAAUUUAUAGGUUCAUCCUGGAUGUUCUUUUCAAGUAUUUAUUAAAAAAAUAUUUAUUUUGAAAAAUUAUUUAGAAAUUAUUAUGAAUCAUAAGAAAUUAUUAAAAUGUCAUAAAAUAUUUCAAUAAUUUUUAAAAAUUAUUUGAGAAAAAUCAUGUCUAGGGUUAAACUUGUACAGCGAUUUGUCUAGGUUCAAAUUCACCUAGACAAAUGGUUGUUUGAGUUCAAUCAUGGACAUGUUUUUUCAAAUAAAUUUUAAAAAUUUAAGGAUUUUUAUUUUGAAAUAAUUAUUAAAUUAAUAGUUUUAAUAGUUUUAUAAUUUCUUAUAAUUGUUAGUAAUUUUUAAAUAACUUGUUAAAAAUAAAUAAUUUUUUUUUGAAAAACCACAUCUAAGAUUACAAAUUGAUCACCAUGUUUUUUUUACAUCCUUAAUAAUUAUUUUUGUAUAAUUUUAUGCUGUAAUUAUUUUUCUGUAUCAUAUUUGUGUCUUGUUAUCGUAGUAUAGCAAUUUUUGCUUGCAAACUUUAGGACCGGUUUUGGACAUCUUACCUAUGUUUUUAUGUUUGAGAUAUUAUGCCUAAAAAAAAUUAAGAUGAAAACUCGAAAAGGGCAUCUUGAUAAACAAAAAGGAUUAGGAUGAAAACCUGAAAGGGCGUCCUAAUGAAGCGGGUUCGGACUUAAGGAGCAAGACGACUUGAACGGGGAGUCAAAUGGCGAAGUUACAAUAUUUGAGGCAUUCUCAGAAGCUCAAAAUCUUCUAUAGAGGAAGCCAUGCUCGAAAAGAUCCUUGACGAAUAAACGUGGAGAAGUUCAUGCGUUGGAUAUCUAGAGAAUUCGUGGUCAUUCAAUUCAUUUCUUUUCUUUGUGAACUUUUCUUUAUUAAACUAUUCAUUGUCAAUUUUCUUUGUCUAUUGCUUUUAAAAUAAAAUAUAAACGUGAUGUUUUCCCUUCAUGCUUACUUUGCCAUUUUUCAAGCAUCUCAUGUUUGGUUCAUUUAAAUAAUAAAUAGUAAAGUGACAUACUUUAAACAAAAGGAAUGUUGAGCAUUACCUAGAUGAUAAAUUGAUAAGUCUAAGGGCCCCGAAGCAAGAACAAAGUUCAACAGGGGCAGGGGGUGAUAUACGAAAAUGUGGGUUACUCGCAAAACUUGAGGAUGAGUACAAAACCUGAGAGAAAGUCAAGAAUUGAGGCAAUGAAUGCGAGCCCUCACGAAAAUUAAAAAGGGGGGCACAUGACAAACAACCCAAGGUGCAUGGCAUGAUCACGUAGGCAUAAAAGCAUCUAGGACAAACACGUGCAUAUUAUAAUAACAUCAUACAUGACAUAUACAGGUAUUCUUGUAGAGCAAGAGAUUUUGGGGGCAGCUGCAUUGAAUCGAUGCAAAAGAAGACUUUCGAGUUUCACUUGAUAAUCUUUUUGAAAUUCUAAUUUUCUCAAAAUUAUUUCUUUCAAUUUAUGUUUUUCAAAAAUCAACUCAUAAUGCGAGAGGUGAGUUGAGCCUUAGGUCGCAUGCUAAGGUAUUUUCAAUUUAUGUUUUUCAAAAAAAUCAACUUAUAAUGCAAGAGGUGAGUUGAGCUUCAGGUCGCACGCUGAGGUAUUUUCAAUUUAUGUUUUUCAAAAAAAUCAACUCAUAAUACGAGAGGUGAGUUGAGCCUCAGGUCACACACUAAGGUAUUUUCAAUUUAUGUUUUUCAAAAAUCAACUCAUAAUCCGAGAGGUGAGUUGAGCCUCGGGUCACACGUAGAGGUAUUUUUCAAUUUAUGUUUUUUUUAAAAAAAAAAUCAACUCAUAAAUACGAGAGGGAGGUGAGCCUCGGGUCGCACUCUGAGGUAUUUUUCAAUUUUUGUUUUUUCAAAAAUUAACUCAUAAUCCGAGAUGUGAGUUGAGCCUCGGGUUGCACGCUGAGGUAUUUUCAAUUUCUGUUUUUCAAAGAUCAACUCAUAAUUAGAAAGAUGAGUUGAGCUUCAGGUCGCACACCGAGCUAGUUUCGAUUUCUGUUUUUCAAAUAAAAAUAAAAAUUUUGGACAACUGAGCAAAAUUUAGCACUUUUAAGUCUUUACCCUAUCCCUAUUUCAUAGUGAUGAGCAAAGAGGGGCAACUGUAAUAACUGAAUUUUGCCCAGUUUGGGUUUCAGGCCGGGCUAGUCUCAUAUGGGCCCAGGCCCAUCGGGAUUUAAUUUUGGGUUUUUAUAUAUAUAUUUUUAUUAAUUUUAAAUAAUAAUAAUAAAAUUUGAAAAAUACAAAAAAUUUAAAUUACAUUUUGACCCAUAACUUUUCAAAAUUACAUUUUGACCCCUAAACUUUCCUAAAAUUACAUUUUAACCCCUAAAAUUUCCCAAAAUUACACUUUGGCUCCAAAAGUUUUGCUGUGUUUGCAAUCUGGUCUUUCUGGCAGCCAAGCGCGGUUUGCACACCUACCCCCUAUUUUCCGACCAUCGGCCUAGGGCAUGGCCUCCCUCCUUCCUAGCCACUUAAUCCCUGCAAAAAAAACCAUAAAAAGGGGUUUUUACCCCCAAAAAUCGGCCAACAAUCAACAACAAAAAAGAGGAAAAAAUCAAAAAAAAAAGAGAGGAAAGAAGAUAGAAAAAAAGAGAAGGAAAAAGAGGGGAGUGUUGGCACCGUCGCACCACGGGUGGAGGAAACGGUGGCGGCGACUAGGGUUUUGUGGAAGAAGAAGAUGAAGAAGAAGAAGAAGUAGAAAGGAAAGAAAGAAAAAAUAAAAAAUAAUAAAACAGUUGGGUUGACCCGACCUGAAGACCCGAAUCCGACUCGGAUUCGACCCGCGGACAGCAAGCUCCAGCAGGCUAGCAGCAGCCAGCCCAGCAGCAGAAAAAAAAAAGAAAAAAAGCCCGAGUUGUGUAACCCGUUCGAUCAAGCCGUAUUUUUGGGCUUUUCGGUAAUUUUUUUACUUACUUUUAAUUUAAUUCAUAUAUUUUGAUGACAUCUCAUUUUUAAUAUUAUUGGCAUUUUUUAACAUUUGUUUUUUUUAAUUUUAGAAAUAUUUUAUUUAUAAUUUUUUUAAUUUAAAUAAUUUCAAUAAAUAAGGCAACGAAUCGAUUUAGCAUCAAGCCGUUGAUUUCAUCACUAUGUUGAAUGAAUAUCAUUGGCUCAUGUUAAAUACGGGACGCCCUUCUAAAAAAUCGAGAAAUUCAAAAAUUCUCGUGUUUUAAAAUGAAAUGUUUACUUUUGUGAUUACUUGUAAAUUAUUGAAAUACCAUUUUUAAAAUGUGUAUAAUACCAUAAUAUGUAAUUUAUCGAAAUUUUCGUUUUUUUUUAAAUUGGAUCACGAUUAAAUAUUAAAUUGAAUUCGUAUUUUUAAAAAUUAAGACAACGCGCGCUUAACGAUAUACCAAUUUCGGGCGUCACGAGGGUGCUAAUACCUUUUUCAUGCAUAACUGACUCCUGAACCCUAAUUUUCUCUGGAUUUUGACGUGGACCUAAAAUUGACUCUUUUUUGGAAAAUUUUAAAAAUAAGUUUUCUUUUAAAAAGAGAAUUUAUUAGGUGUCUGAUCACACCUAGAAAAAGAUCGGUGGCGACUCUUUUUUUUUAAAUAAUAUUAAAAUUAAGACUCUGUUUUCAAAUUUUCGAAAAUCGAAUUGACUAGCGCCCGUGUAAAAUUUUUAGGUGGCUACAUCCUUAAUAAUUAUUUUUGUAUAAUUUAAUGUUGUAAUUAUUUUUCUGUAUCAUAUUUGUGUCUUGUUAUCGUUGUAUAGCAAUUUUUGGUUGCAAACUUUAGGAGCAGUUUUGGACAUGUUACCUACGUUUUUAUGUUUCUAAGUGUUUGAAAUAAUCCGAUCCAAUUAGAUGUUUAAGUCUCUUUGGGGUAAUAUAUUAUGGGUCCAAAUAAGGAAUUUGUAGCUUAAGCUUAAGAUAUGAUAAAAAUAUUAAAAUAAUUACAAGAAUUGAUCAAAAAAAAUUGCAAAAUCCUUUGACUCCAAUUCCAUAAAAUCAUAUAUAGAUAUAUAUAUUGGAAGUUGAGCAUUGAAUUGACUGCUUGGUUUAGAUAGUAGCAGUUGGAUGAAUUUUGAAUAACAAGUAAGGCUGCUACGUAGUGUUCAAAGUCCAAGGGGAGCAUUUUAUAAAUAAAUGUACCACUUCAAACUUUUAUAGGAAUAAAUUGGAUGGAAUGAUAGAUAUAUGUAACAUCUUGCUUAAAUUUGAUUAUUUUUCUAUAAUUUUAAAAAAAAAAAAGAAAAGAAAAACCAAACAAGUCCAACUUGUGUAUUUAACAAAUCAAGACUAUCCAAUCCAACAUGCUUUUAAUGAAUAAAUAAAAUCGUCAGUCUAUGACAUUUAAAUAAUAAUAAUAAAAAAGUGAAGACCAAAAGGGAGAUGGAUACUUCAGUUUAGUGUUUAAAUUCUAAGUCAAGAAUUUUAUAGAAACAUAGACAAGUUUGCUGUAUUUCUUACAAAAUACAUUACAUAGAUAGUGAACCAUUUCACACUUUACGUUACCCCAUUUUCCUUCCGGGAAGCUACCCACGGUCUAGCUAAAAAUUAACCAUUACUUCUAAUAAAAUAAUUCAAAUUUUUUUUUUAAAUUUUCAAUAUUAUAAAAUAUUAAGAGUUUAAAAUAAUUUUUAAAAAAUUCAUUUUUUAAAUAUCUAAUAAUAAUAUACCACUUUAAAUUUUUUAAAAGAAUUUAUAAUUGAUAUUAUACACUUUCUAACACUAGAUCAAUUCUCUUCAAUAAUAUUUUAAUUUUUAUUAUUGUUGAUUAAUUAAAUAAAAUUAAUUUGAAAAAAUUAAAUAGAUUUAACAAAUUAUAAUAAUGUAAGGUUUAUGAAUUUUUUUUUCAACUAAAUUUAUGAUUUAUGGUAUAUAUGGUUAUUUAGUGUCUAAAGAGGUCUAGGGUUCUGGAUUUUAGAAUUUUAUAUAAAAUAGAUUAAUUUUAUUAAUUUUGGAGUUAAUAAUAAUAAUAAUUGUACAAGCCCAAAUAUGCCCGGGCCCAAGAAAAUAAAUAGACCCAAACAUGCCCAGCCCACUAAACCUAGCCCAAAAUUCUCAAAGAGCAGAAAACCCUAAGCAGUGGCAGCAAACUGGCGCCGCAACUGCUGCCCUUUUGCGCACCUCCGCAAGACUCGGAGUCGCACUCCUCGCGCACCUCCGCAAACGUCGCUUCGCACGCCUUUAGCCAUGCCUGCAGCAACAAACGGAAACAAACAACAACGAAAUAAUAGGAAUAACAUAAAAUAUUUUAUUAUUUUGUAUUUUAUUUUUUUAUUUUCGGUUAUAUAAACCAAUUGUAAAGAAAAGAAAGAGGCAAAAGUUUUACCCCAUAUCGGCGCCGUUGAACCUUCAUCGCUCCGUCACAAUCGGAGUUUGAAGGAGGCUUGGGGGCAUGAACGGCGGCAUUAAGUGGGGGUUUGGGUAUGAAAACCCUAGCAAAGGAUUUCUCUGCUGUUUGGUGCAAAAAAAAAAGAAGGGAAAAUGAGUUGUUUUUUGGGAAAUUUUGGGUUUUGUAACGAUUGCAAAACGGCGUCGUUUAGGGCUUGUUUCUGUGGCCCCAAAACGGCGCCGUAUAGGGCUAUACCCGUGCGGUGACCCGACCCGGGGAGGAUCCGCGAGUCAUGGGCCUAAAUGGUACAUUUUCAAGUUUGGUCCCUUGAUUUUUAGAAGCAUGUUUAAAUCAACUUUUUAUUUCUUUUGAUUUUGGCCACGGGUUUUAUUUUUGUUUCAAAUAAGUCCCUAUUACGGCGCAGUGUUUUAGAGGGGCGGAUUAUUUCUAUUUUGGCCCCUCUUGUAACUCGCGUGUUGCAAAUCAGUCCUCUGUCUGAUUUUAGUUUCAUUUAUUUUUUAUCACUAUUAUUGCAUCAUUUGUUAUAUUAUUUAUAUGCAUUUUAUAAUAUAUAUAUAUUUUUUAACGCUUAUAAAAUGCAUGCAAACAUUUUGUACAUGCAAACAUUUUUAAUACGUAUAUAUAUUUACACAUUUUAGUUUCAUUUUUUUUACAAUAUACAUACAUACAGGAGGUUUUUUUUUAUUUUUUAUUUUCUUUUAAAUUCCCCCCACUUUUUCGUUUUAAUUCAAUUUAGCCCAUUUUUUUUAGUUUUUAUCACAAUUACGCCAUACUAUUAUCUUGUUUUAUUUUAUUUACUACUAUAAUAUUAUAUAUUAUUAUUAUUAUGCGCAUAUGCAUGUUAGUAUGUAUAUACUUUAAUAUUUUAAAUAUAUAUAUCUAUUGUAUGCACAUUGUAUUAUUACUUUGUUUCAUAGUUUUUUUAUACAUAUAAAUAUACAUACAUACAUUUUUUAAAAGAUUUUGUUUACAUACACUUUUUAUUUUUUUUAAAUUAUUAUAAAUAUUUUUUUAGUUCAUGUAUCCCAUUAUUUUAUAUACAUAUUGUACAUAUAUGUAUGUAUUUGAAUAUAUACGUAUGCGAAUUUUCACGAUUGGUCUAUGUAUAUAUACUUAUACAUUUCGUUUUUCUUGCCUUUGUAAAUAUGUACACAUUUGCAUAUUUUCAUACUUUUAUUUUUAUUUUUAUUUUUUACAAUUUUUAUUACAUAUAUACAUGCAUACUUUUAGAAAUUAUUAUAAGUUUGUUGUAUAUAUUUCUUCACUUACCCUUUUAAUGUGUACACUUAUAUUUGUGUGCUAAGUAUGGGCCCACUCGUAUUUUCGAAUUUGCUUGGAUAUUGUACUUGUAUAUAUAUUUUGUAAAUACAUUCUCAUAUAUGUUUUACAUUAAAGUUUUUGUUUCAUAUCGUACAUUAACUUUAACAUACCUUUUUAGAAAAUACAUUUUGGUUUUAACUAUACAUCAAGAUUAUUUUCUUGAUUCAACGGUUUUUUUUUGAAUAAAAGCAAUAUUUGAAGUUUGGGGAUUUUCGAAGGAAAUUGAGCCCUAACGUAUUGGGUUCAGAUUUUCUUCGUUAAUCUUAAAUGACCGAGGAUAUUCUUUAUUCAAAAUGCAUGAGUAUAAAAAUCAUUUUUGGGAACUUAAUAUGUUGUGCCCUAACGUAUUGGGUGUGGCAUGUUACUUUCUCGAAAUGAAGAUUUUCGCAUAAAAUAAAAGUGAUAUUCAAAGUUCGGGGAUUAUGAGGAAUCGUACCCUAACAUAUUGGGACUCGAUUUCUUUACAUGACUUGAACAAUUGGUUAUCCUUUUGCAAAUUUCAUCAUUCAAGCUUAUUUUAAAAUCUUUUUUAACUUUCGACACUAAGACAUCAAAUAAUCAAUUUGGUACCGAUUUUGGGCGUUACGAGGGUGCUAACCCUUCCUCGUGCGUAACUGACUCCCGAACUCGUUUUCUCAAAAUUCGUAGACCAAAAUCAUUUUAAGGUGAGCCGAUCGCACCUUAAUAAAGGAUCGGUGACGACUCCAAUUUUUAUUUUUAAAGUCGACAACUAAAAUUUUUGUUUUCAAAAAACGGUUUCAACAAUAAUAAUAAUAAUAAUAAUAAUGAUAAUAAUAGUUAGUUUGAUGUUUCUUGGUGCAAUAUAUUAUUCAUGCACUCUUAAAAAUUAUAAUGUGGGAUGUUAUUAUUAGGUGCCUAAAAAGUAACUUUGUAGGACCAUCUUAAUAUAAACCAUUUUAAAAAAUUUAAAAAUUCCAAAAAAUAUUUAAAUUUUAUGAAAUUUAUUUAGAAAUUAUUUAAAAGUAUAUAUUUUUAAGAAAUUAUUAAAAGACAAUAAAAUAUUUCAAUAACUUUUUAAUGAUUAUUUAAGAUAAAUCAUGUCUAGAAUUGAACCUAAACAACUAUUUGUCCAAUUUAAAUGCGUCUAGAUAAAUUUGUUGUUUAGGUUCAAUCUUGGACAUGAGUUUUCAAAUAAUUAUUAAAUAUUUAAAGAUUUUAAAAUGAAAAUUUUAAAGAAGACAAUAAAUAUUAUAAAAAAUCUUCAUUUUGAAGUUUCAAAACUUUUAUAUAAAUUAUCAUUCAACCUUUUUUUUUUCGGUUUUACUUUAUUUUUGGUUUUAAAUUUUAAAAGGUAAUAUUUUAUUUUUCUUUAAAAUUUUAUGUGGCAUUUAAUAAUUAAAUUAAUAGUCUCAAUAAUUAAAAAUAUUAAUUAAUAUAAUAUUAAUAGUUUAAAACUGUAAUUAGACUAUUUUUAAAUUUGAAGGUUAAUAUAAAAUGUUGGUCGGAGAUUUCUAGUGAAAUUACCUCAACAUUAAAAUGUUUUUAUUUUAUUUGGAAUUCAUGGGGGACUACCUGAUGUUAUUUAGAAAGAAUCUAGCAGAAACUAAAGCUAAGUAAUCACAAAAGCUUGAAACUCUUUCUUCUUUAACCUCGCUACUUUUGGUUGUUCGAUGUUGAAAAAGAAUGCAAAUGAAAGAAAGCUUAACGUGUUUUUGGUUGGGUGUAAAAAUGGAAGAAUAGAGGAAGAAAGUGACAAAAAUGGAAAGAAAAUAAAAUGGAUAGAUUAUAUCAUUAUUCAUUAAACUAUGAGUUUUUUUAGUCAUCCAAUUUUAAAAAAGUUAUAAAAUAUCAUCCAAUAAUAUUUUUUUUUUCAAUUUUAUUGUUUUGGUCACCCAACUAUCUUAGAUUUUUGUUGUUUUCAUGUUUACGUCAGAUAAAAAAGGAAAAAAGAAAUAUAGGUGGGUGACUAUUUUAUAACUUUUUAUAGUUAGGUGACCAAAGAAAAAAAAACUAUAGUUGAGUGACUACUAAUAUAGUUUAUCCAAAUAAAUUUGAAGUCUACUUGUUAAGGAAGAAAAGUGAGAGAAAAGAAAAUAGAAAAAAUCGUCAUUUUCAAUCCUAAUGUAUAAAAAUUAAUCUUUCCAAUUUGGAGUAAUUAAGAGAGAAAAUAGGAGAGAUGUGUCUCUUAAAUUAAAAUUAUGCAUUUCUCAACUAUUUUAUUUUCUUUACUCUUAUUUUUCAAUUCUACCAAGUAAUUAAUGGAAAGAAAAUUACUUUCUCUUUCAAUUUUUUUCAUCUUUUAUACCAAGCAAAAUAUUGGUAUGAUAUUAAAAUAAAUUUGAAGCAUUUGAAAAUAUUCUCCGCUAAGUAAUAAGUAAUUUUUAUCAGCUUAUCAUUUUUUUAUAAAAAAAAUUCUAUCAAACUAUUUUUAUUAUCAAAUUUAUAUAAAAUACUAAAAAUAUUAACUUUCAUUUCAUUAAAAUUUUUAAUUGUUUAUCGAACAAGAUUUUGGUUAGUAAAUUACUAAUUGUACUUUUUUUAAGAAAAAAAAUUCUACACUAAGCAAAUUAUAAAAUAUUAAACAAUUUAAAAAUUCAAGACAUGAUAAAAUUUGAAGGCAAAGUCUAAAAAUCCUUGUUCUUGUCUAUGGUACUGAAAUUUUUAUUAGAGGUCUUCUGUCAAAGAUGAAGAAGACAUAAUGAGUAUUAUAAAGGGUUUGAAGGGAUGAUAUUUUCAGAAAAAAUGGAGAAUUGUGAAAGGAAACGAUUGGACUAAUUUGUAGGAAUGUUGAUAAAUGCUAAUGUUUUUAUUGUUUGUUUGUUUCAGACGGCAAAGGUCAAAUAUGGGGGUUGGGCGAAUAAGGACACAGGGAAAACGCCUGUUCAGGCGUUGGUUGUGGAUUAAUAAUAAAACUAAUUUGGAGAAACAUGGCUUCGAUUGGGGCAUAUAGGUAAGCUGAGGGAGCAUUAUUAGUCAUUUCAAAAGGCAUAAACAUUAUUUUAUACAUUCAAAUCAAGUGAGUGCAUUGAGUUGAGUUGAGAUGAUGGCGCUAGUAUGGCCAAGGCUAAUCUUGAUAACUGUGUUGGUUUUAGAAGGUGCAGUGUGGAGUGAUGGGUGUUGGGAUGAAAGAGUGUCUUGCGCUCUAGCAACUUCAUCCUUUCUUAAAUGUUAAAAGGAUUCAACUAUUAGGGUUUAGAUUGUUGUGAAUGGGAAUGGGUAGAAUCCAACAUCACCACUUGACAAGUCAUUCAACUCUUUCUAGGCAAUGGUGGUGUGUCAUUGAAAGCACUAAAAAUAACCUAUACCUAAAAUAUAAUAAAAAUAAUAGUAUAAGAGAAGUAGGGUCAAAUUUUCAGGGACUAGAUCGUUAAAGCUUCUUGUUUUUGGAAAUCCUGGGCAUAGUCAUGCCCAAGAAAAACGUCUUACCUGGGGAAAAAAACAGAAUUAAAAAUAUGGAUGAGUUGAAAUUAAAUAAAUUGAAAUUGUAAUUGUAAAAAGAAACAGAGUUGAGGGAUGGGGUUUUUCGAUUUGAGGGAUUCCAGCCUCCAGUUAUCUCGAUCCUUCUCAUGACUGAAUAAGUUAGUUAUAGUCGAAGAGGACGCCUAUGACCACCAGCUCCACUUAGGUUAUAGCCUUACGAUCUAGUGGAACUUGACUCUAGCCAACCGUCACUUUUGUGGGAUCGUCUUACACUAAAUCAUCAUUUCUCAAUGGCGAAUGCCACGCCAUUUCGUCUUUUGGGCUCAACAACCUCUAACGCAGUAAGUUAAAAUACUUAGUUGGUGAACCCUUCUAGUGGGUUCAAGAUUGGCUCGGAAUUGCUAAGUAUUUGUAGCCAUCGUGGAUAUCAAGUUCCUUACUUUUUAGAGGGUCAUGUUGACCAAUGUCCUUCUACUGGCGGCAUCUAUCAUGUUCAUUUCCAUGGGCUUCAAGUCCUCAUAGAAGUAUUGGAGAAGUGACUAUUCUAUUAUCCCAAGUUGUGGGCAACUUGCGCACAACUUCUUAAAUUACUCUCAAUAGUCGUAAAGAGACUCCACUUCUUUUAGCCUUAUCCCAACAAUCUCCCUCUUAAUGCAGCUGCGCAUGAUGCUGGAAAAAAUCUGUUGAGAAACAAAUGAGAAAGAUCAGCCCAGAUUGUAAUAGAUCUAGGAGGUAUAUAAAAUAAUCAUUUCUUAGCAGAGUCUGCUAGGGAAAAAAGGGAAAGCACGUAAUUUGAUUUCAUCCUCAGUUACGCCCUGAGAUUUCAUACUAAGACAAACCAUAUGAAACUCUUUUAGAUGUUUUUGUGAAUUUUCAUUUUGCCAUCCUCAAAAAGUCAGCAACAACUGGAUUAAUCCUAACUUAAGUUCAAAAUUAGUAUCCAUAAUAGGAUACACAAUGCAUAAUGACUGUUGUUCUGUAGGAGCUUCAGUCAUUUGCUGAAUCGUUUAAGCCAUAGGUUAUUGUGCUGGAUUUCGGUUUAUGCUACGCAAAAUUUCUCGGAGUAGAUCUGGUCAUAAGAACAAGAAACAAGAUUAGUAUGUUAUCAGUCCUCGGCAAUGACGCCAAAAAUUGGUGUGUCACUGAAAGCACCAAAAAUAAUCUAUCCCUAUGAAAUAACAAAAAUAAUAGUAUAAGGGAAGUAGGGUCAAAUCCUUAGGGACUGGAUCGCUACAACUUCUUGUUCCUCGAAAUCCUGGGGACAGUUGUGCCCAAGAAAAACGUCUGACCUGAGAAAAAAAAUAGAAUUAGAAAUAUGGAUGAGUUGAAAUGAAAUAAAGUGAAAUUGCAAUUGUAAAAAGGAAACAGAGUUGAGGGAAUGUGAUUUUCGCUUUGAGGGAUUUUAGCCUACGGUUAUCUCGAUUCUCUUUUGGUUCAAUCAUUGGCUUUUAGAUAAUCCUUCUCAUGACCAAAAUAAGUUAGUUAUAGUGGAAGUGAACGCCUGUGUCACAGGCCAAAGUGCAAAGCCCGUGACCAUGGCACAAGAUGCAACCCAUGGAGGUCUAUCGAUUAGAUGGGGAACAUUUAGCCCAUGAGAACUGACACAAUUCAAAGAACUAUUAGAGAAGCCUAUCAGAUUGAAGCCUGGUUGGCCCGAUAAUGAAGACGUGGCAACUUAGGUUAAUUUUGGUAACUAAUCUUAGAAGAUUGAUGGAAUCAUAUCUUGUAAAGAUUAGAUUAGAUUUGAUAUGGCAUAUCUUGUAAAUCCCUAAAAUCAAGGGAUAUGGUUAAUCUUGUCUGUCGAUGUAAAUGUAUCUUGAUCGUCGGUUUUGGAGGAGCUCAACUAUAAAUAGACAACCUCCUCCUCAUUUGUACUCAUCCAUUGUAAGUUGAAUUCUUAAGAGUAAUAGAAUUUUUUGAGCAUUUACUCAAACACUUUGUGUGCAUUCUUUCUUUGACUUUCUGUUGUUCACUUGUAGCUUCUUUUGACACAAUCGCUUCCGCUAUACAAAUUGGUGCCUUGGAGGAGUUCUAAAAGAAUCCUCACUUUUGGGCGUAAAGGUUGACUUAGGCAAGUUUGGACGAACAGAUCGCCUAAGGCUGCACGGAUCACGAGAUAAAAUGUCUAGCCCUGUGACACCUGCGACCACCAGCUCCACUUAGGUUAUAGCCUUACGAUCUAGAGGAACCUGACUCCAGCCAACCGUCACUUUUGUGGGACUGUCUUACACUAGAUCAUCAUUUCUCAAUGACGAAUGCUAAGCCAUUUUGUCUAUUGGGCUCGACAAUCUCUGAUGCAGUAAGUUAGCGAACCGACUCUGCAACCUUCCCAAAACAUACAAAGCGGUCAUUCCUUACACAAGAUGAAAAGAUUACUUUUAGAAGGAUAUGGACGGAAGCAUUAGUCCCGUAAUGCAGAGAAAUGAUGAAUACUAGCUGAGAAGGGUUAAAUGCGGGUUCUAAGCCUCAUGAACUAUUUUUGAGGAAUUUUGAUAACCAUUGGCUAGAGGAUUUUAGUGACUCAUGCGUUUAAUUAAAUAAAAUUUUAUUGAAAAAGAAACAAAAAGGCUAAGAGCCAUAGGGGAAAGAGUUUUUUUUAUAGAAGUGAUGAGUGAAUAUGCAUGUCACUUCAUCCCUUAUUUAUAGUAACAUAAAAAACCUAGUUUGUUCCUAUUUAAACUAUAGAAGAUAAUGUUUAAAAUAUACAAUUUGAAAUUAAAUCUAAACAAUAUCAUAAUAAUACUAAAAGUAAAAUCCAAAUUUAAAUAAAGCCUUAUGUUCAUAAAUCUCUUCUUUGAAUUUUUGCCCCAAGUCUUCCACAUUUUGUAUUUUGGCACCACUUUUUCCCUAUUUCGCGUGCUAACCUGUUUUAUCUUUAAAGUCACGUUUUUUACCCCCAAAUUUCCUUUUGCCUUCAAUUUAGUCCCUACAAGAUAAAAAAUCAUAAACAACCCAAAUUAGUAGGAUCAUACUCAAAAUAUAUAUGUAAUUAACACAUAAAAAUAUAUCAUUUUAGAAUAUUAUCAAAUGGCAGGUUGGAUUAUCUUGAAUUCUUUAAUGCCUCUUUGUUUCUUCCCUUUGAAGAAUUGAGAAGUCUUGAUCUCUCUUAUAAUUAUCUAGUUGGUUGUCUGGAGAAUGAAGGUACAUAACUCUUUGUAUUUUUAUCUUUCUCAACUAUCUCCCAAUUGAGUUUAUAAAACUCUCUUUUUAUAUUGCAGGGUUUGGAAAGCUAUCCAAGUUGAGACUACUAGAGAAUCUUGACUUGAUUUGCAAUAAAUUCAAUGAUAGCACUUUAUCAUUUUUGAGUAAAAUUACAACUCUCAAGUCUCUAACUUUAGGAGAAAAUGACUUUUUUAUAAGAUCAAACUAAUGGUAAAAUUAUAAUAUCAUGUCUGUAUGUAUUGCUAAUGUAAAUCAUUACUCAUCUUCAUAAAUUUUAUUUGUUUUACUAUUUGUAGCACUAUUGCAGUGGUUAUCAAAACUUGGUAGUUUGGAAACUCUUGAUUUAAGUGAAACCAAAAUGAAGAACAACUUCUUGUUACAUUUGGGUGGCCUUCAUCUUUAAUUAACAACUUUAAUUCUUCAGCGAAAUGAUUUAGAAGGAACUAUAUAUUCCUCUUCAGGGUAAGAUUCCAUAACUGUUUCCUUUAAAAAACAUUGGACUAAGGUGAAGCUGUCAUUUAAUUGGUUUUGAAUAGAGUUGUAUAACUUAACUAAUUUGAAGAAGCUGGAUUUAAGUUAUAAUGACAUUGAGAGCAUAAGGAGUUCCAAUGGUACUUAUAUUUACAAGUAGUUAAUUACGCUUCCAUGUAUUUUAUUAGAUAUUACUAUAUCAUGCUUUGAAGUUGAAAUCAAGCCAAAAGGAAGACAACUAAUUAAGUUUGAUCAAUUUAGAAGAAAUUGAUUUGAGUGUUAAUUGGUUCAACAACAGCAAACUAGCAGACUUUACUGGGUUUUCAAAUCUAAAUUCAUUAGAUAUAAGAUGGAAUGAACUGAACGGAUCAAUAGAUGCUAAAGGUAAUAUAUAUAUAUAUAUAUAUAUAUUAUAACUUUAGGGUUAGUAUUUAGUACAUUAGUAGUAUGCUUUUUUAAUUUCACAAGCAACUUUAAAAAAUUGAUAUAUAUCUAUUUUUAAUAUUUUACUACAUCCUUCUAAGACAUUUGUAAACCUUAUGAAAUUUAAAAAUUUACCAAAUGUUUUUACCUUAAAAAAUUAGUUUAGUCUUAAAUAUAAUCUCUUGUUAAUUAUUUGAUCCGAAGCGGAAGACUAAUUUUAUUUGUGAUUUUCCUAGAAUUUUGUGGCUUGAGCAAUAUAGAGAUCCUAUACCUGAGUGGGAAAUAAGGUGAACCAAUUUUUUACUUCUAAAGGUUCGUAUUAAAAUUAAUACGUAGCAAAAGUAAUAUUAUUGCUAUAGAAAAUUUCAUAACUCGAAAUUCGACUUGUCUUGUGACUUGAAAUCUGACCCGUAUCUGACACUCUCGCGAUCUUGCAAGGUGAACACGAAGGAAUGUCUUGCGAGCCAGACAUGCGAAUACUCCUCACAACCUUACGAGGCGGGACCAGGAACACGUAUAAUGAUAUUUGAGUGCGAAUCCUGUCAAAAAGACACGUCUAGGAUACGUGCCGAAUCUAAAGGGAGACAUGUCAUCCUGAGUUAUAUGCAUGGCACCUAACUACCCCAACAUGUUAUAUCAAGAAUGGUGCCUUAUAAGGAAGAACCACUCCCUAGAAGGGGCAGAGAAACAAACCUCAACUAUUAUAUAUAUGGUUUUUUCCAAAUACUUCCAUUAAUGAAGAGAAAUGAAACUAACUACAUUUUAGUUGCAGGAAAUAUAUUAUGUUUGAGGAAGUUAAAGACCCUCUACUUAAGAAAGAGUUAUUAUUUUAACAAAGCUGUGGCUAAUAACUAUAUACAUAAAUAGCAAAUAAUAGAGAAAAAAAUCAAUUAUAAAGAGAAUUGUUGUCUCUUUUUCUAAGUAUAGAAAGAACUAACAUGAAAUAUAAAUAAAUAAAUACAUCUCACAUACUAAGUAUUCAAAUUUACUUCUCUUUCGUAAUUUAUUUUAUCACAAAAAUAUUCUACACUUCAGUGUACUCACACGAAAUUAAAUCAAAAUCAAAUAGUUAAACCUUUAAAUCUCAAAACACAAAAAGUAGUUACGAUUUAUACAAUUCUACUUCUCAUAUCAUGUUUAUAUAUUUUACAUUUUGCAUAAAUCUUUCUAGGUUCUAAAAAAGGAAAUAUAAAUUUUGGCUUCUAAAUUUGACAAUUAGGUUCAUUUGGUAUUUGUACAUUUUUUGGAUCCAUUUUGGCUCUUGAAUUUUGUAACUAAGUCCAUUUUGAUCCCUGAACUUGAAAAAUAUAAAAAUUUGGUGAUAUGGUAUGGUACAACUUUAAAGUGUCAUAUUCAAUGUUUUAAUAUUCGGAUCGGUUGUUGAACAAGUUAGACCAUCGAUUCUCGAUUCAACCGUCGAACCAAAAAUAAUUAAAUAAAUAAUUAAAAUUCCAUAGAAAUCUAAAAGAAUUUAAAAAAUAAAAAAUAUUUCUAAACCAGUUCAACUGUCAAUUUUUGUUUUUGUUUUUUAUUUUUUACUAAUUUCAAGCAGUUUUCGAGUCAAUUAGUUUCUACCCCUUUUUCAGAUCAUUAUAUUGAUCAGUCCUCGGUCCAACCGGUCCAGUCCUAUUCUAAUAAUAUUGGUCACAUCAUCAAAUCUAGACUAAAUCCAAGUUCAUAGACCAAAAUGGAUUUAGUUGUCAAGUUCAAGAUAAAAUGGUCCCAAAAAAAAUACAUGUAUUAAGGUGGAUCUAAUUGCCAAAUUCAAGGGCUAAAAAUUAUAUUAUCCCUUCUAAAACCAUAAGAUCUCACAUUUAUCAUUAUCCAUUACUCUUUUCAAAAUUUAAAAUUUAAUCUCUAUAGUUUAAUUUUGAGACGUUAAGUCUUUAUCUUUUAUUUAUUUAAAAGUCUUGGGCCCACCAUCCAAUAUUAUCGUAAGAAUUAUUGAUGCAAAUUAUAAAAAAAAAAAGGAAAAAUAAAAAUUUUUAGCCAUGAAAGCACAGUUUUUAUUAAUUUAGUCCUGUAUACAUUAUAAAAAUAGACAACAUUUUAUUUUUAGCCAUCAAAUCUUAUUUAAUAUGGGCUAAGUGAAUGGUCCAUGCUGUGGAGAAAUCUUAUUACCAUUUAAAGAGUAAAUAAUAUAUUUUUUUAAAAUUUUUGAAGCAUUUUAUAUUUUCAUAAAUGAUUUUUUGACUUUCAAAAAACCAUUUCGUAAUUUUUGGAUUUUUAUAAGAGAAAUAUUAUUUAAAUUUUUUAUUGGGAAUACAAAGAAAAUUAAAAUUUUAUAAUUUUUAUGUAAUUUUAAAAAGUAAGGUCCAAAUAAAAAAAAACCCAUAACCAUUGAAAAUUAAAUAAAUGUUUUAUUUUUUUAUAAUUGUCAUCAUCAACAAUAUUUGUUUUUAUAAUUAUCUCAUCAACAAAACCAAAGUUCUUAAAAUUAAAAUAUAUUGGAAGUCAAUGUCUCAAUUUAUAUGGAUUAAAUUUAAGUUUGUUAAACUAUAGCAAAUAAUAAAAAAAGUGCAAGACAACAAAUAACAAGAAUAGCAUUUUCUAUGAAAGAGCAAUACUAUCAAAUUAAUGCUUAUCAUGCAUGAAGAUAACUAGGGUUUUUAUACAUGUCAAUAAAGUCCGCUAACGGUAGCCACAAUUGCAUAAUCGUUUUAACUGAACCUUAAUAACCUUAACAGCUCUACUGAUCUAAUACUCUAACAUUCUUCUAGUUUUCUGAUUUGAGUUGAAACUUGACAACUUCAACUAGAGAUAAAACUCAAAGAGCACUGCGAAAUGAAGCAAACUAUUUUGGUGCAAUCGAUUUUGUGAGAACAUCAACCACUUGUUUUGCUGAAGGCACCAAGUUAACCUGAAGUAUACUGUCAAGCACUUUCUAUGAACAAAAUGGUGAUCGAUUUCCACAUGCUUCACCUUAACAUGAUGUGUGGGAUUUCUUGGCAAUGAGACCGUAGACGUGUUGUCACACCAUAUUAUUGGUGAUUGACGAACUACCACUCCAACUUCAUCCAAGAGUUGCUUUAUGUAACAUCCCAAAAAUUGAGUUAGAAGAAAUUGGGUUAACGAAACCAAGCGUAGUUAUGUCUUGAUUUUGAGUUAGGAUUUUGAAAACUUUGCAAAGUAAAUUGAUUUAGUUUAGUGGUUAAGUGCUUUGGAGAUGUGCUUGAGGUCCUGUGUUCAAAUCUCAUCCUUGAAAUUUUUGCUAUUUUUGCCUUAACCUUUAUCCUUAAUCAUCUGGCAGAAAUUCUAUUUUCGAUCAACUAAUGUUAACAAUAAGUCUAGUGGUUCAGUGGUUAAGCUUCUUUGUACUUUCUACUCUUAUGUUCAAGUUCUUGCAAAAGCAAUAAGAAAAAUGUUUUUUUCGAAACCAUUUUUUGAUAAAAGGGGUUGACUUUUUAUCUAAAAACGAAAAUGGAGUCGCCACUAAUUCUUUUUAUUUAGGUGUGAUCGGACCACCUCAUAAUGUAAUCAUUUUAGUAAAAAUUUAAAUUUAUUAAAACGGUAAUUUUUGGUCAACAAAAAUCCAAAAAACGGGUUCAGGAGUCGGUUAUGCACGAGGAAGGAUUAACACCCUCGAUGCGCCCAAAAUUGGUACCUAGUUGAUUACUUAAUGUCUUGUUGUCGAAAAUCGAAAACUCGAAAAGAAUUUAAAAUACGAUCCCUCUUUAUAUCGUGUUAUUUUUAAUUAAAAUUACUCGAAUAAAUCAAAAUGUGUAAAAUACCUCCUUAUCUUGAAGUAACAAAAUGUCACAUCCGUAAGUUAGGACAUGACACAUCGUAUUUUUGAGAAUAAACUUGCCUUUUAUUUUUUAUUUAAACCUCAUUUAUUUUAAUUUUAAAAGGAUAUUCAGUUAUUUAGGUUCAACGUGAGAAAAAUUGAAACCCAAUAAGUUAGGGCACGACUUCUCGAAUUUCCAAAUACAAAAUAUUGCCUUAAUUUUAAAAUUUCUUUUAUGCAUCUCAUGAAAGUUAACGUCACAUUUAAAUUAGUAUUCUAGUUUAUUCGGGUAUGGUGUAAAAACGGACAAAUAUUUCGAAUGUAACAUUUAACACGAGUAUUAACACAAUAACGGAUAAAAAGGAUGACAUAAUAUGUCAAAUAAACGAAAAUAUUAUGCUGGUAAAUGAUAGUAAUGGAUAACAAUUAUGACAUAAAUAAAUAAAAAUUUAAUAAUAAUAAUUAUACUAGUAACUAUCUUAAUACUAGCAUAGAUGAUGAUGAUGAUGAUGAUGAUGAUGAUGAUGAUGAUGAUGAUGAUGAUGAUGAUGAUAAUAAUAAUAAUAAUAAUAAUAUGUGUACAAGUAAAAAAAAAUCUAAUUUUUUAAAAGUAUAUAUAAAAAGGGUAAUAAAUAAAUAGAUGAGUAAAUGAUAAUAAAAUAAUAAUAGAUGAUAAAAUAGUAAAUAUAAUGAAAACGUAAAAAUAAAUAAAUAAAUAAUCGAUAAAAGAAAAUAAAAUGUUAACAAAAAAAGAAUACAAGGAUUAAAACGUAAAAAAAAUGAAUGAAUAAAUAAACAAUAUAUAAAUAGAUAAGUAAAUGAGCAAUCAAAUGAAUAAAAUAAAGGGAAUAGUUAAUAAAUAAACAAGUAAACCAAUAAAUGAAUAAAUAAAGAAUUAAAAAAAAGGGCUUAAUUGUAACUUAGAUGAAAUUAAAAGGACAUAUUGAAUAAAAUAAAAAAACAAAAGGGCUAAAAUGUAAUGCGCGAAAAAGAACUAGGGGUAAACGUGAAAUUAUCCCUGAUUCCUUAGGCGCGUCGUUUCAGCGCGGGCUAGAAUGAAAUGCGUAGAAAAUUAUGCGGCAAAAUUAAAGAAACAAAUGGGACCAGAUUGCACUAUGGCGCAAAAGCGGAGGGACCUCACGCGCAAAUAGCCCCUUUACCACAUAAACACGCGGAUCCUGAGGGUGGACGGGUCGGGUCGCAAGUCAGUUGCAAAACGGCGUCGUUUUGACACCUGACCUCCAGUUGCAAAACGGCGCCGUUUGGUGUCUUUAUUUAACCAAAAUUAUUUUUCUGAAAAUCUAAAAUUUUUUAAUGUUUUAAAAAAACUCUCAAAAUCUCCAUUUUCUCUCUCCACCCUACGUCCUGCCUAUGGGCUUCUGACUAAAAUCCACCAUAGCCCCUCUACAAGUGAUGGUCAAAACCACUAAAACAUCAGAUUUUUAACCCAUUUUAAAGCUCGAUCGAAGGCCCAGCCUUCGUGUCCCAAAAUACCGAAGGAGAAGGGUAUUCCUCGUCUUCCCUCGGUCUGACUCCGGCGACGGGCUCACGGAACAAACAGGUGUGGCCCUUUUCCCCUUUUUAUUUCUUAUUUAUUAUAUGUAGAAAAAGAGGAUAAAAAUAAAAUAAAAUGAACAGAAGGCAAUAAAAAUCGAAUCUGAAAUGAAAAUAUAAUCACCUAUCAGAAUCGUUUUUUGUUUUUUUAUUUCUUAAUGUUCCCCUUUUUAUUUAUUUGAUCUGGCUUUUAUAGCCGAAAAUAAAACAGUUACUACUGUUUAUUCCCUUUUUUUUGCUGCUUCUAUUUUUUUUGUGUUUGUUUGCAGGUCUUGGUGAGGUAAGUCAGAGGAAUAGACUCUGGCCUUUGCCAUUUUGGUGCAAUGGUCAGGCCUCAGGCGGUGAACGUGCUGCAAAGGCACAUAGAGGCAACAGAGCGGUUGAGUGCUAGGGUUUAGGAUUUUCUUUUAGCUUUUGGUUUGGGUUUUGGGCUGAAUCUGGAUUGGGUUUGUUUUUGGGUCUGUUUGGGUUAGGUUUAGUUUGGUGGUUUUGGUUGGUUUGAAUUUGGGUUGGGUCUUGUUGUUUGGGUUUUGGGCCCCGGGCAAAAUGGCCUACAACAACUGCCCCUCUUUGCUCAUUAUCAUGUAACCGGAAUGAAGCAAAGACUUUGGAAGGGCCAAUUUUGCCCGGUUUCACCGAGUCUUGACUUCAUUUGGUGCUUCUCUUUUCAAGUAGCUUAGUUCUAACCCACUGCCACUUCAGGGAAAUAGGAUCGUUAGUCUGCUCCACUGCAACUUCAGGGAGAUAAGACUCGUAACUUCAACCUGCCCACUACAAUUUCAAGGAGAUAAGGUUUAUAGCUUUAAUCUGCUCUACUAUAACUUUAGAGAGAUAAGAUUCGCUAUCUUCCAAGAGAUAAUAUUUGCUUUAUUCAAUCUGCUCCACUACAAUUUUAAGGAGUUCAGAUUUGUAACUUAUAGCCUUAAUCUAUUCCACUGUAACUUCAAAGAAAUAAGAUCGUUAGUCUGCUCCACUUCAACUUCAGGGAAAUAAGACUCGUAACUCCCCCACUACAACUUUAGGGAUAUAAGGUUUAUAGCUUUAAUCUGCCCUACUACAACUUUAGAGAGAAAAGAUUCGCUAUAUUCCAAAAGAUAAAAUUUGCUUUAUUCAAUCUGCUCCACUGCAAUUUCAGGAAGUUCAGAUUUGUAACUUAUAGCCUUAAUCUGUUCCACUGUAACUUCAAGGUUGAUGCUCCAAGAUGUAGCAUCCUUCUUUAUUGCUAAUUCAGGCAUAGUAAGACUAUUGCAUGCCCACACCUUUGAUCAAAAUUUGAAUUGCCCUUUUCUUGGGUAUUCAAUUCAAAACCCCUUUGGUCUUAAGGCGCAAUUUGCGGGUUUUCACCUUGGCCUCUCCUUUUUCUUUUUCUUUUCUUUUCCUUAUUUUUCCUUAUUUUUUUCUUAUUUUUUCUUAUUUUUCUUUUAUGAAACAUUCUUUGAUUGAAUCCGAACUCACAAGAUUAGGCAAGUCCUUGUUAUCCCUUCCGGUCAAAAUCAACGCUUCUCCAGAUAAGACCUUCUACAUAAGGUCCUUCUCAGUUUGGCAUCCACUUUCUUUUGAAGUCCUUUUUGUAUAGGGAAGAUCUUCUUCGAUACUAGGUCCCCCUCAUGGAAUUCUUUGGGGUGAACCUUUUUGGUGAUCUUGCAUCAUUUGUUUUUGGUACAUUUGACCAUAACGAAUAACUUUGAACUUUACUCUUCAAUCGGGAUCAGAUCCAAAAAACUAGGAGAGAAAGAAUCUUGACUUCAAUGGGCAACACCAUGAUAAGCCAAGGUGUUGCCCCGAAAGAGGUUUUUUUUUGCGUCAUUCAUUUUGGGGCAACAUGAUGUUAAUCUUGAACAGACUGCAACCUUCUGACUGUUGUUCAAAUUUAGUUCAUUGUCAGAUAUGAUCCUUUUUGCAUUCCAUACCGACAUAUGAUUUCUUUUUCAAGAAUUUGCUGACUGUCGACUUUGUGACAUCGGCAUAUUAAGCAGCUUCCACCCACUUAUUGAAGUAAUCAAUGAUCACGAAGAUUAAUCAAUGACAGCUAAACUUUUGGCGAGAUCGGUCCGAUGACAUCCAUGUCCCACAUAGAGAAAGGUCAUGGCUUCUAUUGAUUCUUUGUAAGGUAUGAUCUUGUUCUACCAUCCUUAAUAAAUUCAGGAGAUAAGCUACAUUCUCGAUCAUCUUUAAAGUCCUGAGGUUCCUCUAGACACAUAUCUUCCUCAAAAAGAGGUUCUUUGUCAAUAGCAGUGUCGCUCAUAUCAUUGAUAACUUGAGACAUGUUAUAGGAACGAAGAAAGAUGCAAAGAAUCAAAGAAUCAAAGAAUAUUUAUCUGUAGUAUGAUUAUGAAUGAAAUGGAAACAAGAAAAGAAUCUUUCCUCGAAAUGAGAAACAAAGAUGCAUUUUAUUGAAAUAAAGAUGUUAGACAUAAGCCUAUCUCACAAAAGGAUUAUUAUUGCUCCUAGGCUUAGAGCAAUAAGUGUGUUUUAGACAUUACUCUGAAUUAGGUCUAAAAAGUAUAGGGGUGUCUUCCACAGUCCCAUUGUUCAAAACAUCCCCAACAUUCCUUCUGGGCCUUUGACUUCUUCAAAGAAUUCCAACUCUUUAUUAUCCAUUAGGCUCUGCACCAAAGCUUUGAAUUCAACGCACUCUUGGAUUUCAUGGCCUUCUUUAACGUAGAACUCAUAGUAGCUCCUCAUCCAUUUUGGUCUUUUCUCCAAAUUCUGAAUGAUUAAUCCCAUGUCUAUCAUUUGUUUCAAAACCCAUUUUAGUGGGAUUUUUACUUCUGCAACAUUGGUUUUGGUUCUCUUUCCUCUGUUCUCAAUUAUCGCGUUUACCCUUGGGUCUGGAUGACUAGGUAACGAAUUUCCUGCCACAUUAGGUCUUGGCGGAUCGUCAAACUUCAUGAUGCCCAUCUUGAUGAACCUUUCAACUAAUUUUUAAAUGUAGUGUAGUUUUCAAUUGAGUGCCCUGUUAUUCCCUCGUGGUAUUCGCAUUGGGCGUUCACAUCAUACCAUUUCGGGAAUGGAGGUUGCACGGGUUCCGAGUAGAAUGGAGAUACCACAUGUGCAUCAAACAGAUUCUAAUACAAUUCUCUAUAUGUCAUUAGGAUGGGUGUAAACUGGAGUCUUUCUAUGUUUGCCUUUGAGUUGGAUUCCUGCCUUGAAGGGCCUUGAUAGCCAGUAGUCACAGCCCUUGGUUGACCUACAGUGACCUCUUUGGAAUACCCUUUAUUAUGCAUGCUCAGGUUACUCACUUCAUUUUCCUUAUUCUUUGGGGUUGAUCUUUUGAGACUUUCCCCUGCAUCUAUCUUCCCACUUCUUAUCGGGUUUUUAAUCAUCUCGUUGGACAUUACUAUAUCUGAGAAGCUCAAGGUAGCACUUCCCAACAUAUGGUUAAUGAAUAGGGCUUUCAGAGUGUUGAUGAAAAGUAUCGUGGUUUCUUUCUCCAUAAGAGGUAGUUGGACUUGUGUCGUUAGCUCUCUCCAUUUUUGGGCAUAUUGCCUGAAGCUCUCACUUUGCUUCUUUUCCAUAUUCUAUAGAGUGAUUCUAUCAGGUGUCAUGUCUGUUACAUGGCUGUAUUACUUCAUAAAAGCCUGUGCCGAGUCCUUCCAUUAGUGGAUGUUAGCACAGCUCAGCUGAUUGUACCAUUUGGCAGCCGACCCAAUCAAACUAUCUUGUAAGAAAUGAAUUAACAAUUGGUCGUUAUUAACAUAUCCAUUCAUUUUUCGGCAGAAUACUGUGAUAUGAGCCUCAGAUAAGAUUGACUAUGAGGUAUUUGUGGAGCAACCGUAAGGUUAUGAAGUGAAAGGUGAAGAAAGCAAAGUAUGUAGGUUAAGGAAAACACUCUGUGGAUUUAAAUAAGCCCUAAGAGCUUGGUUCAAUAAGAUUGAAUCAUACUUUAUCAAUGAGGGGUUUGAAAGAUGCUUAAGUGAUUACACGUUGUUUACAAAGAAGAAUUAAGAUGGAGGUAUUCUCAUAGUAAGUUUAUAUGUCGAUGAUCUUAUUUUUUUUAAAGAAUAAUGAAUAGGUGUUUGAAAAUUUCAAAAGUUUAAUGAAAAGAGAGUUUGACAUGCCUGAUCUUAGUUGCAUGAAGUAUUUCUUGGAGUGGAACUGGUGCAAAGCUUAGUAGGGAUUUUCAUAAGCCAAAUGAAGUAUGCCAAAUAGUUGCUAGAGAGAUUUGGGAUGGACCAACGUACAUCUGUAAAGAAAAAUCCCAUUGUUCUUGGGAGUGGACUCGCUAAAGAUGGCGGGACAAAUGUUAAUUUCACUGUUUACAAACAAAUGGUGGAAAGCCUUAUGUGCCUGACCGUUACAAGGCCUGGUCUUAUGUAUGUUGUAGGUUUGAUAGCUUGUUUCAUAGAGGAGCCUAUUAUUUUGUAUCAAUAAACAGUAAAGAGGGUGUUUUGAUACUUGAAGGGAACAACUGAGUUGUGAAUACUUUACAAAGAAGGAGCAGAAGAAAGAUUGCUUUCUUAUUUGGAUAGUGAUUAUGUAGGUGAUCUUGAUGGUCGCAAAAUCACCCCGGGGUAUAUUUUCAAACUAAGUUCUACAACUAUAGCGUGGAGUUCCCAAAAGCAACUAGUUGUGUCACUUGCCACCACCGAAGCAAAGUUCAUUGCUGCUGUCGCAUGUGCCUAUCAGAGUAUAUAGAUGCAACGAGUUCUUGAGAAGUUUGGGCUUAAGCAAAUUAAGUGCAUCAUAUUUUGUGAUAAUAACUCAGCCAUUCAACUCUCAAACAAUCCUGUUAUGCAUGGUAGAAGCAAGCAUAUUGAUGUGCGUUUUCACUUUUUUCGAGACUUAGCAAAUGAUGGAGUAGUAGAACUGACACACUGUGGCUCAAAGGAUCAAUUGGGUCACAUAAUGACAAAACCUUUAAGGUUAGAGUUGUUUUUAAAGAUGAGAGAGCACUUGGUAUCUGCAGUAUUCAAAGUUUAAAUUGACUGUAUGGUAACAACUCAAUUUCAGGGAGGAAUUGUUAGGAACUUGGUCAAUCUGACUAAGGCUUGCUUGUUCAUUUAAUGUUUGCUAUCUCUGAUUCUAUUCCUUGAUUUUAGCCAUGAUACUUGCUGAGUAAAUCAUGGAUGCAUUUUUUAUUUUUGUUUUGAAAUGGCUUAUAAAAGCAUCUGUUUUGUCUUUAAAUAAAUAAGCUUUUUAGCUUUCAAUAGUCUAAAUAUUGUUUUAGCUUUUGACCCUUUCUUUCCCACUAUCAAUCAUACCUUAAAUGUAUAUGUCGAAAACACUUUUUUUUAAAUAAACUUUAUUUUGAAAACGAGAAUGGGAGUCGCCACCAAUCCUUUUUAAGAGGUGUGAUCGGGUCACCUUGUAAUUCGAUCAUUUUAAUAAAAGGUUUGAUUUAUUAAAAUAAUGUUUUUCAGUCUACAAAAAUCCAGAAAAUGGGUUUGGGGUCGGCUACGCACGAUGAAGGAUUAGCACCCUCGUAACGCCCAAAAUUGGUACCUAGUUGAUUAAUUAAUGUCUUAGUGUUGAAAAUUAAAAUUUUGAAAGGAUUUAAAAUACGACCCCUUAUUAAAACAUUACUUAACUAAAUCAAUUUUCGUGAAAAUGAGUUAUUUCAAGUUAAUCGAGAAGGAAGGAUCGUGUCCCGUAAGUUAGGAUAUAAUGCCUUAAAUCCCUAAAAACGACAAUAAAUGCUAAAAAAUAUUUUAAAAUAUAUUUGAUUAUCUCGGUUUUAGAAAGAAAACAUAUUUCGUAAGUUAGGAACGCAACUUUUCAAAUUCCAAAAUAAUGAACGUCGUUUCGAUUUAAAAUUUUCGUUUUUAUUCAUCUUGCAAAAAACGAACAUGAUGCUUAUAGAGACGGGCAUUUUAACUUAUUCGAGCAUAAUAUACAAAUGAAUAGAUACUUAAGCCUAAUGUAUGAUAUAACGAUAAUGAGGUAGUUUAAAAUGAUUAUAUGAGUAGAACACUUAUAUUAGAAUAAUAAAUAACAAAUAAAUGGACAAAUACUAUGGUAAUAAUAAUAUGAAAUAGCAAUAGUAAGAAAUUUAAUUUCUGGCAUUAACGACAAAGUAACUCGAAAAUAAAAAAUGAAAACGAAGGGUGCUUAAUGAAAAGGAAGUGAAAAUAAUAUUAAAUCUAAAUAUUUAAAAAGUACAAGAAUAAUAAAUAAGUAAAUCGAUAAAACGAUUAUACAUAAUAUAAAAUUUAAGUAUUUUAGAAGUAAGAAUGAUAAAUAAAUAAAUGAAUAAAAAUUGAUAAAACAGAUAUAAACAAUACUACAUUUAGGUAUUUGGGAAGUAAACGAAUAGUAAGCAAAUAAAUAUAUAUAAAAAGUAAAAAAUAAUAUUAAAUUUAAGUGUUUUUUAAAAAAUAAAGAAUAAUAAAUAAAUCAAUCUAUAUAAAAAAUAUGGAUAAUAUGAAUUUUAAAAUAAAAAAGGCAAUACUAAUAACCAAAUAAAUAAUAAAAUAAUAAAAUAAAACAAAAACGGUACAAAGCUAAAUUAAACAAAUAAAGGAUUUAUUUGAAGUUUAAGUGAAAUUAAAGGGUACAAAUUGUAAAUGAUAAAAAAUAGGCUGACAAGGAUCAAAAUACAACACGCUAAAAAUAAUAGGGACUUAAAGGGAAAAUAUCCCUGGUCCUUAUACACGCAGUUUCACGAUGGACUGAAGUGAAACAAAACAAAACUCGUAGGAUAAAAUUAAAAACAAAAGUAAAAAAGGCGAAAUUAAGACUAGAUUAAAACAACCCAAAAGGGCAGAAGGACUAGGAAUGCAGAUAUCCGUUCCAAGCAAAAACACGCGGAUCUUAGGUUGGAUCAGGUCUGGUCGGGUCGGAUCAAAUUGCAUCAAAACAACACUGUUCCUGGCGUUCGCUUUUAAAAACGGUCUAGGGACCAAAUUGAAACAAAAAUAAAAAUACAUGGAAAAAUUAAAAAAUAAAAAAUAGAUAGGCCCCGGUUGAAAGAAUCUGCAAAAGCGGAAGGAUUAAAGGUGCAAGUAGCCCCUUUGUCCAAAAACAUGCGGAUCUCAAGGAUCCUAGGUCAGAUCUCGGAUCAAAGGCCAAAACGACGCCAUUUUGGGGCUAUUGACAACGUCGUUUAAAGUAGGCUAUAUAAGUUAAUUUUUUUUAAAAAUUUUCAUUCAGCCUUCACUUUUUUUUCUAAAAAAAAAAUCUGAGAAGCUCUCUCAAUCCUCUCGCCCUCUCCGAGCUCUGGUCAUCGGGCCAUUGUUCGUCCGCCGUAUACGGCGACCGAAGUUCAAAAAAAGGCCUUUUCAGCCAUUUUAAUCUCCCUAACCCCGAUCUAAGAUCAAAGUACCUAAAAAGCCCUCUAAAAUUAAGAAAAAAAUAAAGAAACCUUUCGAUUCCGUCCUUUCCAAUCGCAAGAAAAGUAAAAAAAUAUUGUAUUUUUGAAUAUAUACGUAAUUGUGUAUGAUAUAUUUGAAAUAAACAUGCGACAAAAAAAAUGAAAAUAUACCUCUAUAAUAAAGCUAUAAUAUUUUUAAUAUUUCUUUCUCUUUUGAUUUUUCCCUUUUUUGUGUAUUUUAUUCGUCCAAAAUUACAAACUGCUAGUGGUGGCUGUUAUAGCCAGUUUACAUGUUGUAUUUGCUAUUUUUUUUGCUUGCUUUCAUUUCUGAUACUUUCUCUCUUGCUAUUUCUGUGUCUGUCUUUUUGUGGCCUUGUUUACAGUCUUGGCGAGGUUAACGGAGAUGAGAGAAGGGCUGUCGUUGCCGUUUUGGUGCAAUGGCGGCAGGGGCAUCAGGCCUCGGGAUGAGGUGCCUCGGGCUGCAUGAGAGGAGCGGUUACUAGGGUUUUUAGUUUUACUGAAAAUAGUUUAGGUUGUGGGCUAUUUGAGCUUUAGGGUUUUGUAUUAUUUGGGUUUGUAAAUUUUGGGCUUUCCUGCCUUAUAAAUGGGCUUUGGACUUUAAUGGAUUUAUUAUUUUUUGUUUUUAUUUUUGUUUGUAGCGAGUCGGGUAGAAUUGGCCUAUUACAACUGCCCCUCUUUGCUCAUUGUUGUGUAAUAGGAAUGGAGCAAAAACUUUAAAAAGAGUCAAUUUUGCCUGGUCUUGCUGAAUCUCGACUUCUUUGAUGCUUCUAUUAUUCAAGUAGCCUCAUUCUAACCCAUUGCAACUUCAGGGGUAUAGGAAAUGUAAUUUGAACCUACUCCACUGCAACUUCAGGGAGAUAAGAUUUGUAUCUUUAAUCUGCCCCACUAUAACUUCAGGGAGAUAAGAUUUUUAGCUUCAAUUUGUUCCACUGCAACUUCAGGGAGAUAAGAUUUGUAGCUUCAACCUGCUCCACUGCAACUUUAGGGAGAUAAGCUUUGUAGCUUUAAUCUGCUCCACUGUAACUUCAGGGAGAUAAGAUUUUUAGCUUCAAUUUGUUCCAUUGCAACUUCAGGGAGAUAAGAUUUGUAGCUUCAACCCGCUCCAUUGUAACUUUAGGGAGAUGAGGUUUGUAACUUGUAGCUUUAAUCUGUUCCAUUGCAACUUUAGGGAAAUAAGAUUUGCUAUCUUCAAUCUGCUCCACUGCAACUUUAGGGAAAUAAGAUUUGUAGCUUUAAUCUGAUCCACUGCAACUUCAGGGAGAUAAGUUUUAAAACUUUAAUCUGCUCUACUGCAACUUCAGAGAGAUAAGAUUUGCUAUCUUCAGUCUGCUCCACUGCAACUUUAGGGAGAUAAGACUUGUAUCUUCAAUCUGCCCCACUACAACUUCAGGGGGAUCCGAUUGUAAUUUGUAGCCUUAAUCUGUUCCACUGCAACUUUAAGGAAAUAAGAUUCACUAUAUUUAGUCUGCUCCAUUGCAACUUUAGGGAGAUAAAACUCAUAACUUAAACCUGCCUCACUGCAACUUAAAGGGGAUCCGAUUUGUAUUUUGUAGCCUUGAUAUGUUCCACCGCAACUUCAGGGAAAUAAGAUUCACUAUCUUCCGUCUGCUCCAUUGCAACUUCAGGGAUAUAAGACUUGUAACUUCAACCUGCCCUACUGUAACUUCAGGGAGAUAAGGUUUAUAGCUUUAAUCUACUCUAAUACAACUUCAGGGAGAUAAGAUUUGCUAUCUUCAGUUUGCUCCACUACAACUUUAGGGAGAUAAAAUUCGUCAUGAUGACUAUAAUCCAUCCCACUGCAACUUCAGGGGUAUAGGAUUUGUGGUUUCAAUAAUCUGUUCUCUGGGGAACAUGACCUGUAGAAUCUAUUUCAUUGACAUAUUUAUGCCUAGUGAUUAGGAUGUUAUGAUCAGAAUGAAUCAAAUGCUCCUAACUAGAUGUGUAUGAAUGAUAUUUGCAUGAGUGCAGAUUGUCAUUUUUUGAGAAUGAUCCCUUUUUAAUGCUUAGGUUGUCAUUACUCGUUGUUCAUCAAGGUUCUAUCACUGAUGUGUUACCAUACCUUCUUGUUCAGCUAGUAUCUUUAACAGAAAAUCCAAAGAAAUAGUCACAAUUUAGACUAUUCUUUCUCAAAUGUUUCCAACCCUUAAGUUUGGUUAGUUCUGAGUAAUGGUUCUAUUUUCAGAUCCUUGUACUAUUUAGAAAACUUUUUAGAGCAAUAUGCAGAACUCCUUUUACUUGAAUAUUAUUAGUACAUUAAUCAUUUUUUCAAUGUAAAAAUGCUUGAAAAAGAUUAUCGUAAUGGACAAAAGGAAUUUUAUUGAGAAUAAAGCUUGAAAUAGAUAAACUGAUCAAAGAUAGCAAACAUUGAUAAAAUACAAAGUGGAUAAGAUGAAAAUAGGUGCUCUAGAUAUCGUAGUAUGAGCUUCUUUGCACUAUCUUUUCGAGGGCCCUUUUGAACUUGAUAUGUGUUUCAGAGAUCCAAAAUAAUUUGUUGAUGCCCCAAGAUGUAAUGUCUCUCUUUCUUGUUAAUUCUGAUAGGAUAGGAUUUCCAUAUGGCCCACCUUUGAUUAAAAUUUGAAUUGCCCUUUUCUGGUUUUCAACUCAAAACCCAUUUGGUCUUAAGGCACCCUUUGCGGGUUUUCAUCUUGGCCUCUCCACUCUUUUUUUAUUUAGGUGAAAUACUUCUUGACUGAAUCUGAAUUCAUGGGAUUGGGCAAGUUCUUGCCAUCCAUCUCAGUCAAAAUCAGCGUUCCUCCAGAAAAUGCCUUCUUUACCACGUAAGGUCCUUCCCAUUUUGGCAUCCAUUUUCCUCUGAGAUCCUUUUGUAUGGGUAGGAUCUUUUUCAAUACUAGGUCCCCCUCAUGGAAUUCUCUGGGACGAAGCUUUUUGUUGUAAGCUCGCAUCAUUCACUUUUGGUACAUCUUACCACGAUAGAUGGCUUUCAAUCUUUUCUCUUCAAUCAAGUUUAGCUGAUUAUAUCGGGAUUGAAUCCAUUCUGCAUCAUCCAAUUUCAAUUCUACCAAAACUCGAAAAGAAGGAAUCUCAACUUCAAUGGGUAAAAUCGCCUCCAUUCCAUAAACUAGAGAGAAAGGCGUUGCCCCAGUUGAGUUCCUGAUAGAUGUUUGAUAAGCAUAGAGGGCAAAUGGUAACUUCUUAUGCCAAUCUUUAUAAGUCUCAGUCAUUUUCCCCACUAUCUUCUUAAUGUUCUUAUUGGCUGCCUUCACUGUACGAUUCAUUUUUGGGCGAUAUGGUGAUGAGUUGUGCUGUUUGAUCUUGAAUUGACUACAGACUUCCGUUAUCGUACUAUUGUUCAAGUUCAAUGCAUUGUCAAAUAUGAUCCUUUCUGGCAUCGCAUACCGACAUAUGAUUUCUUUCUUCAAGAAUUUGCUAACUGUCAAUUUCGUGACAUUAGCGUAAGAAGUAUCCUCUACCCACUUAGUGAAGUAAUCGAUGACCACAAAGAUAAAUUGAUGCCCAUUAGAAGCUUUUGGUGAUAUUGGCCCAAUGACAUCCAUGCCCCACAUAGAGAAAGUCCACAGAUAAGUCAUAACAUGAAGAGACGAGUAAGGUACAUGAAUUUUAUAUCCAUAAAUUUGACACUUAUGGCACUUCUUAGCAUAACUGAUGUAAUCUCCUUCCAUAGUGGACCAAUAAUAGCCGAAUCUCAUGAUUUGCCUGGCCAUUGUAAAACUAUUGGCAUGUGUUCCGCAAACACCCUCGUAGACUUCUUCAAGAUUUUUUAGCCUCGACAAUGUCUACACAUCUUAGUAACACCUGAUCCUUUCACCUUUUAUAUAUGAUCUUCCCAUCUAAGACAUAGUCAUUGGACAGUCUUCUUAGUGUCCUUUUUUCAUUCUUAGUUGCUUGGUCAAGGUAUUCACGAUUCUUCAUGUAUCGCAGUAUAUCGUGGUACCAAGAGUGAUCGUCCUCUUCUUCUUCUUUUUCGAUGUUGUAACCAUGAGCUGGAGUCUCAUAAAUACUCAUCUGGUUAGGUUUUCUAUCCUCUUGUUUGUUCACUUUGAUUAUCGAAGCCAAGGUAGCCAAAGCGUUAGCCAUCUGAUUUUCGUCUCGUGGAAGAUAGCAGAAGGUAAUAUCAUCAAACUAUUCAAUUAACUCCAGGACCAACUCUCGAUAAUUGAUCAACUUGGGGUCUUUCGUCUCUCAUUCAUCUUUGAGUUGAUAGAUCACUAGUGCAGAAUCUCUAUAUACCUCUAGUACUUUGAUCUUACGUUCUAUGGCUGCACGGAUACCCAUGAUGCAUGCUUCGUAUUCUGCCAUAUUAUUCAUGCAAUCAAAAUCCAAUUUGCUAGUAAAUAGAUAAUGAUAUCUGUUUGAGGAUACUAGGACUACCUUGAUUCCGUUACCCACAACGUUUGAGGCUCCGUCAAAGUUUAGCUUCUAAAGAUGACCUUCUUGAGAGUCUUCUUCAGUGGUUGCCACAUACAUUAAAUCUUCAUUCGAGAAAUCAAAGUUCAAAGACUCAUAAUCUUCUAGAGCUCUACUGGCCAGAAAAUCUGCUAUUGUGCUCCCUUUUAUAGCCUUCUGAUUCACAUAGACUUAUCAAACUCGGACAGUAGAAUUUGCCAUCGGGUUAUUCUUCCAGUUAACGUAGUCGACUUUAUCAUGUAUUUUAGAGGAUCGAGUUUUGAGAUAAACCAAGUUGUGUGGUACAAGAUAUACUGUCUCAACCUUCGGGUUGUCAGAUCAAAGGACAACACAACUUCUCAAUUAGUGAAUAUCUUGUCUCACAUUAAGUGAAUUUCUUACUGAGAUAGUAUAUCACUCUUUCUUUUCUCCCUGAUUCAUCAUGUUGGCCAAGCACGCAUCCCAUGAAAUUUUCGAAUACUGCCAAGUAUAGUAUCAGCGGCUUAUCUAAGAUGGGAGGCAUCAGUAUUGGGGCAUUGGACAAGUAAUUUUUGACCUUGUCAAAAGUCUUCUGGCACUCCUUAUCCCAAACGCCUGAAUUGUGUUUCUUAAGGAGAUGGAAUAUAGGGUCGCAUUUCUCAGUUAGUUGUGAAAUGAACCGGAUGAUGUAAUUUAGUCUUCCUAAGAAACCUCGAACUUCUUUUUGAGUACGUAGUGGAGGAAAUUCUUUUAUAGCCUUGACUUUUUCUGGGUCGAUCUCGAGUCCCUUUUCACUGACUACAAAUCCUAGCAAUUUUCCCGACCUAGCCCCAAAAGUACAUUUUGCUAGAUUGAGCUUCAGUUGGAAUUUUCUCAAUCUACAUUUUUGUUGGAUUAAGCUUCAGCUAGAAUUUUCUCAAUCUACAUUUUACUGGAAUGAGCUUCAGCUGGAAUUUUCUCAAUUUCAAGAACAAUUUCCUUAAGACUUGUACAUGCUCUUUCUCUAUUGGGGAUUUUGUGAUCAUAUCAUGAACAUAAACUUCGAUUUUCUUGUGCAUCAUGUCAUGAAAAAUGGUUACCAUUGCUCUUUGGUAUGUUGCACCCUCAUUUUUCAGUCCAAAUGGCAUCACCUUAUAGCAAAAUGUUCCCCACAUGGUUAUGAAGAUGGUCUUCUCCAUAUCUUCAGGAUGCAUCUUUAUCUGAUUAUAUUUCUAGAAACAAUCCAUUAAGGAGAAUAGUGAGUAACCUACAGUAUUGUCCACCAAAGUGUUGAUAUGCGACAAUGGGAAAUUGUCUUUCGGGCUGGCUUUAUUCAAGUCCCUAUAGUCUACAUACAUCCGUACUUUACCAUCUUUUUUGGGGACGAGGAUGAUAUUGGCUACCCAUUCUGAUUAUUUAACCACGCGUAAGAAACCAGCAUCGAAUUGCUUAUUGACUUCCUUUUUUAUUUUCAGUAAAACAUUGGGCCUCAUAUUUUGGAGCUUCUAUUAAACUGGCUUGCACUAUUUCUUUAUGGGGAACUGGUGUACCACGAUAUCAAUACUUAACUUGUGCAUGCCUUGAUAUGACCAUGCGAAUACAUCAUUGAAUUCUUGGAGUAACUCAAUGAGGUCUCGCUUCAUCUCUGCGGUAAUACAAGCUCCAAUCUUCACCUCUUUUUCCCCUCCCAAGCUCACAAUUUCCACUGACUCCUUGUAAGGUAGGAUUUGUUUCUCAUCUUGUUCUACCAUCCUCAACAAAUCAAGAGAUAUGUUACAGUCUCGAUCAUAUUCAAAAUCUUGAGAAUCUUCCGUGCACUAUCUUGCUUAAAAGGAGAUUCUGAAUUAGUAGCAGCGUCGUUCAUAUUAUUGAUAUCUGGAGACCUAUUAUAAGGAUGAAGGAAAAUCCAAAUAAUAAAAUAAUCUAAGAAUAAUUACUUGUAUGGUAUGAUUAUGAAUGAAAUGAAAAGAAUAAAAGAAUAUUUGCUCAAGAUGAUACGCAAAUAUGUAUUUUAUUGAAAUAAGGAUGUUGGAUAUAAGCCUAUUUCAUAAAAGGAUUCUUAUUACUCCUAGGCUUAGAGCAAUAAGCGUGUUUUGAACAUUACUCUGAAUUAGCUCUAAAAACUACAAGAAUCUCUUCUGCAGUCCAGUUAUUCAGAACACUUUUAGGUACAUAGGGGCAGAUGUUUGAUAAAUUUUCUCCCUAAACUCCUUCUUCGGAUAUGGCGUUAAUGCCUAAACUUCCUAACAUUUCUUCCGUUGUUUCUUUUCUUGUCAUAUUCUGUUCAGGGUGAAUAGUUUCUCCUAAUAUGAAUGUUUUGGACAUAUGGGGAAAGAUCAUUAGUUCCCAUUUGACCUCUCCUUUAUUCAGUCGCACUUUUCUUCUUUCUUGUUUCUUCUCUAACUCUCUCCUUUUCUUCUUUGCAUCCGGCUUGUGUCCUAAGCCAAAAAGGUCUCAUUUGUCUUUCAGCAUUGGUGUCUUAACCCUUUCUUAUAAGUAUCUCCAGAGUUCUCUUCCUGGUAAAGCUCCUUUCUCGACCAUCAGUUACAAGCCCAUCAUUGUAGUCUUGGAUAUUUUAAGCAUUGAAAUCUUAUUCCUUUCGAUAAUGAAUGUUGCGUUGACAAAUUCCAGCAAUCGAAAGUAACAUUCUAUCGCCUCAUCGUCUACCCCUAUGUAUGGCACGUCACUGGUAACGGAUGCAAUGAUGUCUUCUUUCGUGUUUAUCAUUACCAGUCUACCCUCAGUUACCAACUUUAACUUUUGGUGCAAUAAUGACAGAACUACCCCCGCUGAGUGAAUCUAAGGCCUCCCCAACAAGCAAUUAUAAGAGGGCUUGAUGUCCAUUACUAAAAAGUCUACUUCAUACGUGUUUUGACAAAUCAAAAGAGGUAUCUUGAUCCUUCCCAUUACCUUUCUUUCAGUACCGUCGAAUGCUCUCACUAUGUUUUGGCAUGUUUUCGUAUAAGAGUAAUCCACAGGCAACCUAUUCAGUAUGGAUAAGGGUAAGACAUUCAGGGCCGAUCCAUUAUCAAUUAACACCCCUGGCAAUGUGUAUCCUUUAUAGCAAGUGGUAAUGUGCAGAGCUUUUGUAGAUCUCAUGCCUCCUAGCGGUAUUUCAUCAUUAUUAAAAAAGAUGAAAUUAUCAGUGCUUAUAUUAUUGACCAAACGAUCCAACUUGUUGACAGAGAUAUCAUCCGCGACAUAAGUUUCGUUCAACACUUUCAUCAAUGCGCUACGACGUGUCUUUGAGCUUAAGAGUAAAGCCAAUACCGAUAUGUGAGCUGGCUACUUGUGUAGUUGUUCUACAAUGCUAUACUUGUUGUGCUUUAGGAGUUUCAAGAAUUCCUUAGCCUCUUUCUCAGUUACCUGCUCAUUAACAGGUGAUUCAAGUUUGGCCGACUUCUCUUUCUUUUGUUCAACCACUAAGGAUUUUCCUUUAACAGGUUCGGUUUUUGUAUUUGGAGAAUCAUAGCGCCUUCCACUGUGCGUGUAGAAACCCAUAUCCUGACCCUUUUUUGAAGUGCUGAACGGGUUUUCUCUCCCAUGAUCGUCACGUUGCAAUCAUAAUUUCAGGGAACCUUUUUACUGUCCUUAUAGGGAAAAGCUACAGGUUUCUGAAUUAUGACCCUUGGUGCAAUUUGUGCUCCGACUUCAUUGAUUCUUGGUCUUGGGAUACUUAUCAUCGGGUGAUUGGCCCUAUAGACCUUUUCUGUCUAUCCUUUUUCUGAGGCGCACAUAUCUUUUUCUUCUGAGCCUUUAACAUAUUCAAAGAAUUCUAGCUCCUUGUUAUCCAUCAGACCUUGUAUUAGGGCCCUGAGUUUAAUGCACUCUUGGAUCUCAUGACCCUCUUCAUCAUGGAACUCAUAGUAGUCUUUUGUUUUUUCAGGUCUUUCCCCUAAAUCCUGUGUGAUUAAUCCUCCCUCUACUAUUUUCUUCCAAACCCAUCUCAGUGGGGUUUUCACUUUUACUACAUCCAUUUCAGUUCUCUUCCCUCCACUCUCAAUUAUCACAUUCAUCCCUUUAUUAGAAUGACUGGGUAACAGAUUUCCUGCCACAUUAGGUCCCGAUAGAUCAUCAAACUUCACAAUGCCCAUCUUGAUAAACCUUUCAAUUAACUUUUUAAAAGUGGUGCAGUUCUCGAUUGAGUGUCCCGUAAUUCCUACGUGGUACUCGUAUUGAGCAUUCGAGUCAUGCCAUUUAAGGAAUGGAGGUUGCAUAGGUUUCAAGUAGAAAGGGGAUACCACAUGUGCAUCGAACAAAUUUUGAUACAACUCCCUAUAUGUCAUCAGGGUAAGCGUUAACUGGAGUCUUUCUACGUUCGGCCUUGGAUUGGAUUCUUGCCUUGAAGGGCCUUGAUGACUAGUAGUUACCGUCCUUGGCUGGCUCACAGUGAUCAGCUUUGAAUAACCCUUGUUAUACAUACUCGCAUUAUUCACCUAAUUUUUCUUCUUCUUUGGAGCUAAUCAUUUGGCGUUUUCCCUUAUGUCUAUUUUCCUGCACCUUAUUGCAUUUUAUAUCAUCUUUCUAGACAUUAAUAUAUCUGAGAAGCUCUUAGUAGUGCUUCCCAACAUAUGGUUAAUGAACGGAGCCUUCAAAAAGUAUUGUUGUUUCCUUCUCUAAAAGAGGUGGUUGGACUUGCGUCGCUACCUCUCUCCAUCUUUGGGCAUAUUGUUUGAAGCUCUCACUUGGCUUCUUUUCCAUAUUUUGCAGUGUGAUUCUUUCCAGUGUCAAGUCUAUCACAUGACUAUAUUGUUUCAUAAAAGCUUGUGCCAAAUCCUUCCAUGAAUUGAUUUUGGCACUGCUCAAUUGGUUGUACCAUUUGGCUGCAGACUCGAUCAGACUGUCUUAGAAGUAGUGAAUUAAUAACUGAUCAUUAUUAAUGUAUCCUAUCAUCCUUUGACAGAAUAUUGUAAUGUGAGCUUUAGGGCAGCUAGUCCCAUUAUACUUUUCAAACUCUAAAGUUCAAAACUUUGGUGGGAGCACUAGAUUUGGGACCAAGCUCAAGUCCUUAGCAUCAAUUCCACAAUGGUAAUAGGUGUUCUCCAUUGUUCUAAACUUUUCUUCUAGCCAUCUACACCAGUCCUCGAGUUGCUUUGGUAGAUCUAUCUUCGCCUUCUCUAUUUCUACUAUAUCAUCAAGAUUAGGGACAACGAGAUUAGUUCGAUUAUCCCUUGGAUUAGAGCAUGGGCCUGUUAGGUAGUUUAUUGGUACCGAGGUACCAACCUGAUAUUGUUGGGGUCUGAUAGUAACGGGUACCCCUCGUGGGUACUCCUCCGGUUGGGUACAUUUAUCGGGGUAAAACCUGGGGAAUAGGUAGGGUCUUCAUUAUCAUCACCCGAGUUAACCAUGGUAAUCUUCCCUUUUUUGAGUCCUUUAGCCAGCAAUUGCGUCAAUUGGCUUAUCAUACUUCUUUGGGAUUCUUGCAUUUGAUCCCUCAUCUCUUAUUGAAUUUUAGCUAAUUGUUAUUGCAUCUGUGCUUGCAACUGAUCUUGCAUAUCUCUUUGCAUUUGUUCUAAUCGUUCCAAUCUCUGAUCCAUUACUUUGGUUUUGGCACAAGUACUGUAAUGAUGUUCGGUUGGUUGACUCUUGUUGGUUUCUAAAUUAACUGAAAUAAUUUCGUUUAAUUAGGGUCUUUUUCUGAAAUUUAAUGCAUAUGAUGCAAUGUAAUGCAAAUGCAUGAAAUGAAUGCAAAAAGAGGUAUUGACUCUGAUUCAAUUCUGUUAGAAUAACUUUACUAGAAAACAAAUUUCGUUACAUAAAAUGGAUUACAUAUACGACUUUGACCUAAUGCUCAAAGCCUUAACCUUCCUAAGAAGCCAAGCUAACUCUUGACCCCGAUCUGAUUCUGAUUCAAACUUUAAGCUUAGCACGUCAGCCUGAAUUGCUAAGGUUUGCAAAUGAUUAGCCACCUCUCAUAUUUGAGCUACAGCUUCACCCAUGAUAUGGUCCCUAUCUCUGACUUGACCUUGAGAAUGGUGGAGUUUCUCUUUCCAAUGCUCAUUGUUUGCUUCAAAGAGUUCAACUUGAAGUUGACAAUUUUGUAAAGCAGUCUUGAGCUCUUCUAUUUUCCUUUUCAGCUCUUCAAUCUUGCUCAAGCUCGCUUCCAACUCAAAUGUGAAGUUGCGAUUACGAUACUGAUGAAGCUACAUUUCUAACUCUGGUACCCUCGCUUUUAAUCUGACCUUUUCAUUUUGGCAUUCCAAUAGGUCUUUCUCUAGAGUAUUUUCUCAAACCUGGGCAUCUUGGUAUUUCUCUUCCCAUUGAUCGACUCUAUUCUUUUCUUCUUUGAUCUCUUGCCGCCAUUGUUCUAAUGUCUUUCCCAACCAGGCAGUCCUCAUUGAUAAGCGCAGCUUUUUGUAAUCUAUUUUUAAACUGUCCAGAUCUUCCUCGACCUUGUUCUUUCCUUUUAUUAUUUUAUCGGCCUCUAGCUUCUGAAUGUCAACAUCUAGUCCUAACUGCAUCUUUUCUUCUUCCAAUUGCUCUAUCUUCUUUCCUAGCUCCAAAUUACUCUAUUCAAAAUCUUACUUGAUGAUCUCUAGCUCAGAUGGAAUCACUUGCAGGUGUUCUUCCAAUGAUCGAGUGGUUUCUUGAUUUGGCAUAGGGAUAUUGUCAUUGACUCUUUGACCCCACCACCAACUAUAUUUGGGGGUCGUUAUCGGACUUGUAUCCAAUCUUUUCAUUCGACGGCUUUGAUUCUAGGCGUUAGAUAUUUCUCUAACAUUUUUCUUGUAGUUAUCACCCUUAUACGAAAACUCACAUUGGGCCAGCCCUUGCGUUGCUGGUAUGAAUUGCCUCGAUCUAUAUUGCCUCAACACGAAUAGAGGAGCAUAUCCAACAGCUCCUCAAAUCCCAAGUAGAGAAACCCAGUCGAAAUCUCUACACCGGUAUAGAAUCUCAUCAGGAAUCAUCCAAAAGGCUCUCCAUUUGAUGUUCUCAUCUUGGAGAUUUUGAAGUAUCUCCAUCCAUUUUUCUUCUGCAAUGUCGUCUUGCCUCGGUGUAGCCAAUAAUUCUUUUUAGGGGUGAGCAUUCUAUUGAAUCGAAUCGAGAACUUUCGAGUUAAUCGAGUUUUUGAAUCUCAUUUAAUCAUCCUAAAUUUAUUUGAAGUUUUCUCGAAUCGAGUCGAGUGAGAUGGAAUUCGAAUCGAAUCGAAUCGAAUAUAUUUGUUCGAGUUGAAUUUUAAAAAAUAAUUUUGGGUCCUUGUAACCACUGUCACCCAUCGUAAUAAAAUUUGUCCACCUUAAUCUAAUUUUUUAUUAACUUUCAUCACCUCAUAAUUUAUUUAUUAAUUUUUAUAUACUGGUUAGUUUCUUUGCUUACUUAGUUGUUUCAAUUAUCUUCAGAUUCUUGUCACUAUGUAUUUUGGAAUUAAAAAAUAUAUUAAAUGUAAAAUAUGAUUUUUUAAUAAAAGUUAUUUUAAAAAUAAAAUGUGAAAUUGAUACCAAUAUAAAAUUUUAACACAAAUAUUUUAUGGCAUAAUUAAUAAUUCAAUUUUAAUAUAAAUAUUCAAUAUGACUAAACAAUUCAAUAAUAUAAAUAAUAUAAAAUGUGAAAUUUAAUUUAAUAAUAUAAAUAGUAGAUAUAAAUAAAAUUAUUACUAUUUAUGUUUAGUGAUUUGUUUUGGAUAAUUUUGAUUUUUUAUUUGAGAGUAAAGGGUGAGAAGUAAAAGUUUAGGGGGAAAAUAAAAAGUUUUGGGGAAUAAAAGUUUGAGAGAAAGUAAAUAGGGGGAGUAAAAUUUUGGAGGGAAAAUAUUAAAAAAAAUUGGAGGGGGGAGGGUUUGGGGUAGAUGAGAGGUGGGAUGGGAAGGGAAUAAAAGUUUUAGGGGAAAAGUGGGAGGGAGUAAAAAUUUUGGGGGAAAAUAAAAUGUUUUGAGGGUUUUUGGGAGUAAAAUUUUGAGAAAAGGUAAAUGGGAGAGUAAAAUUUUUGUGGGAAAUGGAUUUUGGGUAGAUUGGGGGGAUGGGAGGUGAGGAGAGUAAAAGUUUUGGGGGAAAGUGGGAAGGAGUAAAAGUUUUGAGGGAAAAGUAAAAAGAUUUGAGAGUUUGAGGUAAAAAUGUAAAAUAUUAUAGUUUGAUAUUCGAAUUAUUCGAAUUGUUCGAGUUAUUCUAAUUUGAAAACUCAACUCAAUUUGAACUCAAAAUUUGAAAAAAAAAUUCGAGUUGAUUCGAAUAACUCGAUUAACUCGAAUAACUUGAUUCGUUUAACUCGAAAUUUGAAUUUUUUUCAAUUUUUUUCGAGUCGAAUCGAGUUAUGCUCACCCCUAAUUCUUUUAAUGAAAAGUAAUUCUCAGAAAAUACUCGAUAAGAAACUUUUUCUACCCUCCAAAAGUGAGUAUAAAACCAUGCCAACAAGAGUUGCGCACAUCCGGUAAUCUUCCUUCACCCGCUCUCCAGCAUGCAUUCAAGGAUCUGAAUGUUUUGGUCAAAAUUGCAGAGACGGGCGUGACCCUUUUAUCAAGUCUGUCGAGCAAAUCCGAAACUACCUCAUCCACGUGCCCUAGUACUUUAGGAAAAACAAUCAGCUCGUAAAUGCUCAAAGCGAAGACAUCAACCCCUUUUUUUCAUAUCUGGGUGUGCUAAGAUCAAAUCUCGAAAACUAUUCCAAGGGCUACAUUUACCAUCCCCUUUUGCUUGAUCCGGGCUGCAACCCAUUUCUCACUCAUCCCCAUAAUGUUCAUUAGUUUCUUUUGGGGAACGAAGUAAGGUCGUGUAUUCUUCCACAGUAGGUACCAAAUCCACUUUUCCAAAAGUAAAGUAGCUGUAGGCGGGAUUCCAAAAUUUAGCCAAGGCUCGAAACAAGUGCUUGUCCACUUUGAUGUCGAGUAGAUAAGGUCACGCUGAUACGAGUGAAGUCCUACAAUUCUAAUACGUAACCCUCCGUCAGACUAUCACCUUUCUCUAGUCGCGUUUUCUCAAACCAUAUUUGGACAGGCGCAUUAUCCUCCACUUUAUCAAGAAACCCAUUUUCCAUGAUAAGCUCUCUAUUUAGAUACUGAACGUGAAUCAACACCCUUUUUUAUGAUGAAAAUGUCAUGCAAUCAUAGUCAAAGUAAAACAGCAAGUCAAUAUUAAACACAAAGCUAGAAUUCAAAGCAAAUGAGAAAUAAUAAAUAAAACACCUAUUCGGGUGACUACUAGGGUUUGGCAUGGUUCUACCUAGGGUAGGCUCCUAGGGCUCACAAUAUGCGGUUUGGUUUUAAAGCAAAGAUACCUGAAUCGGUAGAUUCCUCGAUCCUCACCCAUUAUAGGCUCAUGUGGACCGAGUUCAGUUCAGGGGAAUACAUUUCCCUAUGGCUAUACGAAGAUGAAAAUCUUAUGAAAAAAUAUGUAGAAACAUACUAAGAGACUUGAACCAAAAAGCAAACAUAUUAUUAUGUAGCAAAAAUGAUGAAGACUACAAAAAUGAAAAAUGAAAUGCAACGAGGGGAUCGUAAAUUUAAACCAAAUUAUCAAGUUUUCGACAAAAUGACCAAAAGUAAUCAACCCGUGGCUUGACUCUCUUAUUUUUUCUCUCUAGUGGAGUCGGCAAGCUGUCGAAACCACUUUUUUUUGAAAUCGACUUUAUUUUGAAAACGAGAAUGGGAGUCGCCACCAAUCCUUUUUAAGAGGUGUGAUCGGGUCACCUUGUAAUUUGAUCAUUUUAAUAAAAGGUUUGAUUUAUUAAAAUAAUAUUUUUAGUCUACAAAAAUCCAAAAAAUGGGUUCGAGAGUCGGUUAUGCACGAGAAAGAAUUAGUACCCUCGUAACGCCCAAAAUUGGUACCUAGUUGAUUAAUUAAUUUCUUAGUGUUGAAAAUUAAAAAUUUGAAGAGAUUUAAAAUACAACCCCUUAUUAAAACAUUACUUAACUAAAUCAAUUUUCGUGAAAAGGGGUUAUUUCAGGUUAAUCGAGAAGGAAGGAUCAUGUCUCGUAAGUUAGGAUACAAUGCCUUAAAUCCCCGAAAACGAGAAUAAACGCUAAAAAUUUAUUUUAAAAUAUAUUUGAUUAUCUCGGUUUUAGGAAGGAAACAUAUUUCGUAAGUUAGGAACACAACUUUUCUAAUUCCAAAAAUAAUGAACGUCGUUUCGAUUUAAAAAUUUCCUUUUUAUUCAUCGUGCAAAAAACGAACAUGAUGCUUAUAGAGACGAGCAUUUUAACUUAUUCAAGCAUAAUAUAAAAAUGUAUAGAUACUUAAGCCUAAUGUAUGAUAUAAAGAUAAUGAGGUAGUUUAAAAUGGUUAUAUGAGUAUAACAACUAUAUUAGAAUAAUAAUAGCAAAUAAAUGGGCAAAUACUAUGGUAAUAAUAAUAUGAAAUAGCAAUAAUAAGAAAAUUAAUUUAUGGCAUUAACGACAAAGUAACUCAAAAAUAAAAAAUGAAAACGAAGGGUGCUUACUGAAAAGGAAGUGAAAAUAAUAUUAAAUCUAAAUAUUUAAAAAGUACAAGAAUAAUAAAUAAGUAAAUAAAUAAAACGAAUAUACAUAAUAUAAAAUUUAAGUAUUUUAGAAGUAAGAAUGAUAAAUAAAUAAAUGAUAAUUUAAGUAUCAAAUCGGGUCGGGUCGGGUCGAAUCAGGUUGCAUCAAAACGACACCGUUCACGGUGUUCGCCUUUAAAAACAGUCCAGGGACCAAAUUGAAACGAAAAUAAAAAUACAUGGAAAAAUUAAAAAAAUGGAUAGGCCCCUGUUAAAAGAAGCCACAAAAGCAGAAGGACUAAAGGUGCAAAUAGCCCCUUUGUCCAAAAACAUGCUGAUCUCUGGGGUCCUAGAUCGGAUCUCGGGUCAAAGGCUAAAACGACGCCGUUUUGGGGCUAUUGUAGCCAGCCCUAAACAACGUCGUUUUAAGUAGGCUAUAUAACUUAAUUUUUUUUUAAAUUUUCAUUCAGCCUUCACUUUUUUUUAAAAAAAAAAAUCUGAGAAGCUCUCUCAAUCUCUCUCGCCCUCUCCAACUCCGGUCAUCGGGCCACCGUCCGUCCACCAUAUAUGCCUGCCAGAGUUCAAAAAAGGGGCCUUUUCGGCCAUUUUAAUCUCCCUAACCCCGAUCUAAGAUCUAAGUACCCAAAAAGCCUUCUAAAAUUAAAACAAAGAAACCUUUCAGUUCCGUCUUCUCUGAUCGCAAGAAAGGUAAAAACUAUUGUAUUUUUGAAUAUAUACGUGUCUGUGUAUGAUAUAUUUGAAAUAAACAUGCAACAAAAAAGAUGAAAAUAUACCUCUAUAAGAAAGCUAUAGUAUAUAUUUUUAAUAUUUCUUUCUCUUUUGAUGUUUUCUCUUUUUUCGUGUAUUUCUUUCAUUCAAAAUUACAAACUGGUAGUGGUGGCUUUUAUAGCCAGUUUACAUGUUGUAUUUGCUAUUUUUUUUGCUUGCUUUCGUUUCUGAUAUUGUCUCUCUUGCUGUUUCUGUGUCUGUCCAUUUUUUUAAAUUUUUUUUGCCUUGUUUGCAGGUGUUGGCGAGGUGAACGGAGAGGAGAAAAGGGCUGCCUUUGCCGUUUGGUGCAAUGGCAGCAGGGGCAUUAGGCCUCGAGACGAGGUGCCUCGGGCGGCACGAGAGGAGCGGCUACUAGGGUUUUUAGUUUUACUGAAAAUAGUUUAGGUUGUGGGCCAUUUGAGCUUUAGGGUUUUGUAUUAUUUGGGUUUAUAAAUUUUGGGCUUCCCGGCCUUAUAAAUAGACUUUGGACUUUAAUGAAUUUAUUAUUUAUUGUUUUUAUUUUUGUUUUGUUUUUUUUGUUUGUAGCGGGCCUGGCAGAAUUGGCCUGUUACAGUAUAGGUGGAUUUUCUUUAUUUGAAGUCUCUUUCGAGUGCGAAGAAGACACGGUGAAAGAAAUAGGUUUUAUAACUUCAAAAGAAUCUUAUCAUGCCAUAUUGCUUAAUUUCAGAAAAUUGACUAAUUUUAUCUGUGAUUCUUCCAGAAUUGUGUGCUCUGGGCCAUUUAGAGACUCUAGACUUGAGCUACAAUGAGGUGAAUCGAUUUGUGACUUCUAAAGGUGCGAACUCAAACAAGUUCUAUUUUUUUUACUACAAAAACUUGGAUUAAUUAAGAAAAUGAAGCUAACUACAAUAUUUCAAUUACAGGGAAUAAAUGCUUGAGAAAUUUAAAAAUUCUAAAUAUGGAUGCUAUGCAAAUCAUUUCUCUUGUAUCACUCCUACACCCAUUUUCAUCUGUCAAUACCCUGUUCUUAAGAGAGAAUUCUUUUUUAAACAAAACCAUGGUUACUCAAGGUGAGUUAUGAGUUAAUACCUGUCAUAGUUUUAACCAAAAAAAAAAAAAAAAACUUCAUCAAUUUUAUACAAAUUAAUAACACUAAUAUCAUUUAUUUUAAUGUACACAGAGUUGCAUGUGUUGAGUAACGUGGAGAACCUAAUCCUGGAUUAUACUCCAUUGGACAUCAACUUUUUGCAAAGCAUAAGCAUCUUGACUUCUCUCAAAACCCUGUCUUUGUUUGACUGUGCUCUAGUUGGCAUUUUACCUACUCAUCAAGGUAAUACAAUUACUACAUUAUUUUAAACAUUCAUUUUCUUUUCUGAUUAGAUAUACAAUAUGCGCGAUUUGUUGAUUUUCUUUACAAAGUUUUCUUUGAUCUACGUAUUUUUAUGAACCAAAUGCAUAGAGAACCUCCAAAUCAACUUUGCUAUCUUAUAUUUAAUUUGUUUUCGCAGGUUUAUGUUAUCUAAACAAUUGAGUCUCAAUGGAAAUGCUCUAGGUGGUGCAGUUGCUCCAUGUUUGGGCAACUUGACAUCUCUUCGCUAUUUGGAUAUAUCUAACAAUCACUUCACUGGAAAUAUUGCCUCCACUCCCCUCGCUAAUCUCACCACGCUUCAAUUCCUCUCCCUUUUAAAUAAUCAACUUCAAGUUCCAAUGUCAUUCAGGUCUUUUGCUAAUCACUCCAAUCUUAAAGUCCUUUUAGCCGAUCAAAACAAUAUGGUCGCAGAUGAGCCAACUGCUUUCCAAACAUGGUGGCCAAAAUUUCAACUUGAGGUAUUCAGCAUGUCAAAUUGUAUGAUAGAAGAACAUGGGAACCUACAACUUCCUAAUUUCCUAUACUUCCAACAUGAUUUGAGAGACGUUGAUCUUUCUUAUUGCGAUUUUGGCGGAAUAAGGUUCCCACAUUGGUUGCUGGAGAAUAAUACACGAUUGGAACAACUUUACAUGAUAGAUACUUCAAUUGUGGGUCCUUUGUUCUUACCAUCACAUCCAAGUUUCAAUCUGAAGGUAUUUGAUAUAUCCAAUAAUAAAAUACAUCAUGAUAUUCCAAGGAAUUUUUGCUCACUUUUUCCACAUUUGGAAGGACUGUUCAUGUCGAAAAAUGACUUCAAAACUGAUAUUCCUCCAUGUUUGGGUGGUUUGAGGAGAUUACAAAUGUUAGACUUGUCCCAUAAUGAUUUGUUUGGAGAAAUACCUGAAGAGUUGCGCAUGAGUAGCUCUUUAGCUAAUCUUAUACUUUCAAAUAACAGUUUGAGUGGCAAAAUAAUUCCCACAGUUUAUCAUUUAAUUAUUUUGUUGGAGGAAUUACGUUUGGAUGGUAACAAGUUUGAGGGAGAGAUUUCUUACUUUUCACCCAUUAGCAUUAAAAAUCUCCAAGUGUUAGAUGUAAGUGAUAAUGAUAUCUCUGGUGAGCUUCCAACAUGGUUAUGGGAUACAAUAUCUUUGAAAAUACUGGAUUUCUCCAAAAACAAUUUCGAGGGUCCCAUUACCAUGCAAUUAUGCAAGUUGAUCAAUCUGGACUUUCUAGAUCUUUCUUCAAAUCAUUUGUCUGGUACUAUUCCAUCUUGCUCGAAUCUACAAAGGAUGAGGCAUGUGCAUUUGGCCAAUAAUAGACUUAGUGGAACACUGUCAAAUGUCAUUUUUAAAAGCUCUCCACUGGUUACGUUGGAUUUAAGUGGAAACAGUUUUACCGGAGGAAUUCCAAAUUGGAUUAGCACGCUACCGAUUUUGAGCGUCCUUCUUCUAAAAGAAAAUCAAUUUGAUGGUGAAUUUCCUCUACAGUUAUGCAAACUACAGUCAUUAAGCAUCAUGGACUUUUCACACAAUAAACUUUCUGGUCAUUUACCUUCCUGUUUGAGUAAUUUAACUCUCAAGCCAAGUGAAAAGUCUUACGUUGAUUCUGGUGGUUAUCAGUUUGAUUUUUUUGAUGACGUAAUGGUACAUAUGGGACUAACCAUAUACAAUCUCACAGGCUUGGUGAGUGUAUAUAGAGGUUAUCCUUUUACCUACCAUGAAGAAGAUGUACUAUUCUCAACAAAGGGUGCAACCUACACUUACAAGGGAAAUAUUCUUGACCUGUUGUCGGCAAUUGAUCUCUCUUGCAACCAACUCACAGGGAUAAUCCUGCCUGGAUUUGGGAAUUUGAGUGAAAUUAGAGGACUAAACUUGUCCCACAACAACUUAACUGGACCUAUCCCCUCAACUUUUUCAGAACUCAAGCAGAUUGAGAGUUUGGACCUUUCUUACAACAACUUAAGUGGUAGGAUCCCCUCUGAACUAACUGAGAUGACUUCUUUGGAGGUAUUUUCCGUCGCACACAACAACUUGUCAGGGCCUCUCCCCGAUAGGAAAAAUCAAUUUGGGACAUUCGAUGAGAGCAAUUACGAGGGAAACCCUCUUCUUUGUGGACCUCCAUUGAACAAGAGUUGUAAUGGAGGUAAUUCACCAACAGCUCCAAAUGCUACAUCUAGUGAAGAAGAACAUGGUCACAUAGACAUGGUUGAUUUUUAUAUAAGCUUCGCAACUUCCUAUGCUAUUAUAUUUUUGACAACUAUUCUUGUACUCUACAUAAACCCAUACUGGAGACGAGCAUGUUUUUAUUUCAUUGAAGAUCGUAGCAUCGUUUGCUAUUUCUUCAUUGUGGACAGUCUUCGUCAGUUGCCUUGCUUCAGGAGAAACAUCUAGCCCUAUGCUUCUUCAAUGGUUCUAGAUUUCAAGCUCAAGGUCGCAAAUAUUUGUAUUUGUUUAUGUUGAGAUGGUUUAGUUCAAAUUUUUUGUAAGAUGGAAGUAUGUCAUGUUUCCUAGGCUAUUUCUAUUUCUGAAACUUAAUGCUUGGUUAAGUAAUUGUACUUGACUUUAGACUGUAUUACAUCCAAUUUCCAUAUCCAUAUACUAUAUUCUAUUUAUUGCACAUAUAUUUUGUAACAACUCAUUUUUCAGUGGUUUCGGGACCAUAAAUCCAACGAGUGAGUCUGUAAAUUAAUAUUAUUAUUUAAUAUUUACGAGUCAAAUAUAAAAUUAUUUUGGAAUUUGAUUUAAUUGUUUUUCUGAAUUGAACGAAUAAUUAGGUUAAAGUGGUAUGUCCCUAAAGUCAAGUGGUUUUAGAAAAAGAGGUCUCGAGACCUCGUUUCUAUAAAUUGAGCCCAUAAAUAUUAAAUAUUUAUGGAGUGUGUUAGGGUCAUAUUAAAAUUUGGUUAAUAAAUUUUAAUGUUUAAAUAGCUAAUUAAGUAAAAAGGACAAAAUCGUAAAAGCUGAAAAAAUUAAUUUUUAUUAGUUAAUUGAUUAAUUUAAGAAAGGUAAAAGGGAUUUAUGUUGCAAAUAUGCCAUAUUUAUAAGGGAGGUACGGUGGAUGUUGUUUUAUUACAUUAAAAUAUGUGUUUUAUUAGUUAAUUAAAAAAAGUUAAGUUAAAUUAUAAUAAAAACAAAAGGGAAAUAUUUUUAUUUUUAUGUUCUUCUUCCACAUGCUGAAAGACACCAUUGUUGAGCUAAGGAGGUUCGGCCAAACUUCUCCCUUUGCAUGCUUGUGUUUUUUAGGUCCGUUUUUUUUUUUAUUUUGUUAUCAUAUUAGCUUAAUCUAGUUAGUCUAGGAGUAAAUUUGCAAAGCUGUUAAAAGUUUAGGGACUGGUCAUGAAUGUUUUAAGUAUGUUUUUGUUCUUAGUUGAUGUAUUCAUGAAGGUGAUGGUUUAACUUAAGCCUUUUGUUAAAUGAUUUUUAGUAAUUUAAAUGUUUAAGUAAUUUAAAAGUAUUAAAUCGUCUAAAUGACAAAACUUCAUGAAGUUGUUGUAAAACCUGAUAAAUAUGGGCUGCAGUAGGUCCCUAGAGUAUUCAGGCAGCAUGAGUAAGGAUUAAAUUUAGUGAAAGUACAAGUUUAAUAUUUAGGGGUUAAAUUGCAUAAAAGGUGAAAUAUCGGGGAAAUUUUGUAAAAUGAUGAUGGAAGGACUUAAUUGUAUUAAAUAGAUUAUUUAAGUGCUAGAAUUGUAUUAACUAAAUUAAAUAUUAUUAUUUAGAUCAUGAAAUACAACAAUCAGAUUUGAAUCAAGGAAAAAAAAGUAUCGGAUUAGUCAUCGGCUUUGUUUUUGCAAUCAUUUUAGUCAAGAUAAGUUCAUAUUUCAUUUUAAAAUAUUCCAUUUGAAUUUAUAAGAUUAAUUGAUAUCUUUAUAUUAAUGUUUAUUUAUAGAUGAUUAAGAUUGUUUUGAUUUUAGAAAAGGAAAGGAUUGUGAUUGAAAUACAUCAUGGUAUUAUAUUUGAAAAGGAAAGACCAUGGUUGAAAGACACCAUUGCAUUACAUUGGUAUUUCCGAAUCUAUGAAAAGGUUGAAAAGGAAGUUAUUUGAAAAGGAUAACAAAUGAAAAGGUUAAAAAGGACAAUAUCCGACAAAGAUACCAAAUGAAAAGGUUGAAAAGGACAAUAUCCGAAAAGGAUAUCAAAUGAAUAGGUUGAAAAUGACGAUAUUUGAAGAAAAUGUAAAUGAAAAGGUUGAAAAGGUUAGUAAUGAAAAGAUCGGUAUUUCAUUCUUCAACCACCCGCUAUUCAAGUAACAAUUUUCAAUGUGAAAUUUAUUAUAAGUUUGAAUAUGAGGCGAACGUUUUGAUUAGUAUGGUUUGAUAAUGAACAUUAAUGUGAUGAUAUGUAUCAUAUGUAUAUAAAUAUGUUUUCUAGUUAUGGUUGUAGUGUGUUUAGAGAAUUAAAUGGUGAAAUGAGUAUUUUCUGAUUAACCGAUGUUAUUUCAUUUGGUUCGAUGGGUAAUUAAGGUUGAAACUGAAAUAUAUAUUAUUAGCUAUGCUAUUACAGAAAUGAAAUAUAUUAAGAUAAAGUGUGAAAUGUAAUAUAAAUGUAAGUGCAUAGUAUAUGAUGAAUAUGGUUGAGGAAGUUGAAACUUCGAUACGUUUUAUGCCAUGUUUUAGUGAAGUUUAUAACUGCUAUGUUUCACCAACAACCUCUAUGAGUUGUUGUGUAUAAGAAAGGCAUUUGGCUCACAAUGAAAUGAAUCUAUCUUUACUUAUUUAUUCUAAUGUAUAUGGUAAGUUUAAGUUCUAUUAUACGAGCUUACUAAGCAUUAGUUGCUUAUGUAGUUGUUUUUCUUUGUUUUUGUAGGUCAUCAGAGAGUUUGAUCGAUUGGAAUCACAUCAGAGCAUGAUCACACUAUCCAAACCUUGUUUUGGUAGAUAUUUGGUAUUUAAGUUCAAGGUUAUAGAUGGCAUGUAUAGGGCUUGUUUAUAAAGGGAUUUUUUGAUUAUGUUACCUAGUCAGCUUGGUAUGUUUACGCCCUUUUGUGUAUAUGUGUUUGUUUGGACUCGUAAUGUUUUGGUACGUUUGUGUCUUUUGGUCACUUUUAGUACUUUGUAAAUAUAUGGCUUGAGACAUGUUCGUAUGUGGUAAAAAUGGUUCUAUGGUGUAUGUGUAUAUAAAUAUAUUUUUUUAGGUUAUAAGGUAUGUUUGAAUGAAUUGGAUACGUUGUGAUUGAGGUGCCAUAACAAUGGCACAUUGGUUAGAUAUAGGAUGAGCAUGAAAUUGGUAUGUUUUUGGAUGUGGAUGUUUGAUAUAUGUUUUAAACAUGUGAAAGAUGGUUGAAUUAGUGUAUCUUGGUGUGCAAGGUUUGUGUUUGAAAUGGCUUGUUUUAGAGGUAACACAUACUGCACAAGGCCUGGGACAUGGGUUGUCACACGGCUGUAUGCCAUACACUGUCACCUCACACGGCCAUGUGUCUUUUAAAUUUUAGGUGCAAGUUUUACACGGCCCGCGACACGACCGUGUGACCAUAUUUUGAAUAUACACACGGUCUGACACACGGUUUAUGACAUAACCGUGUGACACAAGUCACUGAGUUACACGGUUUAAAACAUAGGCUAGAACACAACCGUGUGUCCCUUAGUUCGAAUGUCCACACGGCUUGGGUUAUGCCACACAGCCGUGUGACCCUAAUUUUGUAAAUUUUUAAUUUUGCCAUAAAGUUUCUAUUUUGAUUCAAAUAAGUCCCUGAUUGUUCCCAACCUAUUUUUAGGGCCACUUAAGCCUGAUUUAAGGUUUGUAAAAGUAUUUUUGCCAUAAUUAAAUUGUGAUAGUGAAUGUUGAUAUGUGAAUUGCAUGUUGGUCUAUUUCAAUAUUAAGAAUUCUAUAUUAUACAGUAAUGCUUUGUAACCCUAAACUAGCGAUGGAGACGAGUUAGGGGUGUUAUAUGUUUCUAGUUUCUAAAACCAUAAUCUAUUUGUUAAUUACAGUAGGAUUGUUGAGAAGGUCAUCACAACACUUUCUGAGAGAUAUGAGUAUAAAAUUUCUUCCCUGGAAGACUCAAGAGACUUGUCUAUAAUUUCCUUGUUAGAGUUGAUAAAUGCUCUUUAUGCUCAAGAGUAAAGAAGAACAAGUAGACAAGAGGAGCAUUCUGAAUAAGCAUUUCAGGCCAGAAACAAGGAAGGCUUGAGUUCCUUAAGCUAUAAGGGAAAGAAGAGCUAGAGUAAAAAGAAAGAAAAUCCAAGAAGAGAUAGUGGACAGAAGAAGUAUCCACCAUGCACUUACUAUAAGAAGUCUACACAGCUAGAAAAGUAUUGUUGGUUCAGGCCUAACAUUUAGUGUAGAAGCUAUAAAUAGCUUGGUCACAUAGAAAAGGUGUAACACCCCGUUCAAGCAGGCACAAGCUUUAGCGUAGUAUUUUAGAAAUAUGUUUGGCAGAGUGGUAUUCACCUAAGUACCCCUUCUGGCGUAUUGAGUUGGUGGAUACAGUUAUGUGUUUAAGUUAGUAAGGGCUCCGUGCUAGAUUUCCAUGAUUUGUUGGAAACAAGAUGUAGUCAAGUAAAUCUGUAUUGAGGGUAUGAGUCCACGUUAGAGGUAUAUUGUACCCUUUCUCUAUUGUAGUAUGAAUAUUAAGUUACAAGUAAAGAUGGUUAGGAUCUAACCGAACGUGAACCAAGAUAGUUAAAUGACAAAGGGACAUACUCAAUUAGGUUUAUUGGAAGUUGUAGACUUUGAUAAGACAAUUCACUAGUGCUGUGACAUUUGUCAAGUUUUAAUAAAGACUUAGGUUAUAUUAAUAGGGUUUCUAGUUUCAAUAAAUGGGAGUUCUCUUCUUCUAUCUUAAAACAUUGAAUAGUAAGGCUGAAGGGAACAAAAGUAUUCCUUUAAGUUGGAUUUAAAACCCUAAAUUUUAUCAGAGGUUUCUCCAUGUCUAGGCAGUGGUUGUUGCAAUCCAUGCUUAGAUGAUGGAUCUGAUGUUCAAGCUAUUAUUCGUGGUUGUUAGGUGAGUCCCUAAGCUGACUCUUGCAUGCAUGUUAUUAUUUAAGAUAUUUCUAUAGAAAGUGGUCACACUAUGAAUUUGAAGUUAGGACAAUAUGAUAGGAUGGUGAUAUUAUGGUAUGAAUGUUAAACUAGUCUUGCUUGUAUAGUUUAUAUGGUAUCUGACAAGUAUUAAGUAUGUGGUAAGAAUCCUAGAGUUGAUAAUGUGACUCUAGGAGCAUGUUUGGAAUGUGUAAGAUGAGAUAGGUGUUAUGUUUGGUGAUAACAUAUGAAAAGUCUGUUAAGUGAGUCUAUGUCUAUUCACCGUGCUGGAGUCGUCUAAAGGGGUCCAUCGGGACUUUGAACAUAAUCUCUGAAAGGAAAAGUCCAUGGCCAUGACACCAUAUUGUGUAAGACCAUAGUUGGGCUAUGGCAUCAUAUGGAAAGACCAUAUCGUGUACCUGGUGGUGGGCUAUGGCUUCAUAUGGAAAAGACUAAAAGAAGAUUGUUACCAAAUGGGGUUCUCUGUGCGACCCAGAACAAUGAGGGGCAAACAUCAUGAAAUGUGAUUCUAGGCGAAUCCCUAUCAUAGGAAUUCCAGAAAAUAGAAGCCUUUGUGGCAAUCUAAGAAAAAUGGAAGCCUUUUUGACAUACUUUAAAUAAUAGCCCUUGUGGCAACCUUCUGAAGGAAACGCCUUUGUGGUGAACCGUGAAAGAAAGAAAUGGUUUUCAUGAUGUAUUUUGAAGGUAUGGAAUCCUUGACAAAUAAGGAAGGAAAAAUAUGAAAGGCAAAUUCUAGAUAUAGAGUUUUCACGGCAAAGGAUAAAGGAUAAGCCCUAACGGCGAGUUAUAAAGGAACAUCCUUUAUGGCGAACCCCAUAUAGACAUUUUUUACGGUACAUAUAGAACGGGAUGCUCUUGUGGCAUGCUCAGGAAAGACUCUCAAGACUAAACCAUGAAGGACACUCUUUGUGGCAAACUCUGGCCUAAGUAAAUGAUGUAUUUCUUAAUAUUCCGAGACACAAUAGUGAGAUCAAUAAGUACUAAACGUGUCUAUGAGUAUUAUGGUAAGGUAAUCAAUAUGAUUAAGAUUUGUACAGAGAUGGAAAUUUUAAGAGAUCUCCCGUGGUACUGAGAAUGUAGGUAAGGUCUCAAAGGCACAGAAGAGAAGGAAAUGGUCUUAGAGUAGGGUAAGGUAAUGAACAUAUGUAAAGGAAUGAGAAAUUGAGGAAGUACUCGCAAAAGACAAGUUGAAGGAUAAGAGUAGUGAGAUAGCUAUUGAAAUAUUUGAUGCAACGAGCAAGCAUGAUUUAGGUAACUAGGUUAACCUCAUUAUGUUCUAUGGGACUUAUCUUCAUGUGUUAUGUUUUAGAUGAACUAUCUUGGGCCUGAGCCUGGAGGGAUGACACCAAGGCUAUGCCAAAGGAGUGACAUAUUGGAGUAUUAUGUAUACAGAGUGAGCUUGAUGGCGAGAUAGAGUUUGAGUUGAUACUUAUAAAAAUUUCUACAGGGGAUAAUCAUGUAGAGCAUGGCAUCAGUUUAGUCCUAAUUGAAAUGAAAUUCUUUAUGUAUACCAUUUGAAUUUCCUCAUUGUUUACACUUUUGUUUUUUAUUAGAAAGUUUGAAAUUUAGCAUCUGUAAAUCGUUUGUAAUUUAAAUAAUUAGGCUCAAGUACAUUGUAUUUGUAAGGUUCGGGUCUGGUCCAUUAGACCGAGUUUAGGCUGUUACAAAGUGUGUGCAAAAAUAAAGGGCAAAAACAAUAACAAAACAAUGUCCAAGCACAGGCUGCUGAUAGAAGUCAAGCUCAAGAGGAGCAUGUUUUUACUAUUUCUUGUUUUGUAACCUACAAUGGGGCCAAGAAAGAUUGGUUGAACGAUAGUGGUUGCACAAACCAUAUGACCUCUAAUGAAAGCAUUUUCAGGAAGAUUGAUACAAUCAUUGUCCCCAAAGUCAAAAUUGGGAAUGGCAAAUUCAUUGAAGCCAAAGGAAAAAAGAGAAAUCUUGAUCAACACUCCUUCAGGUACAAAAUCAAUCUCGAAUGUCCUAUUUGUACCUAAAAUAGACCAAAAUUUUCUUAGUGGUUGUCAACUACUAGAGAAGAAUUAUUCUAUUGUUUUCAAAAGCAAAACAUGCAUGAUUAUGGAUCUAUCUGGUCAAGAAUUAGUGUCAGUACUAUGAAUGAUAAAUGCUUUGUUCUAAAUUUGAAUUUGAUAAACUUAAAAGCUUAUGUUAGCUUUGUAGAUGAAUCAUGUUUAUGACACAAAAGGUUGGGGCAUGUUAACUAUAGGUCCCUUAGCCAGCUUUAUAAGUCUGAUUUGGAUGAAAACAUGUCCAAAAUGGUAGACUGAAGUGUUGUUUAUUAAGUCUGUCAACUUAGAAAGCAAGUCAAGAUUCCAUUUCAAGCCAACAAAGCUUGGAGAGCCAAUGAUAAGCUACACAUGGUCCAUACUGAUGUUUGUGGACUUAUAAAGACUCUUUCACUAGGUGGCAUUAGGUACUUUAUUUUAUUUAUUAAUGACUACACAAAAAACUAUUGGGUUUAUUUCUUGAAGUCGAAGUCUAAAGUAACUGAAAUCUUUUGGAAGUUUAAAACAAAUGUUGAAAAUCAAGCCAACUACAAAUUGAAGAUACUCGGAUCAGAUAAUGGAAUUGAGUACACAUAAAAAAGGUUUCAAAUAUUUUGUGAAGAAGCAAGCACCGAGCAUCAACUGACCAACAUUUACACUCCUUAGUAUAAUGGUGUCUAUGAGAGAAAAAUAGAACAGUGAUGGAUAUGGGAAGAUUUUUUGUUUGAAAGAAAACUGACAAACAAAUUUUGGGCAGAAGUUGUGAAUACCUAAAUGUUUUUGCUGUGAAAGGCAAGACUCCAUUUGAAGCUUGGUUUGGAUUCAAACCUUUUGUCUCACACUUAUAAGUGUUUGGUUGCAUUUUUUAUGCUCAUGUACCAGCUGUGAAGAGAAGCAAACUAGAAAAAAGAUCACUACCAAGUAUCUUUUUUGGAUACAAAAGCAUAAAAAGGUCAACAGGAUAUAUGAUCCUUUCAACAACAAACUCCUUGUGAGCAGAGAUAUGAAGUUUAAUAAAGGCAGUACAUGAAACUGUGAUGAUACUGAAGCUAAAUUACUUGAACAACGUCAGCAAGAAACAAACAUGUAGCUUACUAAAGAUAAAAUUCAAGAAGAUGAAAACUUUGAUGACUUACCUGUCAGAGGCACUAGGCUUAUUGCUGAAGUGUAUCAAAGAUGUGACUUAGAAGUACUGGAGCCUACGAAUUUUGAAGAAGCUGUACAAGAAAGUAGAUGGAAGGAAGCCAUGGAAGUUGGGAUAUCCAGGACUAAUAAGAAUAAGACUUGGAAACUUGUUGAUAGACCAGUCCACAAGAAGAUCAUUGGAAUCAAAUGAGUGUUUAGAACCAAGAUGAAUCUUGAUGGACCAUUUAAUAAGUUUAAGGCCAGGCUAGUUGUAAAGGGCUUUAGUUAGUAGUAUGGUGUUGACUAUGUUGAAACCCUUGCCCAAUGGCAAGGUUGGACACCAUUAGGUUGCUACUGGCUCUAGCAAGUCAAAGGGGAUGAAAAAUACACCAACUGGAUCCAAAGUUAACCUUCUUAAACAAUAUAUGAGUCCUUCGGGGCGACACCUUGAAAGGGAUUUACUAAUUUUUUGGAAUCAAAAGUCUAUGGUUAGUGAUGCCAUGAUCAAGUGGUGGAUAGGUGCAUUUUAUGGUGAAAUAGAGUUUGCUAGAAUGGUAAAUAAGGAAAGCUGUCAGGUUACAAAAAGGGAAAUCACUGUAUGACUCAUACGGCGAGCAAUCUAAUAGAAUGAUUGUGGUGCGUCUGAGAAAGUGCGCAAACAUGAUAAUAAAAUGAUCUGCCAAAUUACGAACAUAAGGAAAACUUGUAGAAGUACUUUAAGCAUUGGCAUGUGUGAAAAGAAGGGGCAUUUCCUUCAAGGUAUUGGUAAAUAAGUAUCUGCCACUAAGAGUUUGCUAGUAUUCACGCAUAAACCACCAUUGCCUAUGAGGUAAUAAAAUGGUUAUUCUGGGUUUGAAUUCUAAGUGAUAUUGAUAAAGAGGUUGCUCGAAAAGUGGAAGUUUGCCAAGAACCCUUUUAGGAGGUAAUUUUGCCAAUGACUAUCUUAGGUGGAAGGUCUGCCUAGAAAUAACGAAAGAAAUAGAAGUCCCCUUAGGAAAUCUAAAAAAGAGAUAGUCCGCUGGGAACUAUCUAUUUCUGGGAGUAUCUUAGUAUAAUGGUCUGAAGUAGGAAAGUCUUAUGGGACUAUUUUAUGAGUACAAAGUCUUAUGGGACUAUUUUAUGAGUACAAGUAUGCAAAGAAUGGGGGUAAUCAUGUAUCAACCAAAUCUCAAAUUCAAGACAGAAAAUAAGAUUACUAGUAAAUGGAUCUUCCUUAGAAGAAAGGUUUAAGUAUAGGCUAAGUCAUAAGAAACAAAUGUUUGGGGUAAUAUAGUAAGUCUAUAUUAAGUUCGGUUCGGUUGAAAGGUUUAGGUUAAUAAUCCACACUUAUGGCGAGAUAUCUGAUAGUUCGCCAAAAGUAGUCAUCAAAUUGCAUAUUCGUGUAUAUGGUGCCUUUGAUGAGUUAAGACAAAUAGGUAAAAUGGGAGCCUAAGAUGGAGCUAAAUAGUGGUUGUUUGAAAAAGUGCGCCUAUGAUCAGAUCAGUUGAUAUAUCCUAUAACACCCUCAACUGACCCGAUUACUCGAUCCAAGUCUCGGGUGUUAUGUUUUGAAACAGAUUUACUUACAAUUUCUUUUUUAUUUUCCUAUGUAAAAAAAUUCUAUCUAAGACUAUGAAAUAUUUUUUUACAAGUGUACGAUGUAUGAUUACAUUUAGAAUUCAUGAUAAUAAAAUAUCAUCGACUCUAUUCUAUCUCUGUCCUUACAGAGUACAUAUCAGAAUGCUACUUAAUAACUUAUGUUCAGACUUAAGCAUGCCACUUAACUUCCUCUGUAUCUAUGACAGCCCAGCGCACCACUUCCUUUGGUGUAGCCUUGGCGUUGUCCCUCUUGCCGCAUACUUCUUUGCAACCUAAAAACAUGAAAUAAAUUUCAUAAGUUCAUAAAAACUUAGUGAAUUUAAACCUUAAAUUCAUUAUAUCAAGCAUGAAAGAUGCUUUGCAUGUCCUUCUUGUUUCCUUUAAGUUUUCCUUAUUCCCUUUAGCGAUUACUUCAGUAAAGACAUCCCUUAACAGAUUGUAAUUACUCCUUUCUAGCUUCGGCCUUUUUCUUUCUCUCAGUGUCUUUAAGGACUUAUCUUCCUUUUUAUUUAUUAAACCGUUAUUCAACUAGGUUCCAGAUUCGGGGUCCAACUCAAAUGAUUGUUUCUUUCCUUUGAGCGUAUUAUGCUUCACAUAUCUUCACUUUCUAUAUCCUUUCUUAACUCUUACAUUUACAUAGUCCUUAACGACUUUGUUUACCUUAUUAACAGACUUAAAAUCUUAUUUCAUACUUGUUAAUCUGACCACUACCUUUGGGUGAGGUAGACUAUGCCCAUUAUUCAACACAGAGUUCACCCAGAUCUUUUAUUACUUCGGGAUACUAUCUAUACAUACAUAUAACACAUUUCUCAAAUUCACUGCAUAUUCUGGCUCACUCUAACUUCAUUGUUCUUUUCUUAUGUUUACGCGAGGUUCUACAUUUCAUUUACAUACAGUGAUUUUCUUUCAGAGUUUGUCGGAUACUUAGUUCCUUCUACUUGUCCAUACAUUAUCUCUUACACUUAAAAUUAACUUCCAAGUCCUACCUUUGCUUUGCCUUCAGGGAACCAUUCAUGCCAUUCUUUCCUAAUUCCUUACACGCCAUUUAUUUAAAUUUUUGUUUUGAAGGCAUUUCUUCCUUUAAAUGGCCACAAAGUCCUUCUUUGUAUUUGCCACUAGGGCUAUCCUUUACAAAGUUGCUACCAAGGUGUUCGAUCCUUAGGUUGCACCACAAAGAUGUUCUUUUUUAGACAUAGCCACGAAGGCUUCCUUUUCAAAGAUAGCUACAAAAGCUUUUUUAUUCAGAGUUUGCCAUAGAGUCUUUCCUUUAACAUGGGUUACCACAAAGGCUUAACUUUCAAGAGUUCUACCAUAAAAAAUAUUCCUUAAAUUUCAGUACUCACCACAUAGGCUUUUUUGUUCAUAGUUUUACCACAAAGGCGCCUUUAAACAGAGAUCACCACAAAGACAUCCUUUUUCUAGUGUUUCAAUGAUAGGGAUUCACCUAGACUCAUAUUUCUUGAGCUCUAUCGCUCAUUACCUAAGACACACAGAGAACCACGUUAGGCAAUAACCUUCCUUAAAUUUCCCUAUAUGAUGUCAUAACCCAUUAGUUAUAGUUUUACACGAUAUGAUCCUUUAAUGCCAUGACCAUAUACUUGUCCUUUCAAAGAUUUGUGUUUUUAAUCCUGACGGACCCCUUUAGAUGACUCUGGAGACAAAAACAGACUCUUUAUACUUAGACUCAUUAUUCCUGAACUCAUCGUACCUUGACUUACUCAUAACAGACACAUCCAUACUUUUCAAACUUAUUAACACAUUUCUAUCAUUCAUACACAAACAUCCUUUAUCUUUAAGAUUCAUGUUUAUAGUUAGACCAUCAAACUUCAUUCAACACAUGCUCUCAUGUCUAUCCUUCACACAUUACUCACUAGAAUCAUCACAUUACACUUUUAGAUUCGAUUUCAUGGUUUUCUUACAUUUUAUAAAAGUUUUAAAACAUACUUUAUACAUGUAAGAGUCAGCUUAGGAACUCACUUGAUAACCUCAAAGACAGUUUAAACCUCAGAUCUAGUCUUUCCUUGUGAAAUAUACAGUUUGAGAUCCAGAUCAAUAAUUCAGCCACAUGCUAUAGCCUCCUCUGCUUUGAUAAAUAGAAACACUUUGUUAGAACCCAUUCGGGUAACCUUUAUCUUCAUCUUAAAACCCAAACGUAUUACUAAGCCUUAUUUCUCCAAGCAUAGUUACAGAUUUGUGUUCCCUUAACUAGCAGAGUCAUGAAAUGUUCCUUAAUGGGAGGGAAAAUCACUAACUAAAUUUGGGGUUCUAAACUCAUCUUAGAGAGAUGUCUUCAUCUGCUCAUGUCCCUAAAUCUUAAGAAGGAAGAUAACUAUCCCUUAACUUAACCCAAGUGUCCUUUAACUUAACUCAAGUCUUUAUGGGAACUUGGUAAACAUCACAUCAAGACUGAUUUAUCUUAUCUAAAAUCAGCCACUCUUUAAGAAACUUAUAUGUUUACUCAUUUAGCCUUCGACCCUUCUAGUUUGCGUUUGGUUAGUUCUCAACCAGCUUACCUCACAAAUUUAACUAGUACGGGACCACAUUGGUCACUAGAUGUAUUAUGUCACUAGCAUGGACUCUUAUCUUAUAACCAUUCCUUUUUUAAUUACCAGUUCGAUUUCACUUAUCAUCGUAAUCUAACUAGAAAUCCUUGUCUGCUUAUUUCCAUGUCGAAGUUCGCCUGCUUUUUAUGCCAAAAAGUGUCUCUAAAAAUACUACUCCACUCAUAGUACUUCUUUAUACUCUGUGCUUUAUUCAUAUAUAUAUAUACAUAUAUACAUUCUCACCAAUAUUCCUUGAUUCGUCAUACAUACCUUUCUUCAGAGUUAGCCCUAAGCUUUGCUCUUUCAAAAUAUCCUAUAUAUUGUUCAUCAUAGGUUCCUUUUUGUUUGUUCAGAAUCUGUCAGACUAGGGUUCUAUUUGGAACACUCAGAAAGUUCUUACACUUAAUCGAAUCCUAACGUUGGGCACUUGAAACUUACUCUUAAGCCUUGCUUUUACGAUUAACUGUAACAACCCGAUUUUAGUGGUGUAAAAAUGGUGGUUUCGAGACCAUAAUUCCAAAGAGUGAGUUAGUAUUUCAAUAUUUAUUUAAUGUCUGCGAGAUUAUUUUAAGGCCGUAUUAAAAUUUUGUCAAGAAAUUGUGAAUUUUAAAUGGUUAAUUAGGUAAAAAGGACUAAAUUGUAAAAUAUAUAAAAGUUGAAUUCUAUUAGUUAAAGGGGUAAAAUGGAUAUGAAAUCUAAAACUAAUGGACUAAGAUAGUAAUUAUACCCUUUAAAGAGUUGUGGAAAAAUAUGGACAAGGUUUACUUGAAAUUUUUUUAUUAUUAAUAAGGUUAAAAUGGUAAUUUAGUAAUUAAAUUUAAAACAAUAGAAAUUAAAGCAUGUAUCAUCUUGUAUUUUUCAUCUAUCACUGAUUUUAAGAGGGGAAGAACUCCAUUAUUGAAUGCUUGGUUCGGCUAAGCUUGUUUUAGUGCAUUGUAUGUAUUUUCAACCCGCUUUUCAUUAUUUUUAUGUUUUUAAGCUCGUUUUAGCUUAUUCUAGGUAGCCCGGGGCUUAAUUUACAAAACUGUUAAAGGUUGAGGGACCUUUCAUGGUUAUUUUUAAUAGGUUUUGAAUUUAUUUGAUAGAUUAUUAAUCUUGGUUGUAAAAUAAACAUGUUUUCUUAAGUGAUUCAUGAAAAUAGUAAAAUUUCAUGGUAAAAUUAUGAAAUAAUGAUUUAAGUGGGUUGGUAUGAGUCCCUAAGAAAUUUAGCUAGCUUGUAUGGAGGAUUAAAAUGGUUAAAUUUCAAAUUAUGAGUUUAAGGACUAAAUUGUAACAGUAAAAAUGUUAGGGGUAAUUUCAUAAUUUUAAAUAAAUAUGAAAUAUGGAUUAAAUUGAAUACCAAAAGUAAUUAAUUGAAUGAAAUUAUCUAUUUAGAUAAAGAUAAACAACAACUGGAUUUAAAUCAAGGAAAGGCUAAAGUUUCGGAUUAGUAUUCAAGUCUACUUCUACGACCAAAGUUAUCGAGGUAAGUUCAUAUGAAUUAUGAUCGUAUUGAUCUUAGCUAAAUUGAUUGUUUGCUAUGUUGCAUUAAUAUAAACGAACUUGAAAUUGUAUAUGUUUCGAUGUAUGAAUAAUUGAUGUACAACGAGUCUAAUUUUAAAAAUUAAGAAUUCUUAGGAUACGAAUGACAUUUCAUUAGGGAUUUCAUGUUUUAGGUGUUGGUAUUGAAUAUCCUACCGAUGGUUGAGUUCUUGCAUUUGUUACAGACUCUGCACAGCUCGUGUGAGCAGCAUUGUGUAGCUAGCAUUCUGACCCACAGCUCUUGUGAGCAGGCCCAUUUCACAACUCGUGUGAGUACUAUUGAAAAUGAAAGGUUACGGUUAUAUGGAAAGACAAACUAUGUGUGAGUAUUCUUGAGUAUCCAAUGUAAUUAUAAAUGUUUCAACGAGUAAGUAAAGGAAAUGACAUGGUAAGUAUACAAAUAAAAUGAUUCAUGAUCUUAUGAAAAGGUUGGUGAGUAAGUGAUAUAUCUUUUGAAAUCUACUUAUGGUAUAAUUGAACUCAUAUUGAUUAUGGAUGAACCUACUAACUUUUGAGUUUGAUGAUGCUUGUAUAGGCUUUUACUAAGCUUAUGGCCUUGGUAAUGUCAUUAUGUUUACCCUAUAAAUUGUACUAAUGAAAUGGUAAGUUAUGUUUGAGUUUAUACGAGCUUACUAAACACUAGUUGCUUACGUAGUUACUUUUUUCCUUUUUAUAAAUGAUCAUAAUCGGUUGGAAGCUUGUCAGGGAUCAAUCACACUAUCUAGCAAUCAUUUCGGUAGUUUUUAAGUAUUUUGGCCAAGGUUAUAAAUGGCAUGUAUAGAACCUUUUGUAAUGAUAGUUUAUGAAUGUGUUAAUGGUUGAUUAGUAUGUAUAUACUUUUGAAUUUUAUGUUUGGUUUGAUGGACUUGUAAUGCUUUGUCAAGUUAGGUCAUUUUGGCCACUUUUAGGUACUUGAAAUACAUUAUCUUUAUUGGCAUGUUUGUGAUGAUAUGAAUAUGGUUAUAUGUGACAUUAUUUGGUAGUUAAGGAACUAGGUUUUUAUGAUUUGAAUAUGGCACUAUUGACUUGUUUUGGUUAAUGAUGUUUUGGCAUAAAUGUGGUACCUUUGAAUGGCAUAUUGGUUAGAUGAAAUAGGAUGUUUGAAAUGGUAUGUUCAAGUGUGUUUGAAUGAGGUUUAAAUCUCUUUAAUGUGUGCACAAAUGGGAUGGUUAGUUAGGUGUGUUUUGGCCUUGAAAUGGCUUGAAUUUAGGCUUAAUUUAUGGAUCCCAUUGCCUGGGACACGGGCUAUCAGACGGUUGUGUAACACAUACGACCGUGUGUCAUUUGUAAGUUCUUAAUGUCCUAAGUUAGUGAGUUACACAGCCAGCGACGUGGUUGUGUGUUGCAACUUAGAGAGUUACAUCGUCUGGCACACGGCCUGGGACAUGGCCAUGUGGCCUAACUCACUGGGUUACAUGGGUGAAGACACGAGUUGGGACACGACUUUGUAUCCCUUUUUUCAAUUUUUACAUGAAUUGGGCUAUGUCACACUGUCGUAUGACCCAUAUUUUCAAAAUUUUUAUUUUUUUCCCAAAUUUUUUAUUUUGAUUCAAAUUAGUCCCAAAUUGCUUCUAAGCUAUUUUAGGGCCUCAAAGGCUCGAUUUAGGGACUAAAUGCAUAUGUUUGAUAAGUUUUUUAUUGAGAUUAAUUUAUUAAAUGUGAUGAUUUAAAUUUUGUUCCGAUUAUUUGGUAAUGCUUUGUAACUUUAAUCUGGCGACGGAGACGGGUUAGGAGUGUUACAUCAACACUUAAAUAUUCAAGACUUCACUAGGCAAGACGCUACAUAUCCUCCAACGAUUGGUUCAUAGAAUGCGCAAGCUUCGACUACGCCAGUUAUACUACGAAAUGUCCUAAGUUUUAUUAGGGAGUUUUUAAUUCUAUGCUCUUAUGCUUAUUUACCCAAAAGUUGAGAGUCUUUGAUUUCUGAUGUACAAAAUCUUGCCCAGUUCAUCUGAACUUAUGAUUGUACUACUUUGCAUGUAGGGUUAAGGAAUUAUUCAAGGGUCUUGUAAAGGGACCAAGCCAGACGCCACCAAGAUAUGCGAAUGGUGCUAUAACUAUACCAUGCAUAUAGAGGGACACCCUUAGAGGGUACUCUUCGGGUUCGAAUAAGAGAACCUUUAUUAAAUUUUUAAUUUCCAAGUUUUUGUAUAUUUAUAAACUUAGACCUACUCAGUAAGGAAAUUUGGUUGUAAGAACUUUAGAAGUGGUAGAAAAUUUAUUUGUAGUUAUAUUUUGAAACAUGUUGAUAACUAAAGAGAUUGGAGUGAACUUAUGCGUAAAUAGGAAACCUAUCCUGACAUUAUAAAAGUUAAAAUUAAAUCUAUAUAGAAUUGUUGUUAAGUAUCUCAGGUUGUUUGUGACACUUGGUACCCGAACCCAGCGACCAAUUCGGGUAUAGGGUGUUACAAACAGGCUCCAAGAGCCUGGUAUGAGAGAAUUGACAGUCAUUUGUCAAGUUUGGGAUUGGAAAGAAGCAUCAGUGAGCCAACACUGUAUAUGAAGAAAUCUAAGAAGAAAAAUUAUGUCGCCUCUGGAAAUGUUAAAGGUUAAGUGCCACAACAAUUGUGAGUAUUAAAUUAGAAAAAAACUUUUGUUUAAUAAGGUUCUAGUGUAAAUUAGUGAAUCUGAUGGACUGCUUGGCAAAUAGUUAGAUUUCAACUGUUAGUCUCGUUACAUUAGAAUUGGGUUUUCUUUAGUGGGAAAAAUUAUGAUAAGGAACAUUAAAUUUGAUGUUGAUGAAUUGGUUUUGGUGAACGAGUGCGGGAAGGUUAUAUAAUAAAGAGGCUUUAUUCUCCUAUGCUCAUUCUCUCAUUUUCUGUAUUCAUUUUCUUUAUUCUAUCUUCUUCUAUGGUUGUUCUGUAAGAAAGAAAAGUUAAGAAGUGAUCUGCAUGGAGGGAGAAAAUAAUGUAUCAGGUUAAGUGAUUGGGGAUUUAGCAAAUUGGUAAUCUUUCUAAGCUUUCCUGUAUCUUUUGAUUGAACAAAAGGGAAGGAAAAUUGAGGAUUUUAGUUUCAUUCAUUUACCUUGUACUGAAAUGUUUAGGGUUGCAGCUAACCUUUAAAUUCUUUCAGCAUGUAAAUGAAUUAUAAUUUUCUUAUAUAAGAAUGUUUUCGUUUUGAUCUCGAUAUAGCUAACCGAGAAGGAGGAGGCUUAGGUGGUAAGGAAAAGCUAAACAGAUGUAAUCAAUACCAAAUUUCAGGUAUUUUACUGGUGAGUUCUUGAACAUAAUUUCUCAUUAGUUAUUUUAUUUGUUUCAGUAUUGUGUUGUUUGGGUAUGCUUGACUUUACACUCUAUUGAUGAUAGGAAAUCAUUCUAUGACGGGAUGCUUGCUUUUUAGUGUUGUGACGCAAAUGUAUGUUUGGCUGUAAAAAAAAGUUGAAUGUUUUGAUAAAUUGUUGCUAGUAAAGCCCCAUCAAAUAUGAUAUUGUUGAGUGGAUAGUUACGCAAUCCAUACUGUAUGAUUUACCUUGUGUUAUUAAAAAGCAUGGUUAGUUAAAUGCUUGUUAUAUGUCGAUCGCGUAAAUAAAUUAUAUGCAGAUUAUGGAGGGAUGUAUUACAGAUGAAAGAUGAGGAAAUGUCAUGUUGUGCUCUCUAUGCCCCAUAUUCUCUAGCUUUGCAGAGAUUUGGGCGGGUUUUAUAGAUAAUAUAUGCGUAUGAUAUUUGAUUUUGCUAAGGUUCAGUUGGAUUGAACGGAGGUAUAUGUGCAUAUGUGUAUGAAAGCCUUACAAGGGUUAUAUGUAAGUAAGAGAAUCUGGGGAGUCUAAAGCUUUAAGCCUUAUGUAUGUAAGCAAGUCUCAUGGCCAUGGGCACAUGCAAGACAAGAUAGUUCGAUAGACCUAUCUUGUGAUCCAAGUUAUGGCAGUCUUUUGGAUUUGCUCUCUAUGCUUCAUGGCAAAGUUAUACGUGGAAUUUCUCCAUGCAAAUGUCUACAGAACAAUUCACAUAUAUGAAUUUGCAUUUAUAUGUAAAUAUUUGUCUACGGAUUCGCAUGUAUGAGUCGCCAUAUAUAAGUUCACAUCCAUGAAUCUUCUAGAAGAAUUUGUAUGUAUUACAGCUUGUUGGAUCUAUACUUAUGAUUCAUACUAUGAUAGUCUAUUGAUCUUAUAUUCAUGUUUCAAGUUUAAGAGAUAAAAAAUACUAUAUUUCGUAAGAGUCAAUAUGGGCUAUUAUUCAAGCAAGUGAUUGCAUAAGCUUGUUCUUAUGUUUAAGGUAAAAGAGUUCAUAUAAAUCAUUUAUCUCAACCCAAAACCACAUAAAUCUUCUUUGAUGUAGAUGACCGCCAAUAACUAUUUUUAAAUCGAAAGCCUGCAAUGACUAUCUGCCAAAUAAGAGUCUAACAGUGACUAUCAUUUAAGAAUUAGUUCACAAGUAUGAACUCACAUAUAUGAAUCUAUGAUUAAGAUUCCAUAUAUAGAGGUUAACAAGUACAAUUUGUAAGUAAGUCUUCUCCAAACUCAAGUCUGCAUAUAAAUUUUUUUUAGUGUGAAUAUCCAUGUAUGAGCUUUUUGAACUCAAUUCGUUGUACGUUAAUUCUUAAUGACAGUAAUUACUAACAAAAUCCACAUAUGUUUGCUGGUAAAGGAGGUUAUAAUCCAUCUUGUAUGAAAUCAACGUAAAUGGGUGAGUGAAAUCAUUCCGCAUUGUGGCCUAUAGCAUGAAUGAUAACAAUAGAAGGUUGUGACAAUGCAGAAAGUGUAUAAAUUUUCAAGUUAAGCCAAUCCAGAUGAGGACAAGAGCACGCCAUGAAGAUGUUAUAUUAUAUGAACCUGGUAUGUUAUAUUAUAUAAUGAAUAAUCGUUUAAAUAUAGUAAAUGAAUUAUUGUUAAUAUUUUCAUAAGUUCGCAUGGUAAUAACUUAAACUAGGAACUUGUAAUUAAACCAUUUUAGUUUGACGGAUCAGCCAGUCAAACAUGAUAAGAUUGUUGCAAAUAAUAUUCGUAUUAAGUCAAGUAUGAUUAUAAAAAGCGUAGUUGGCUAUCUUAGUCAUGUUAAUUGUAUAAUUUAGUUGUAACUUGUUCAUAGUUUGAUUCAACAAUGAAUGUAACCCACCGUAGCUGGACCCAAUGACCGGGUAGGACACGGGUGUUACAACUUUGCUGGUAGUCUUACUGUAUGUGGAUGAUUGUUAGUGACUAGUACCAGUAAUGAAUUGGUUAAUGAGUUUAAGAAGUAGAUGUAAGAUAUGCUUGAGAUGUUAGAUUGACGCAAAAUGACUUACAUUCUUGGCAUGGAAGUGUCCCAGACUCAACAUGCCAUUUUCAUAAGCCAAAAAGCCUUUGCUUUGAAUAUUUUGAGCAAGUUUUGCAUGGAAAAUUGUAAGCCAACAAGCACUCCUAUUGCUUAAGGAGAAAAUCUCACCAGCAAGGGUGACUUAGAGAAGGUAAAUGCCAGUGCUUCAAGGGUUGCAAAGUUUGUUAUUAAUAAGACUAAGUCCUAAGGAGAUUUGACUAAGUCCUAGGAGUUGUUAGCUUGUUAGUAGGAGUAGGGAAUUAAAAUUUGGUUGAGGUUGUUACUUGAGACAUGUAUAUAAGGGUUGUUUGGUUAAUAAAUUUAAUCAUCCUUCUCAUUCAUAUCUUUCUAUGUUUCUGUUAAUUCUUUACUAAACCAACAGUGGUAUUGAGAGCUUUUGUUUUCUUGAGAAACCUAUGACAAAAGUUUUGUAAAAGUUCUGAGAGAAAAACUGAGAGAUACAUUGACAUAUUGAGAGAAGGCUAUAAGGUGACUCCAUUUCCCAACAAUCCAACUAUGAACCAUAUAAAUAAUGCACAAGGAGAGAACCACCAGGAAGGCUAAAGUAAAGGCUUACCCUUAUGCUUCAAUUUCACUAGCCAUAUUCAAUAUAAUUAUGGCUUUUGGACUAACAAAGAAGAUAUGGGACUACCUCAAGGCUGAGUAACAAGGAGAUGAGAGGAUCAAGAGCAUAAAGGUGUUGAACAUGAUCAGAGAAUUUGAGAGGCUACAAAUGAAGGAGUCUAAGUCAAUUAAAGAAUACUCGAACAAGCUGAUAGAUAUUGCUAACAAGGCAAAGUUCUUGAGACUGAUCUCUCCAAUUCUAGACUGGUGUAGAAAAUACUUGUCUUUGUGCCUGAGAAGUAUGGUGAAAUAAUUGCCUAUUUGGAGAACACCAAGGACUUGGCUCAGCUGAGAGUGGUGGAGUUGAUCAGUGCUUUACAAGAAUAGGAGCAGAAGAGGUUAAUGAGUCAAGAAGGAAGUUUAGAAGGAGAUAUGAAUGCUAAGAUGCAACAGGGUGAAAGAAGAAAGGAACAAUAGCAUAAUGGGAAGAAGAGUAGUGGUAGUAGUGGUUAAAAAACUGCUACAAAAAGUAAUGAUACUGGAAAUUCUAACAAGUAUUCUUCAUGUAAGUGUUGUGGAGAAUAGAAUCAUUCCCAUUUCAAGUUUUGAAGAAGGUCGGAUGUGAAGUGUAAAAGGUGUAACUUGAUGGGGUAUAUUGAGAAGUUUUGCAAAGAACCAAUAAAUCGGUAGCAAAGUGCAACACAUACUGCAAUUAAAGAAGAAGAGGACCAACUAUUUGUUUGUCUCUUCCUUCUCAUCAAGCACUUCAUGUGAUAGUUGGUUAGAUGAUAGUGGUUGCACCAAUCACAUGACUUGUGAUGAGGAGUUGUUUAAAGACCUUGACAGGUCAUUAAAGUUGAGAGUAAGGAUAGGAAAUGGAGAGUACCUAGAAGUGAAAGGAAAAGGCAUAAUAGCAAUAGAGAGUCGUGUUGGAACUAAGUUGAUUUCAGAUGUUUUGUUUGUACUUGAGAUGGAUCAAAACUUGUUAAGUGUGGGGAACUUGUUAGGGAAGGGAUUCAAGGUAAUGUUUGAAAAACGAAUAUGUCGAAUCCUUGACUCUAAUUGUAAUGUAUUAUUUAGGAUCAAGAUGCAAAAGAAGAGUUUCUCUUUGAAUCCACUCAAUGAGGAGAAAGUGGCAUUCAAGUGUCAAGUCAAUGACUCUGAAUUGUGACAUAAGAGGUUAGUACACUUUCAUCACAAAGGUCUAUAGUUCAUGCAGAAAAAUGAGAUGUCAAUUUGGCUACCAAUUCUGGAGGAGUUAAAUUCGAGAUGCAAAACUUGUUUGAGUAGCAAACAAACAAGGUUGCCUUUCAAAACCUCAACUUGGAGAGCCAAAGAAAAGUUGCAAUUGAUUAACACGUGUCUGUGUGAUCCACAAGCAACUCCUACAUUGAAUGGUAGCAGUUAUUUUAUUAUCUUUAUUGAUAUUUUAUCAGAAUAUGUUGGAUUUACUUUAUGAAGCAAAAAUUUGAUGUUGUUGAUGUGUUUUUUAAGUAUAAAAGAUGGGUUAAGAAUCAAAAUGGUUGUAAGAUUCAGGUUGUCAGAUUUGAUAAUAUGACAGGAUAUACCUAACAAAUGUUUAAUACUUUCUGUGAAGAGGUUGGGAUAGAGCAUCAACUCACUGCUCCUUACUCUCUACAAUAGAAUGGAGUUAGUGAGAGAAGAAACAAGACCAUUAUAGAGAUGACUAAGUGCAUGCUACAUGAGAAGUCCUUACCUAAGGAGUUUUGGGUUGAGGCAACUAACACAACUAUAUUUUUUAUAAAUAGAUUGCCUACAAUGGUAUUGGAGAAAAAAACAUCCUUUGAAGCUUGGUUUGAAAUGAAGGAAACUUUGAAGAAUUUAAAGGUAUUUGGUUAUUUAUGUUUCUAUCAUGUUCCACAGGUUAAAAGGACAAGUUGGGAGAAAAAUCUGAGCAUGGAAUAUUUGUUGGUUACAGUUUGAUGUCAAAGGCCUAUAGAAUCUAUCAACCUCGGACAAGAAAGAUGAUUGUAAGUAGAGAUUUUGAGUUCCUAAAAGAUAAGCAGUGGGAUUGGGCAAGUGAUAAAAGAAAAGAAAACAAGAGUUCUCUCUUAAUCCUAAUGAACUAAUGGAUGAUACACCAAUUAGAUGUAUAAGAUCAUUUAGUGAGGUUUAUCAAAUGUGUAGUGUAGCCAUUCUUAAACCUGUAGGGUAUGAGGAAGCCAAAAAUGAUCAGGAGUGGAUGGAGAAAAUUAAGGAAGAGUUGGGUAUAAUAGAGAAAAACCAAACAUGGGAACUAGUUGACAGGCUUGCAAGUAGAAAGGUGAUUGAAGUAAAGUGGGUUUUCAAUAUGAAACUUAAUCUUGAUGGCUUAGUGAAUAAGUAAAAGGCCAGAUUGGUGGUGAAGGGAUAUGCAUAGGUUUGUGGAGUUGAUUUUUUUGAAACAUUUUCUCAUGUGAUAAAAAUGGACGGAGUAUUGGUGGUGAAGGGAUAUGCAUAGGUUUAGGCUUUGUGAAGAGCCUGAGUGAAUCCACCUUUUAUAUAAAGAAGUCAGGUACAAAUCUAAUCAUUGUAUCUUUCUGUGUAGAUGACAUGUUGGUGACAAGAAGUGAUGCAACUCAAAUUGAAGCGUUCAAAAAGGAUAUGAUAGAGGUAUUUGAGAUGACUUAUCUAGGUGAGAUGCAUUACUUUCUGGGGAUGGAAUCAAGCAAGGUCAAAAUGAAGUGUUUCAUUACUAGAGGAAGUAUACGAAGGAUAUUCUGAAAAGGUUCCAUAUGGAGGAGUGCAAGAGUGUGAGCACUCCUAUAAAUUAGAGAGAAAAAACUUCAGAAGAUGGAUGGGGUAGAUCCUACAAAUGAGAAGGUGUAUAGGAGUCUUGUUAGGUGUCUUAUGUACCUCACAUCCACUAAGCCGGACAUCAUACACAUGGUAAGUGUUUUGUCCAGAUUUCUCCAUUGUGCAAGUGAAAUUCAUAUGAUUGCUACAAAAAGGAUAUUAAGAUAUUUGAAGGGGACACUUGCAUAUGGAAUCAAUUUUAGCAAAGUUGAGAACUUCAAUUUAUAGGGUUAUUCUGGUAGUGAAUAGGAUGGAUCACUAGAUGAUAUGAGAAGCAUUUCAGGCUAUUGGUUCAUGUUUAGGUCAGGUUUUUUCUCUUGGUGUUCAAGAAAGCAAUAGAUGGUGGUUCAAUCAAUUGCGGAAGUUGAAUUCAUUACAGCUACAACUACUAUGAAUCAAGCCUUAUGGCUGAAGAAGCUAAUGGAUUAUUUGUAUUUCAAGUAAGAGGGGAGUAUAGAAGUGUUUGUGGAUAAUCAAACUACUCUAACUAUUCCACUUAAUCCUGUAUUUCAUGGAAGAACAAAGUAUUUUAAAGUCAAGUAUUAUAUGAUGAGGGAAGUACAGAAGAUAGGUCAAGUAAAGCCGGUUUAUUGUAGAUUAGAGGACCAGGUGGCAUAUAUUUUUACUAAGUCUUUCCAUGUUAGUCUAUUUGAAUUUCUUAAGAACAAAUUUGGUGUCUGUAACACUUGAUUCACGAGGAGAAUGUUAGCGUUUCUAGGGCUGCAAAGUUUGUUAUAAAUAAGACUAAGUCCUAGGGAGAUUUGACUAAGUCCUAGAAGUUGUUAGCUUGUUAGUAGGAGUAGGAAAUUAAAUUUUGGCUUAGGUUGUUGCUUAGUUAAUCAAUUUAAUAGUCCCUUUCAUUCAUAUCUUUUUAUGCUUCUAUUAGUUCUCUGCUAAACCAACAGUAAAUGAAACAAGUUAUAGAAGCCUUGUUGGAUGCUUGCUUUACCUGACAACAUCUAGACCAAACAUUGUGCUUGUUGUUAGUCUUUUAUCCAGAUUCUUGUGUUGCUAUAAUGUGAUUCAUUUUAAGGCAAAAAAAGGGCCUUGAGAUAUAUUAAAGGAACUCUAGGCCAUAGAGUUGUAUUCAUGAAAACUGACAACUUGUAUCUAGUUGGAUACAUAGACAGUGACUGGGUUGGAUCAACUGAUGACAUGAAGAUCACAUCAGGGCAUUUUUUAUACUUGGUUUAGCAUUUUUUUUCGGAGCUCAAAAAAACAAGAUAAAAUGGCUCAGUCAAUAGCUGGAAUCAAAGGGAAGCAACAAAGAUCUAUUGUGAUGAUUAAUUUGCUGUUGCAAUUGCAAAUAAUCCAAUGUUUCAUGGAAAAUUAAAAUACUUCAAGAUUAAAUAUUAUUUUGUGAGAGAAGUUUAGCAAUCAAAGGAAGUGAAAUUGGUUCAUUGUAGUUCUAAAGACUAGCUUGCAGACAUUUUAACCAAGCCCUUUGGGACUAUCAGGUUUGGUAGGUUAAGAAACAACAUUGGUGUUUGCUUGAUAAGCUAUAAAAGUAACAUAUUUUAAUCCCAUUCUUAAUACGUUUUUUGGAUGAUUAAUUAUGCAAAUUAGUGAAUUUGAUGCUCCUAAUCCUUUAAAUUCUUGUUCCUAUACUUAGGAGAGCAUUUGAGAAUGAAAGGAGCAAAAAACAAGAAAAACAAUCUGACAAAUAGAGUUAUUUUCAAGAGCCACAUGGCUUGGGCAUUUCAACACGGGCUGAAAACAAACCCAUGUGAGCCACACUGGCUGGGCAGACGCCUGUGUGCUAGCCCGUGUUGAUUUCACACCUUGCUUCCUAAACGUGCAGAAAAACAUAAUUUUUAGGCUUUCUGGGCAUUCUAAACUCUAUAAAUACCAAUUAGAAUAAGAGAUAUGACAGUCAUUAAAGAAGAUCGAAGAAAACACUCGAAGAACACUCUUGGAGCCAACUCUGAAGUGGAUCUCCAUCAAGAGCGAAGACCUCCUUUUAAUUUCUUAUGAAGUUUUUAUGAGUUUCUUUGUUUCUUGUGGUUUUUCAGACUUUGAAAUGUUUUCAUUCAAGAUUAUGAACAAAUUCCCUAGAUACAUAGGGAAGAUAAUACCUAAGAAGAAUUAUAUUAUUUUAUUUCUGAUUUACAUGAUAAAUACUUGAUUCUUAUUCUCAAUUAUGUGGGCUUACUUAUUGUUUUAAUAUUUCUGGGAUAUUAGUUCAUGUUUAAUAUGUUUAAUUCAGUGGAAGAAAAGUCCUUGUUUGAGAGUAGAUCUACCAUAAUUUAGUGAAGUUGCAUACAAUACUAGAAAUAGGACGACAUAAAUCUAACGGAUUAUAGUCAAAUCCAAUAGGAGAAUCCAUAGAUUAAGUUAAUGCGACGAUAAGGGUUUUAAUUAGAAAAAGAUUUCAAUUAAUCAACCUAGAGUCAGUUGUUCUUACUCUCGAAAGAGAUAUUAACAUAAUUUAGGGAUUAUUACGGAUCAAGACACCAAGUGAAUAAAUCAUUUAAAUCAAAUUCAUAAUAAUAGAAGAAGUCUAGGUUGAUUCUUUCCUGGGUAUUGUCUCUCUCAUUGGUUAUCUUUCGAUUAUUUUCCUGAUUCAUUCUCUGUUGUGUUCUUAGUUUAAUUAGUUUAGUAAUUUUAGAUUAAAACUCAUCACUCUAAAUUGUCGGCUAAAUAAUAAGAAAACAAUAAUUGUUAAUACUUUUAGUCCUCAUGGAUACAAUAUCUUUACUCAUCGUAGCUUUAUUAUUGUUAGAUAGGUGCACUUGCAUUUGUCGCAUUUAUAGUUAGUUCAGUGAUCAUCAAGUUUUGACACCGUUGCUGGGGACUAAAAUAUUAGGAACACUUUAUUUUUAUUAAUUUAGUCAUUUUUAAAAUUUUUACAUUCUAAUUUUUACAUUCUAAUUCUUUUAUUCUAAUUUUUUUAUUUUCUUCUGGCAGGUUCUUUUGGUUUAUGACUAGAAGAAAUCCGUCGAGAUCAUUACUAUUUGAUAGCGAAAUAGAAAGUACUACUUGUAGAAACAAUAGAGAAGCAAGGCAAAGUCAACAAAUUAUAGUAGACGAACAGGAGGACAUUAUUACUACUAAGAAGAUGGACAAUAAUCAGAAUAUUCAGCUACCUCCUACAGCUCCUGCUCCUAUUCCUUGUAUUAUGUAUAAUUAUGCCAAACCCACUCUGACUGGGGCUGAAUCGAGUAUUGUACGACCCACCAUUGCUACAAAUAAUUUCAAACUGAAGCUGAACAUUGUAUAGAUGGUACAAUAGUUUGGUCAGUUUAGUGGUUUACAAGACGAAUAUCCAAAUACUCAUUUGGAAAAUUUCUUGGAAAUCUGUGAUACGUUCAAAUCUAAUGGCACCACUGAAGAUGUCAUUUGCUUACGGUUAUUUCCUUUCUUGUUAAGAAACAAAGCUAAACAGUGGUUGAACACUUUACCAUGAGGUUCCAUCACUACAUGGGCUCAAAUGACUUAGAAAUUUCUACUGAAGUACUUCCCACUAGCUAAGACAGCCGAGUUGAGGAAUGAUAUCUUUUCCGUUGAUCAGAUCGAUUUAGAAACCUUAUAUGAUGCAUGGGAUAGAUACAAUGAUUUAUUGAGAAGGUGCCCUCACCAUGGGUUACCUCUAGGGCUACAAGUCCAAACCUUCUACAAUGGUUUGAACCAUUCAACGAGGUAGUUGAUUGAUGCAGCAACCGGUGGAACUCUGAACAAUAAAACACCUGAAGUGACUUAUGAAUUUAUUGAGAAGAUGACACUAAAUAAUUAUCAGUGGUAAGUCAUGAGGAUAAAGCCGAUGAAGGCUGUCAGUGUUUUUAACUUAGAUGCAGUCACCAUGUUAUCAAACCAGACAUAUUUGCUUAAGAAGAAAAUUGAUGAUUUAUAUCUUUCUAUGUAUGUACAUCCGGUGAAUGUUUACCCUUCGGUUCUAGCACAGAGAAUGAACAAAUCAAUUUUAUGGGUAAUAAUUCUAGGCCUCAAAAUAACCCUUAUAAUAAUAACUGUAAUGCAAGUUGAAGGAACCAUCCCAAUUUCUCUUGGGGUGGUCAAGGAAAUCAGAGAGCACAAGCCCUUCUAGGCUUCUAACAACAACCUUACCAGCAAGAGAAAAAGCUGAACCUUGAGGAGAUGUUGACCAAGUUUAUCUCGGUGUUAGAAACACAUUUUCAAAACACUGAGGGAGCACUAAAAACUCAGCAAGCAUCGAUUCAAUAGCUCGAAAAUCAAAUCGAUCAACUUGCUAAAUUAAUCUCGAAAAGACCACAAGGUAGUUAAAUCUAAACAAGAAUCGAGGCAAGAAAUUAUGGUGAAUAAUGAUUAAAUAGAGCAAAAGCCUAUUGCCAAACAACCCUGAGUAUCACAUCCUAACGCGAUGAAGAGAGACCACACGAACGAACUAUUUAGUAAAAUUUUUAAACUCUUAAAAAAUACAUAUUAACGUACCAUUUGUUGAAGCUCUUUCGCAGAAGCGCAAUUAUGUUAAAAUUUUAAAGGAGCUGUUAGCAAACAAAUGGAAGUCAGACGAUUCAUCAACUGUGGAGCUCAAUACAGUUUGCUGGGCCAUAUUAUAAAAUAAACUACCCAAUAAACUGAAAGAUCCAGAGAGUUUUAAUAUUCCUUGUUUAAUUGGUAGUUUAAAUAUUGGUAAUGCUUUGGCUAAUUUAGGGGCUAGUAUUAAUGUCAUACCCUAUAAAAUGUUUAAACAACUAGGUCUUGGGAAACUCAAACAAACUAGGAUGAGUAUUCAAUUAGCAUAUAGAACUAUCAGAUAUCCUAGGGGUGUUAUUGAGGAUGUGCUUGUUAAAAUAGAUAAAUUCAUAUUCCCCGUUGAAUUUGUUGUGUUGGACAUUGAUGAGGGUAGUGAGGUACCUUUAAUUUUAGGUCGCCCCUUCUUAGCCACUACUAGGACUAUAAUAGAUGUUGGUAUGGGUAAAUUAGUGCUUCGUGUAGGUGACGAAACAAUUACUCUCUAAGCUCGUGAUUCUGUGAGAACAUCUAGUGAUCGAGAUGAUAUUAAAAAUUUUGUUAAUGUGAGUAACCAUGUGGCUUGACCUUCUUUGCAAGAAAUCCCUUGAGAAAACAUGAUGAAGCUAUGUUACAAUCAAGGUGGCAGAAAUAGAAAAACAUAUGAAGAGCGAAUGGUUUAAAUUGAUGACCUAGAUAAAUGGUGAACACAUGUCAAGGAGAAACUGAAAAAGCAUGAUGAAGAGCCGAAGUGACGCCAUGAUGAGCAAGUGAAUGGAACGAACCAAUUUAAGGUUGGAGACAAAUACUGCUAGACAAAAUGGAUCCACAAUUGCCCCUUUAGAGCUUGAUGCAGACAAAUUAAACCCAUAUACGGUACUGAACGUCUUCCCCUACGGUACAGUUGAGGUAACUCAUUCUUAAUUCAACAUGUUUAAGGUAAGCAAUACUCGAAUCAAACCUUAUUUUGGUAAUAAAAUUAUUUAUGAGGAAGAGGAGCUUCAACUCCACGAACCACUGUAACCAUAUGCAUAUGAGGUAAGUUGAGCUUAGACUCUAAAUAAGCACUUCUUGGGAGGCAACCUGAGUUUUUAAAUUUUGCUAAUCCUUUUAAUUGCAUGCUAAUUUGAAAUAUUAAAUUAAAAAAUGUGUGUUUUUUACCCACAUGGCCUGGACAAUCGGGCGUGUCCUAGGUCGUGUGUAAAAUGGGGGAAUCGAUAGUGAGUGACACGGCUUGGUGACCUGGCUAUUUAACCCACACGACCUGGACACAUGGGCAUGUCCUUGGUCGUGUGAGUCCUGGGACUUAAUUUUUUAAAAUUUCAAAGGUUAUACGGCAUGAGGCGGUCCACACAACUGAUUAAGUACUGGAGCUAAUUUUUUAAUUUUAAUUCAAGUCGAAGAGUUAAAUGGGCAAGAGACACAACUGAGGUACACAGACGUGGGAGAAGCGAAGAAAAUCAUACACGGCUUGGACAUAUGGGCGUGUGAAAACUGCGUUACCAUUUUUAAUUACACACGGGCUAAGAAGGAUCCACUUGGGCAUGUGACACGGCUGUGUGACCCAUACGAGCCCUUACACAACCGUGUCACCCAUUUAAACCCUAGCUCCUUUCUUUUGUUUUGUUUUGUUUUGUCUUCUUCCCCAACUAUCCCCAACCUAGUCACCUCCGAUCUCCUACCCUUUACCACUCCAACAUCAUCGACCUCCAUUCGUCCCUUUUCUUCCCCCUUUGAUCUCCAUUCUUCCAUCGCAACCCCACCUCUGUAGCUUUCCUCCUAACGGAAUCCCUCUCUCCUCACCCUUCCAGCCACCACCCUUUCGAGCCUCCUCCUUCCCUUGUACCCCGUCGCCCUAGCCUUCCCCAACUCUUUUUGCCCCAAUUGCACCCUUCCCAAACCGAACCCCCUCUUCUCUCCUUCCUAUCACCAGUACUUCCCCCUCAUCGGAACCCCGCCUCUCCUUUCCCCCUUUCUCCCUUCAAAUGACCCUCAUAGCCCCCACCCACACACACCAACCUCACCCCCAUGUGCAUGCUCACCCCUUCCCUUUCCCUUUCCCUUCCCCCUAGUCGGAGCCUCGAGUUCUCGUCACCGACCCACGCCUGUCCCACUGUGACCACUGCUGUCUUUUGUUGGUUUCCCCUUUUACCUUAUUUUUAUUUGUUUAUUUAUUAUUUAUUUAUUUAGUUUCUUUGAUUUGAUUUUGUGCUUACUUUUAAUUUAGUUUUGGACAUUAUUACUAUUUUUAUUUUUUUACUAUUGCCUUUAGUAUUAUUAUAUUUUUUAUUUUUAGUCUUAUGUUUAUUAUUCUUAUUUUAGCUAUCAUAUUGGUUUAGUGGCUUGAAUUAUAUUUUUUUAUUGAUUUCUUAUUUUAAUUCUUUAUUUUUUUUAUUUUUUUAUUACUUAGUCUUAUUACUGUUAUGAUUUUGAGUCAUUUUGGUAUUUCUAUAGUUAUGUUAAUAGUUUUUUUUUAUUGUUUUACUCUGUUAGAAUUUUAUUUUCUAUUAUUAUUAUUAUUAUUAUUUUAUUAGUAUUAUUAUUCUUCUUUGUACAUUAUUGUGUCGAUUUGUGUUUUUACAUUGAAUACUAGAAUUAAUAUUUGGUUAUUUUAUUUUAUUGCAGAUACACCGUGUUGAACACAAGCAACAAAUCUAAGGUCGUCGUCCCCGCUUCGAAAAAGUGGAAGGCCUCAGGCGCGACCUCCUCGGGCACUUCUAUCGAUGCACACCAUCGCUAUCUCCAAUUUUCAUAGGGCCUUUAGGAGGACUUAUAUCAGCUUCUUCGAUAGAGGCCACUAGGAUUAAGCCGUUGCAUUGAUUGGACCGCUUUAGAGCAGGUCCAGUUAGCUGAUAGCGUACGUGCCAUCAUUGCCACAACUCAUUAGGACUAGAUUUUCUCUAUCAUAAGGCCCACCUACUCUAUACCGCAGAGUUUAUGGGUGCCGAGGGGUUUCUCCGAUUAUACCGGCACAUCCACUACUCACUAUCUCUUUGCUGGGUAGACCUCACAGCAAGUACGGCGCAUUAUGACUUGAUUUGUUCAAAGGUGACUUCACUACCUCCGGCUUUGAGAUAUAUUCUUGCAUCUUGGCCCACACAUUGGCUGAUCGAAAAGAGAGCAUCGAAGUUGUCGGUACAAUCGACACAUGUUUUUAUAAAGCAUGGCCAUGGGGCGCAUUUUUUAUUUAGCUUAUUUCAUCGCCCUAGCGAUCCACCAUCAGACAGAGCGCGGUAGGAAGGGUUCUAUCUGCUUAGGCCGUUACGUGACUCGACUCGCACGUCACUUCAGUCUUAUCGACACACCAGAGCAGUCCUCCUCACUUACAUUAGUAGGACAGAUGUUCCCACAGGGAUUAUUGAGCAUGAGCCAUAUGUGGAUGAUCAAGCGACUUCGUGUAGUAGAUCCUCCUCAGUACCAAUUAUCUCAUUCUGACCCUCAGGAUGAGCCUAAAGACUUCAUUGAUGAUGUCUCCUUCUAUCAAGAGGAUUCACCACAUCCUUCAUCUUCGAGUCACCAUCCUGCUACAUUUGCUACCACCUUAGUGGACCUCUUCGAACGGUUCACUUGCUUCGAGCAGCACUGUUUUCAGAGGUUCGAUAGUAUUGACAUGACUUUAUGGUAUAUCUGUCAGCACCUCCAUAGAUCCUCUUUAGCACUGGCAACUCACGAUACCGAUGCCUCUAACGAUGAGGAUCAGUGAUUUUAUUUGUUUCUCUUUUUAUUUUUAUUUUUUUAUGUUUAUGUUUAAUUUUAUUUUUAGUUGUUUUAUUUUUAUUUUUUUAGACUUGUUUCUUUUAUUAUCUUUUGAACUAUAUUUUUAUUUUUAUGGUUGUUUCUAAUCGAGUUUUGUAGUCUUUUAGUCUUCUUCACUAUUUGUGUUUAUUUUCUUACUAGUUUGCUCAGAAUCAUGCACUACAUUUAGAUUUGCCUACAAUUUCGCUUUUCACCAUUUUGGCAAUUUCAUCAAAUAUUCAGGGUAGUUUUAGUUUUCUCCCUCUCUUAUGAUAUUCUACUUAUACUGUGAUUAUAUUUGUUUGUACAUUGAGGACAAUGUACAUCUUAAGUGUGGGGAGGAUAUUUAUUUAAUUAUUAGAAAAUCCCUGAAUUAUUUUUUCUAUUUAAGUAAUUGUCUCAUACUUCCAUUAGAAUGGAUUUUUGUCAAUUUGGGAUUUUUGUUGAUGUGUUUUGGAUUAAUUUGUAGAUAUUUGAGCAUUGGCUGAUUUAAAUUUUAAGACAUGAGAGAAUCAAGAAUGAUAAGUUAUCUUUUAGAAUUAAAAAUUUUAGGUUGUUUCCCUGAAUUAAGGUAUUAUCUUGAAGUUUUGAGAUUUGUAAGUUUGACAUCAAAACCAUAAUUUUUUUGUGAGAUUUUAAGCCUUUAGAGCAUACACUUUUCUUUCUCAUUUUAUUAUUGGUUAUGAGUGUGUCAAUUUGAUUUGUUAUUCUAGAACUUACUUCGAUUAUACAUGUCGAGACCACACUUUUGAUUUGAUAUACUGAAAUAAUAAAGGCACUUAGGUUUUAACCCAAUUAUCCUAUAAAAAAGCCUACCUUUUUAAUUAACCUUUAGUGAACCCCGUUGAGCCUAACACAUCGUUUCUUAAUUUACCCAUUAAUGUUAACCCAUAACUCUUUUUUUCGUUGAGAUUUUUUCCCGUUUUAUUGACUCUUUUUUUGUCGAGAUUUGAUUUAGUUAGUUGCCUAGCUAUGCUCUUCUAGUUGAUUUACUGAAUUAUUUCUCAUUGUUUUUGUAAAAAAGAUAUAAGAAAAAGAUUGAAAAUAAAAAAAAUAUUGAUUAUUAAUUAGUUUUAUUUGUUGAUUGAGCUUGAAUAGUUAAAUUCAUAUUUUGAAAAGAAGUUCAUUUUUGCUCUUGAAUAGUUCUUAAUUUAUGCACUUGUUUUUAAUUCAGCAUUUGUUUCUUUUUUCUAGUUUAGUAAUUUAUCAAUUCGAUCUCGAUUAUAACCAACUAUUCUAGCCUUUCUCCAUACCCUUAACCUAAGCCCCAUUACAACCUCUUAAAGACAUUUUGAUUUGUGCAUCUUAUUAUUUUAUAGUGGUGGUGAUUUGAUUUUCAUGCAAGCCUAUGGUAAUGACAUUUCUUGUUCGACUAUUGAGUGCAUAGUAUUAUGCCUUAAACACUUUGAGGGCUUGAGUGAAUCUUUAAUGAGGAUGUCAAUUCUUGUUGAUUUUGAAUUAAAGGUAACUACUUAAAUAAGGGGAGCCACUUAUGUUUUCGUGCUUCAAAAUGUUAGCUUGGAUUGUUUGAGACUUUAAUGCCCUUUUAGUUGAAUUGCCAAUACAUGAUUAUUUGUGAAUUAUUUGGAGAUAUUAUUGAUGGGAAUUACAAGUUGAGAAAUAUUAACUUAAAUGUGAGUUGAGGAUUUUACUUGAGGACAAGCAAACGCUUAAGUGUGAGGAUAUUUGAUAAGCUAUAAAAGUAACAUAUUUUAAUCUCAUUCUUAAUGUGUUUUUGGAUGAUUAAUUAUGCAAAUUAGUGAAAUUGAUGCUCCUAAUCCUUUAAAUUCAUGUUUUUAUACUUAGGAGAGCAUUUGGGAACAAAAUAAGGGAAAAACGAGCAAAAAUCAGACAAAUAGAGUUGUUUUCAGGAGCUACACGGCCUGGGCAUUUCUACACGAGCUGGACAUAUGCCCCUGUGAGCCACACGAGCUGGACACACUCCCAUGUGCUAGCCUAUGUCGAUUUCACACCUUGCUUCCCAAACGCGCGGAAAAACACAAUUUUUAGGCUUUCUGAGCAUUCUAAAGUCUAUAAAUACCAAUUAGAAGAAGAGAUAUGGGAUUUAUCAGAGAAGAUCAUAGAAAACACUCGAAGAACACCAUCGAAGCCAACUCUGAAGCGGAUCUCCAUCAAGAUCGAAGACCUUCAUUUAAUUUCUUUUGAAGUUUAUAUGAGUUUCUUUAUUUCUUGUGGUUUUUCAGACUUUAAGAUGUUUUCAUUUAGGAUUAUGAACUAAUUCCCUAGAUACCUAGGGAAGAUGAAACCUAAGACGAAUUCUAUUAUUUGAUUUCUGAUUUACAUUAUAAAUACCUAAUUCUUGUUUUCAAUUAUGUGGGCUUAUUUCUUGUUUUAAUAUUUUCGAGAUAUUAAUUCAUGUUUAAUGUGCUUCAUUCAGUGGAAGAAAAGUCCCUUUUUAAUAGUAGAUCUAGCAUAAUUGAGUGGAGUUGCAUGCAAUCCUAGAAAUAGGACGACAUAAAUCUACUUGAUUAGAGUCAAAUCUAAUAGGGGAAUCCAUAAAUCAAGUUAAUGCGACGAUAGGGGUUUUAAUUAGAAUGAGAUUUCAAUUAAUCAACCUAGAGUCAGUUGUUCUUACUCUCGAAGAGAUAUUAACAUAAUUUAGGGAUUUCUACGAAUCAAGACACCAAGUGAAUAAAUCGUUUAAACCAAAUUCAUAAUAAUAGAAGUCUAGGUGGAUUCUUUUCUGGGUGUUGUCUCUCUCAUUGGUUAUCUUUCGAUUAUUUUCCUGAUUCGUUCUCUGUUGUGUUCUUAGUUUAAUUAGUUUAGUAAUUUUAGAUUAAAACUCAUCACUCCAAAUUAUCGGCUAAAUAAUAAGAAAAUGGUAAUUACUAAUACUUUUAGUCCUUGUGGAUAUGAUAUAUUUACUCACCAUAGUUUUACUAUUGUUCAAUAGGUGCGCUUGCCUUUGCCAUAUUUAUAGUUAGUUAAGUGAUCAUCGCUACUACAUAGAAGCCAAGGAGGAGUGUUACAAGUUAGCCAACCAUGCAGCAGCUGAAACUAUGAUGCAUGCUGAUUUUGUUUGAAGCAUGUUGGUUCAGCUUUAGUUUCCUUCUAGUCUCAUUUGAUUUGAUCUUAACCAAUGUAUUUGUUAUGCACUUAUUUGAUUAGGUGUUGAUUGACUUUUUAUGUUUAAGUGCAAGCAAUGUUUUGUCAGUUACAAUAUAGUUAGUGGGAGUAGUUGUGUAUUUGGUAAUGUUUAGUGACUUAAAUUGUAAUGUUUUUCCUGUUGAAUGAAUAAGCAGAUCAUUUUCAUGCUUCUUGCUGCUCGGUUUUUCAUAUGUUCUUUGUUUUUAGUUCUUUGAAAAACACCAACACUAUUUUAAAUAGUAGUAAAGUAAUACUAAUAUUUGCUACACCCUCAAACUUCAACCACGAUCCUUAAUUCUACUCACGGUAACUGCUCACUUUGGUUUUAUCUUCUUACACAAAUGUGUGCUUGCUUUUGUUGAUAAUCUAUAGCCAAAUUUUCUUUCGUUAAUGUUUUGUUUUUGUUUCAUAGUUUCUUGGGUUAUGCUAUGCUCUCAUCGCAAAACAUUAUUUUUUCUUUUGCAUUUAAUUUUCUCCUUUGGUUUUUUUCAGCGACGUUUCUUCUAUAUCUCUCUUGCGCCAUUUGCUAAUUGUCUAGUUUGGUUUUUAUCUUCCUAUGUUAUCGCAUGUUUGGUUUUGUAAACAAUUUUUGUUGUUUGCUUUCUUUGUCCUUUUUUUUGGGUUUUGCACACUUUUCUUUUGCUUUACUUUGGUUGUAUAUUGAAUCAAUUUUAUAUUUUUUUAUUCUAAAUGCUAACUUCUUCUUCUUUAUCUUGAUUUGAAUGAAGUGAUCGUUAAAAUUCUUACUAGAUAUCCAUUUAAUAUAAAUUCAAAUGGCGUGACCUAUCCCUCAUCUUCAAUAUUAUAUAAAAAAAUUGUCAGCUUCUUUGUUCGUAAGUAAAAAUAAAGUUUCAACUACUUUUAUUAUUUUUUUACAAAUCAUUAAUUAAUUAAUUUUGACAUCUAACUAUAUUUUAUUUUAUUUAUAACUAAAAAUCAAAAACACUAAACAAAUAAAAAAAAUAGAAAUUGCAUUAUAUUGUAUGUCAUGUUAAGCCAUAUCCUUCGAUUAUUGAAAAAUCUUAUUUUGAGUGACUUAUUUUUUUAAUACAAAAAUGGAAGAUAAGAGUUAAUCACUUACAUUUGUAAAUAUAGAUAGACUUGAUAAAAUCUUAUGUCUAUAUUUCGAGUAAAAUUAGAUUUAAACAAACAUAAAAUAUAUGAAUAUCAUACAUAAAUUCGACCCGAAAUUCACUCGACCGUACACGUAAAUACUUUUAUAACAAAUAGAACAACAAUAAGUUAACUUGCACAACACAACUAAUAAGGCAGUUCAAUCUUAACUUACCCAUGAUAAUCACAGUACAAAGAAAAACUAUUUCAGCAUAACCGCAAGCGCUCUUAAGUUGCAGCCUCACAUUGCAUAUCAAAGUAAAAUUUUCCAACCUACUUUCCAAUGCAUAAGAAAACUUAUAGUUAGAAGUUUUGUUAUAUAUAUAAAUAUUGGGAGGGAUUCAUUACACCGACGUAAAAUUAAAGUGAUUUUAUUCUAUAUAAAAUAAAUUAUGUUGCUUGUUGAAGUGCUAGCCGAAGUAAUCACCACUUUUGUUAGUAUUUUGUCAGUUAAUUCAAAAACACUUACCUCAACAAUAAAAUUUCUAUCAAUGGUGAAUAAGUCUUCCACAUUUAGAGCACAUAUCUAACUUCGCAAAGUAAAAUUUAAUUCAUCUUAAUUUACACAAAUCUCAUCAAAUCAAUUAUCCUUAAUAAAAUAUAGGAUACAAAAUAUCAUAAAAUUAGCUCAUACAUAAAAUUAAUUAUAAUUAGAUUGUUUGAUAAAUAAAAAUUUUAAAUUACGAAAAUAUUUAUUUUACAUUUUAUCAUUAACUUUUAAAGAUUUAAUCCAUCUUAAUUUUAAACGUUAUGAUAUUAAAAUAAAUUUGAAGUAUUUGAAAAUAUUUUCCACUAAGUAAUAAGCAAUUUUUAUUUACUUAUUUUUUUAUAAAAAAAAUACUAUUGACUUGUUUUUAUUAUCAAAUUUAUGUAAAAUAUUAAAAAUAUUAAUUUUCAGUUUUUCAAUUGUUUAUCGAUCAAGAUUUUGGUUAGUAAAUUACUAAUUGUACUUUUUUUAGAAAAAAUUAUACACUAAGGAAAUUAUAAAAUAUAAAAGAAUUUAAAAAUUUAAGAUGAUAAAAAUUGAAGGCAAAGUCUAAAAGCGUUUGUUCUUGUCUAUGGUACUGAGAUUUUUAGUGGAAGUCUUCUGUCAAAGAUGAAGAAGACAUAAUGAGUAUUAUAAAGGUUUUGAAGGGAUAGAGAUUUUCAGAGAAAAUGGAGAAUUAUGAAAGGAAACGAUUAGAUUAAUUUGUAGGAAUGUUGAUAAAUGGUGAUGUUUUUAGUGUUUGGCUUUUAGUAUUUGUUUGUUGGAGAAGGCAAAGGUCAAAUAUGGGGGAUGGGCGAAUAAGGACAUUCGGAAAACGCUGUUCAGGCGUUGGCUGUGGAUUAAUAAUGUGUUCCACAACUUGGUCGAAACUCACCACCAUUCUUUACGCGCUAAAUAAUGAAGCCAGUGGAAGAAGUCAUGAAAGUCGAAGGCAAUUGUAAAUUACGUAAACUAUAUUAAAAGUAUAAUAAUAAAACAAACAAAAAUUACAUGUUUUGUUUCUUUUGAAUUGCUUGGUGUUUAAGUAAUAGUUGCAGGAGCUGUAGUAUUUUUUUUAUUUUCUUUUUACUAAAAAAAUAAAAACUAAUUCGGAGAAACUUGGCUUCCAUUGGGGGCAUAUAGGUAAGCUUGUUAGUCAUUUCAAACGGCAUAAACAUUACUUUAUACAUUUAAAUCAAGUGAGUGCAUUGAGUUGAGUUGAGAUGAUGGAGCCGGUAUGGCUAAGGCUAAUCUUGAUAACUGUGUUGGUUUUAGAAGGUGCCCUGUGUUGCGCUCUUGCAACUCCAAUAUGUAUUAACAGAUAUAGAGUAUUCACGCGAGGGUUCAGAUUGCUGUCAGUGGGAAUGGGGGAAAUCCAAAUACCAAUUGGAAAUUAUAUGCCAAAUUGUCUUAAUUGAUUAAUUAAUGAAAUGAUGUGAAGCUGAAAUUUCAAAGGGGAAACUUCUCAAACCCUUCCCUAAGGAACUAACAUUGAAUUAACUGCGUAGGAGUUUGGAAUGGUUGGGCCGUUUGGAUGAAUUUUCCGUAAACUUCAUAUAAUUGAGAUUAGAUAGCUACCCUUGCUUCACACGUUUAUCCAUCGGCUUCUCAUCUCACAUUUUUUUAAAUUUAUUUUAUUUUUGAAAAUGGAUUAAAGAAAAUCGUGGGAAGAGGGUAGAAUUAUUGUGUUUGAAUUUCAUGUUUGUUUGUUUUUCUUUUUUAUUGGUUUUAUAUGGUAGUUGUGUUUAAAAUGUAAUAUACUUAUAUAAAUUUUGUCAUAUAAUUAUUUUAUAUAUUUACGUCAUAUUUGUGUUUAUAUUGCUAAUUACAUCUUAAUUUUGAUGGAUGGUUGGGUAAUAUUAUAUGAUAUAAUUUUAUUUUUAACGUUUUUUUAAUAAGAUUUUACAGUUCUUGAUUAAGUGCUCGAUUUAUUUGUAAGGCCGCUGAUAAACAGCUUUCUUGUCCUACUAUUGUUAAUUAUAUUUCCUACCUUCCAAGAAAAAAAUUUUAUAUAGUUUUGGGCUUUAGGUUGGUGUUUAUAGUCCUAACUCCUAAGUCAAUUGUAGACAUUAAAUUAGUUUAAGUAAUAAAGAAAGACUUUACUUUUAGAAAAAAAAGAAAGAAAAAAAAAAGCAGGAAAAGUUGUGGGGAAACUAGAGCGUCUACCUAUAUAAUGGAGUUAAGGGAUCACUUCCAAAAGCAUAAGGAGUACUAAUCGAAUUGAGAGCAUAAGGAGUUCUCAUGGUGAAUAUGUUUACAACUAUUCAAUUACGUUUCCAGGUAUUUUUGAAAUAUUAGAUAUUGUUAGGUCAUGACUGAAAUGAAGCCAAUUUUAUGCUGGCAAUGGAAGACAAUUGAGUUUGAUCAAUUUAGAAGAAAGUGAUUUGAGUAGUAAUAUGUUCAACAAUAGCAUACUAGCAGAGCUUACUGGGUUUUCAAAUCUAAAGUCAUUAGAUAUAAGAUGGAAUGAACUGGACGGAUCAAUAGAUGCUAAAGGUAAAAAAAAAUAUUUACACUUAUAUAAAUUUAGGGUUAGUAUUUGGUAAAUUGGUAGCGUACUUUUUUUUUAUUCCACAAACAACCUUAAAAAAUUGACAUAUGUAUAUAUAUUUUUUAAUAUUUAAUAUUUUAAUAUUUUACUAUACCCUUAUACAACACUUGUUAUCUCCUUAACACUAUUUAUGGAGCCUCAAAAUUUUAUCGGGAAUAUACCAAAUAUUUUCCUAACUUUAAAGGAAUUAAUUUAGGCUUAAAUAUAAUCUCAUGUUGUAUUAUUUGAUUGCAAGUGAAAGACUAAUUUUAUUUGCGAUUUUCCUAGAAUUUUGUGGUUUGAACAAUUUAGAGACUCUAUACCUGAGUGGCAAUGAGGUGAACCAAAUUUUUACUUCUAAAGGUGUGUAUUAAAAUGAAUAUGUAGGAACAGUUUGUUUCUCUUUUUGAAUGAAUAAAAUUUAAUUGUCCAAAAAAAAAAUUAUACAUAUAUAUUUUUCAAAAGACUUCCAUAUGAAACUAACUACAUUUUUGUUGCAGGAAAUAUAUUAUGUUUGAGGAAGUUAAAGACCCUCUACUUAUUAUUUAAACAAAACUGUGGCUAUUCAAGGUGAGUUAUGGUUAUUGUCUGUAAUACUUAUUGCAAAAAAAAACAAACAUCAAUUUUAUACAAAUUAAUUCUAAUUUCAUUUUAUUUUAAUAUUCACAGAGUUGCAGGUAUUGAGUAAUGUGGAGAAUCUGUUCUUGGAUUUUACUCCAUUGGACAUCAGCUUUUUGCAAAGCAUUGGCAUCUUGACUUCUCUGAAAAUCUUGUCUUUGUCUUACUGUGAUCUAAAUGACGCUUUACCUGCUCAUCAAGGUAAUACAAUUACUACAUUGUCUAAACUUAAACCUUUAAUUUUUUUUCUAAUUAAUAUUUUUCAAUAUAACAAUACAUACGAUAAGUCACACAUGGACGUGUUAAGCAUGGACUGCAAUGCAACAGGUAACCAUAAAGCUCACCAGCAGCAGCAGACCAGCUGUAGAAUCGAAUAGGAGCUGCUUGUUUCAUUUUGUUUAUUUUGAUUUUUUUGUAAAGCAAUCAAGUUGACAUGUAACUUGAUUUCUAGAGUUAGUAAGAUAUGAAAAUGAUGGAUGUAAUAGCUGAUUUAUUUUCAGCUUUUGACUUGUAUUAUUUUAGUUGGCAACUUGCCAAAUUUGGUGGGAGUAGUUACGUUUAGGUAACUGACUUGCUUUUGUAACUCUUAUAUAUUUUGAAAUGGAAAUGAAAGCAGUAUGGGACUUUCUCAUUCGGUUAUUUUUUUUUUAGCCCAUCAAUUGUUUAGCCCAUGGGAUUAUGCAACUUGGUCAAUCUUGAAUUCCUGGAUCUGUCUCUAAAUCAUCCGUCUGGGACUAUUCCAUCUUGCUCUAAUCUACAAAAGGUGUUGCAUGUACAUUUGGCCAAAAAUGAACUUGGUGGAACACUGUCAGAUGCCCUUUUUAUAAACUCUUCAUUGGUAACAUUGGAUUUCAGUGAAAAUAACUUAACAGGAAGAAUUCCAGAUUGGAUUAGCACGCUACCUGCUUUGAGCGUUUUUCUUCUAAAAGCAAAUCAAUUAGAAGGUGAAUUUCCUGUACAUUUAUGCAGACUGCAAUCAUUAAGCAUCUUGGACCUGUCACAGAAUAAACUUUCUGGUCAUAUACCUUCCUGUUUAAGUAAUUUAACUCUCAAGCCAAGGAGUGAAAAGUCUUACACCGGAUCUACUGAUUUUGGGC